GAAAGUUGUAUUGAUUUUUUGUUUUAGGGUACGGAUGUUGUAGAGGGUCUUGCACUGGAUGUCAGAGCAUCAAAAGCUAAAUCACUUAGCGCAGGAUUAUUUGCAAAAAUGAAAUGUUUAAAUUUACUCCAAAUCAACGAAGCACAUCUCACCGGAUCCUUCAAACUGCUUUCUAAAGAGUUGAUGAGGAUUUGUUGGCUUCAAUGUCCUUUGAAAUAUUUUCCAUCUGAUUUUACAUUUGACAAUCUAGAUGUUCUUGAUAUGCAGUACAGUAAUCUCAAAAAACUAUGGAAGGGAAAAAAGGUGCGAAACACACUACAAUCCACAAAAUUUCUCCAGUAUGUAAUUUAUAUUUACAUGUUAUGACUUUCUAUGAUUAAUUUUCAUUAUUAUGCGCUCUAUUAUACAGAUUCUCAACAGGCUAAAAAUCUUUAAUCUCAGUCAUUCUCAGAACCUUAUUAAAACACCAAACUUGUACAGUUCAAGUCUAGAGAAACUAAAGCUGAAAGGUUGCUCAAGUUUAGUUGAAGUCCAUCAAUCUAUUGGAAAUUUGACGAAUCUCGCUUUCUUGAAUCUAGAGGGAUGUUGGUGUCUAAAGAUUCUCCUAGAAAGCAUUGGCAAUGUAAAGUCUCUUAAAACUCUGAAUAUUUCUGGGUGUUCAGAACUUGAGAAAUUGCCAGAACGCAUGGGUGAUAUGGAAUCCUUAACUGAGUUGCUAGCUGAUGGGAUUGAAAAUGGGCAAUUUCUCUCUUCAAUUGGACAAUUAAAGUAUGUCAGAAGGUUAUCAUUGUGUCGAAACAGUUCGGCUCCACCAAUUUCUUCUUUGAUUUCAACAGGUGUUUUGAAUUGGAAACGUUGGUUGCCAACAUCUUUCAUUGUGAAACGUCUUGAGCUUUCUAAUGGUGUGGUUUGUCUGAUCGCGUAACUAACUUAGUUGAUUUUAUUGGUUUGUCCGCUCUAGAAGUAUUGGAUCUAACAGGAAACAAAUUCUCUAGCUUGCCUUCUAGGAUCGGCUUCCUUCCAAAGCUAAGGUACUUGUCAGUUCGGGCAUGCAAAUAUCUUGUAUCACUCCCAGAUGUUCCCUCAAGUUUAGACUGUUUGGGUGCAUCUUAUUGCAAAUCAUUAGAAAGAGUAAGAAUACCAAUCGAGUCAAAAAAAGAACUAUAUAUAAAUCUACAUGAAAGUCAUUCGUUAGAAGAGAUUCAGGGCAUCGAAGCUCAAAGUAAUAUUCUCUGGCAUAUUGAUGUUGAUGACCACAGUCAUUCACCAAAUAAAUUACAGAAAAGCAUUGUUGAGGUACUAUUUCUUUCAGUCUCUCAAUUGGUACAUACAUUGAUUAAUAUCUAAAAUCUCAGCAUUCCUUGAAAUCAAUAUGUAUGCAAGCAAUGUGCAAUAGUGGUCACCGGUAUCGUAUUGAGUGCAUUCCUGGUAAGAUGCCAAAUUCGUUAAGCUACAGUGGAGUAGGAUGCUCAUUGUCAUGUCCACCACUUGAGAAGGAUGAUCAUUAUUACUUACAGACUCGCAUUAUUAUUAUUAUUAUUAUUAUUAUUAUAAGAAAUAAAAGCAGUGGUAUUCAAUUGUUUGAAGAUAAACGAACAAAAACUGGGGAUGAUGCGUCGUUUCCUUGCACAAAUAGUUUCUUACUCAGACUCUGCAGACCAUAGGUUUCUAGUAACCAUAAUACUAGAUGAUGAAUCCUGAAUAUUAAUUAUAAUUUUAUGAUUAAAUCCAAAAAUACAUCCCAACAACACACACCUCUAUAAUGAGGCACGACAAAAGCCUCCGCCAUCGCCGAACGACGUUGCGGCGUGACCCCGCAACACAUAUCAUGGUUAUAAUAGUUGGACGGUAUAUUUUUUGAAUUUAUUAGAAAUAACAUGUAAUGUGAAGUGUCAAAUAUCAUCUUAACCCAAAAAAAUCAUCUCAACAAAGGAGUUAUUUGCUGCAAUUUCAUAGCUUCCCCCACGUGGGAUCAAACCAACUCUUCCCAUUUUUUACAAAAUUUGAUAAGAAAUAAGAAAUCAUGUGAAAAUUAUACAAAAUUUAUUAUUAAUCAUCAAGAUUUAUUGUUGAUUUCAAUAUUGAAUAAUGGCUUAUUUUAUAAUAUAAAUUAUGUUUGAAAUAAAAUUGAUAAAAUUAAAAAAUAAUUAAUGAUGGGAUCAUUUGUUUUGUGGUGGAAAAAUAUUUUUUGUAAAAAUAAAAUUUUAUUUUUUGCUUCAAAUUAGUAUAUUUUUUAUGUUUUAAAAUCGUUUUAACGUGAAGGUAUCAAAAAAAAAUUUUAAAAAUAAAAAUAUAUAUUUUAAAGUAAAGAUGACUUUGAAAAACAAAUGCAUAAUUGAUUUGAAUAUAUUAUUUGAUUAGUCUGAUCUUAGGUUGAGUCUGCUACUUCUACCUAGUUUCGUGGUGCUUUCUCCUUCAAAUGAAUAGAAAGCAUUUCCUUUCACUUUCAAUUUCAUAGAUAACUUCUCUCUCCUAUUGCUGCAAUUUCAUAGCUAACUCUUUGUUAUAUUGCUCCUUGCAUUUUAAAAAGGGCAAUUUGAACAUUUAAAAAACCUAAGAAUUGGAAAAGAAUAAAGAAAAAACAAGUUGUUAUAUUGUGUUCAUUUAAUCGUCAUAUUUUCUUUCUUAAAUGGGCUCUCUUGAUCCCAAGCAACAAGUGUUCAUAAACAAAUGCAAAAAGGACAUCAAACAAUUAAAACAAAUUAAGUGAAUGAAUAGAAAAACUUUGGCGCCGUUGACUGACUACCAAAUUAACCAAUAUUUAACAUUUGGUACAACUCAAAUUAAUUAGGAAUUUGAUUGGGGCUGGGUCAAUGAAGAAUAACAAUUAAACAGAAAUGUUGAACAAUAAAAUUUGACGAGAAAUAGAAAAUCAUGUGCAAAUUAUACAAAAUUUAUUAUUAACCAUCAAGAUUUAUGACUUAUUUUAUAAUAUAAAUUAUAUUUGAAAUAAAAAUGAUAAAAUUAAAAAAUAAUUAAUGAUGGGAUCAUUUGUUUUGUGGUGGAAAAUCAUUUAAAUUUUUUUUUUUGCUUCAAAUUAUUAUAUGAUAACAAAAAUAAAAUUUAAAAAUUUAAAUAUAUUAUUUAAAUAUAUUUUAAAAUAAAAAUCACAUUGAAAAUCAAUUGUAAAAUUGAUUUGAAUAUAUUAUUUGAUUAGUCUGAUCAUAGGUUGAGUCUGCUACUUCUACCUAGUUUCGUGGUGCUUUCUCCUGCAAAUGUAUAGAAAGCAUAUCCGUUCUCCUAUAUAAAGAAUACAGUUAACCUCAAUUCAAUAUCCUUGCUUCUACCUAGUUUCGUGGUGCUUUCUCCUGCAAAUGUAUAGAAAGCAUAUCCGUUCUCCUAUAUAAAGAAUACAGUUAACCUCAAUUCAAUAUCCUUGCUUUAACUCUGAUUGCUGCAAUUUCUCUCUCCGAUUGCUGCAAUUUCAUAGCUAACUCUUCUUUGCUUCUUUCCUGUUUUAAUUUCAUGUCUUUACCAUUAACAAUAAUGUGAAAGCUUUAUUUGUUUCAUGUUUAACUUCAGUUGCUAUUGUCUUAUGCUCCCUCAUUAUUAAGCUUAAACUGUUGUAUCUCUUGCUUGUAUUUGGAAGAGAGUAGAUACCUUAUGCAAUUGCUCCAUCGCUAAUUGAUUGUUCCUCAAAUUCUGCAGCUGCCAUGACAGAGCCAGAGUCUUCUCGAAGUAGACCUGAAGGGACCUAUGAUGUCUUCUUGAGCUUUAGAGGAAAAGAUACUCGCAAGACAUUUACAGAUCAUCUAUAUACUGCCCUAGUCCAAGCAGGAAUCCACACUUUUCGAGAUGAUGAUGAACUUCCUAGAGGAGAAGAAAUCCACGAUCAUCUCCUCAGGGCAAUUCAAGAAUCAAAGAUAUCCAUAGUUGUCUUCUCAAAAGGAUAUGCUUCUUCUAGAUGGUGUCUCAAUGAACUUGUAGAGAUUCUUAAGUGCAAAAAUAGGAAAACGGGUCAGAUUGUUCAACCUAUAUUCUAUAACAUUGAUCCUUCAGAUGUGAGAAAACAGAAUGGCAGUUUUGCAAAAGCAUUUGUUAAACAUGAAGAGCGUUUUGAAGAGAAGUUGGUGAAGGAGUGGAGAAAAGCUCUUGAGGAGGCCGGAAAUCUAUCUGGAUGGAAUCUCAAUGAUAUGGCAAAUGGGUAUGCCUUUUUUCUCUAAGAUUCACUUGCACACAUUUAUGGAGUCAAUAUACUUUACAUUUUUCAAUGUGAAACAAUAAAAAACUUAAUUGACUCGCUAUCAACGACUUGCUUUUGUCUAUGAGCAGGCAUGAAGCAAAAUUUAUCAAAGAGAUUAUCAAGGAUGUGUUGAAUAAAUUAGAUCCCAAGUACUUGUAUGUUCCUGAGCACCUAGUAGGUAUCGAUCGGCUUGCUCACAAUAUUAUUGACUUUCUAAGUACUGCAACAGAUGAUGUCCUCAUUGUGGGCAUACAUGGGAUGCCAGGAAUAGGAAAGACGACUAUAGGAAGAGUUGUAUUUAAUCAACUCUGCUAUGGAUUCGAAGAAAGCUGUUUUCUUUCGAAUAUCAAUGAAACAUCAAAACAAUUUAAUGGUCUUGUUCCUUUACAAAAGCAACUUCUUCACGAUAUUUUCAAACAGGAUGCUGCAAACAUCAAUUGUGUCGAUAGAGGAAAGGUUCUGAUCAAAGAACGACUUUGUCGCCAAAGAGUUCUUGUUGUUGCUGAUGAUGUGGCUCGUCAGGACCAGCUAAAUGCUUUGAUGGGAGAGCGAAGUUGGUUUGGUCCCGGAAGUAGAGUCAUUAUUACAACAAGAGAUUCAAGUGUUCUACUUAAAGCAGAUCAAACAUAUCAGAUCGAAGAAUUGAAACCAGAUGAGUCCCUUCAGCUUUUCAGCUGGCAUGCCUUGAGGGACACCGAGCCAGCAGAAGAUUAUAUUGAGCUUUCGAAGGAUGUAGUUGAUUACUGUGGAGGACUUCCUUUGGCUCUUGAGGUUAUGGGUGCUUGUUUGUCUGGGAAAAACAGAGAUGGUUGGAAAUCUGUAAUUGACAAAUUGAGAAGAAUUCCAAACCACGAUAUUCAAGGAAAGCUUAAAAUAAGUUAUGACUCACUGGACGGUGAAGAACUACAAAAUGCAUUCCUUGAUAUCGCAUGCUUCUUUAUUGAUAGAAAGAAAGAGUACGUCGCAAAAGUGCUAGGAGCCCGUUGCGGUUACAAUCCAGAAGUUGAUUUGGAAACUCUCCGUGGAAGGUCUCUGAUUAAAGUUAAUGCCAUUGGAAAAAUAACCAUGCAUGAUCUAUUACGAGACAUGGGAAGGGAGGUCGUUCGUGAAACGUCUCCAAAAGAACCUGGAAAGAGGACCAGAAUUUGGAAUCAAGAGGAUGCAUGGAAUGUACUUGAGCAGCAGAAGGUACGUAAGAGCUCAAUGCAUACACGAAAGCAUAGUCAUGCGUAUUUUCUAGUCAAACUUAUUACAAAUAAUUGAAUGAAAGUUGUAUUGAUUUUUUUUUAGGGUACGGAUGUUGUAGAGGGUCUUGCACUGGAUGUCAAAGCAUCAGAAGCUAAAUCACUGAGCACAGGAUCAUUUGCAAAAAUGAAACGCUUAAAUUUACUCCAAAUCAAUGGAGUGCAUCUCACCGGAUCCUUCAAACUACUUUCUAGAGAGUUGAUGUUGAUAUGUUGGCUUCAAUGUCCUUUGGUAUAUUUUCCAUCUGAUUUUACCAUUGACAAUCUAGCUGUUCUUGAUAUGCAGUACAGCAACCUCAAAGAACUAUGGAAGGGAAAAAAGGUGUGAAACAUGCAUGUUCAAAAUUUCUCCAUUAUGUAAUUUAUAUUUACAUAUUAUGACCUUUUAUGAUUAAUUCUCAUUAUUUUAUGCUUUAUUAUACAGAUUCUCAAUAGGCUAAAAAUCAUUAAUCUCAGUCAUUCUCAGAACCUUAUUAAAACACCAAACUUGCACAGUUCAAGUCUAAAGAAACUAAAGCUGAAAGGUUGCUCGAGUUUAGUUGAGGUGCAUCAAUCUAUUGGAAAUUUGACGAGCCUCAUUUUCUUGAAUCUGGAGGGAUGUUGGAGGCUAAAGAUUCUCCCUGAAAGCAUUGUCAAUGUAAAGUCUCUUAAACGCUUAAAUAUUUCUGGGUGUUCACAACUUGAGAAAUUGCCAGAACGCAUGGGUGAUAUGGAAUCCUUAAUUGAGCUGCUAGCCGAUGGGAUUGAAAAUAAGCAAUUUCUCUCUUCAAUUGGACAAUUAAAAUAUGUCAGAAGGCUAUCAUUGCGUGGAUACAGUUUCAGCCAGGACUCACCAUCAUGGCUUUCACCGUCAUCUACAUCUUGGCCUCCAUCAAUUUCUUCUUUUAUUUCAGCAAGUGUUUUAUGUUUGAAACGUUUGCUGCCAACAACUUUCAUCGAUUGGAGAUCAGUGAAAAGUCUUGAACUUUCUUAUGUUGGUUUGUCUGAUCGAGUAACUAACUGUGUUGAUUUUAGAGGUUUUUCCUCUCUAGAAGAACUAGAUCUAUCAGGAAACAAAUUCUCUAGCCUGCCUUCUGGGAUCGGCUUCCUUGCCAAGCUAGAGAUGAUGGAUGUUCAGGAAUGCAAAUAUCUUGUAUCAAUCCGAGAUCUUCCCUCAAACUUAGUCUAUUUGUUUGCAGGUGGUUGCAAAUCAUUGGAAAGAGUAAGAAUACCAAUCCAGUCAAAAAAAGAACUAUAUAUAAAUCUACAUGAAAGUCAUUCGUUAGAAGAGAUUCAGGGCAUCGAAGGUCAAAGUAAUAUUUUUUGGAAUAUUCUUGUUGAUGACUGCAUUCCUUCACCAAAUAAAUUACAGAAGAGCGUUGUUGAGGUAAUAUUUCUUUUAGUCUCUCUUUCACACAAAAAUAAACACAUACAAUUGGCACAUGCAUUGAUUAAUGUCUAAAAUCUCAGCAUUCCUUGAAAUCAAUAUAUAUACAGGCAUUCUGCAACGGUUGUUACCGGUAUUUUAUUUACUGCCUUCCUGGUAAGAUGCCAAAUUGGAUGAGCUACAGUGGAGAAGGAUGCCCAUUGUCAUUCCAUAUACCUCCAGUCUUCCAAGGCUUAGUUGUUUGGUUUGUCUGUUCACUUGAGAAGGUUCAUCGUCACUCCAUAUACUUAGACAUAGACAUUAUUAUUAUUAUAAGAAAUAAAAGCAACGGUAUUCAAUUGUUUGAAGAUGAACGAACAAAAUACACAUAUCCAGCACCAAAAACUGGGGGAUGGAUAAGAUACAUAAGUGGAAGUGAAAUGGCAAUGGAAGAUUACUGUGCAGAUGACGAAUUGGAACUAUACAUAUAUUCAAAGCCAAUACGGAUUGCUGUGCGCAACAGUUAUCCAUUCUACCUCCUGCACAUUAAAGAAUGUGGGGUUCAUGUGAUCGCAGGAAAGUCAAAUUCAUUUGAAGAGUCGGAAGUAGAAAGAGAUACAGUGAUGCCAUAUCAUCUGCUUCCUCACCCUCCUUGUGGUUCAAUUACAGCGUCUACACCAAAGCAAUGGAGUGAUUAUUUAUUUCCGAAGCUGCAAAAUCAUAACCUCAAUUUAACGCUUGAUGGUAAGAACAAAUAUUUCAUUUAGUUAUUUUUAUUCUAUUCUAUUUAAUUUAUGAGAUUAAAUAUUAUCUUUAAUUAUUUCAUUAUUAUUAUUUAAUCUAAAAAAUUAAAUAUCAUCUUUAAUAAAAAACAAUUAUUAAAUAUUUAAGGUUUUUUUUGGUAAGAAUACAUAUUUCCUUUAGUUAUUUCUAUUUUAUUCUAUUUAAUUUAAGAGAUUAAAUAUCAUCUUUAAAUAUUACAUUUUUAUUAUUUAAUCUAAAAAAUUAAAUAUUAUCUUUCACAAUAUUUUUUAUUAAAUAUUUAGAGUCUGCUUGGUUUUAUUUUUUUCUUGAUUUUAUGAUACCAUUUUUCUUAUUUAAUAUAAAAAAUAAGUAUUAUCUUUAAUAAUUAGAUUAUCGAAUAUCACUUAAAAAUAAAUUAUAUCUUUAAUAAUUAUUUAAAAAAAACAAAAGGCCAACAAUCACUAACAUAUUUUAUUAAAAUCACUUUAGUUUAUUUAGAAAAUAUUGAAAACUGAUUUUUGUUUUUUACAUUAAAAUAAAAAAUUGAAUAAUGUUUUUAUAUUUUAUUUCAAACUCGAUAUUUUAAAACAAAAAUGAAAAAGAUGUGAUAUUAACCUUUUUUAUUAUAAAGUAAGUUUUUUAAUUAAAAGUGAAGGGAAUUUGUUUGUAAUAACAAAAUGCAUAUACAAUCGUGCACGUUUAACUUUCUUUUCAAAUUUGGAAGUUUUAUUGAAUUUGAUGGUUUUUUAGGGGACAUAUGACAAGAUUAUUUCACAAAGAGAUGCUUGAUUAUUUAAGAGAUGCUUGAAGUUACUCCAAAUCAGUAUGGUAUUUAUGUCUGACGAGUUGAAUUUGAAGAUCAUUUUACAAACUUGUGUCUGACGAGUUGAAUUUGAAGAUCAUUUUACAAACUUGGAAGUUCUAUUGAAUACUCUUUGUAAUCUUUUCCAUCCGAUUUGAAAUUGGACAACCUAAUUAUUAUUAUCCAUGACGUAAUUUAUAUUUUCAAUUUACAAUUUUUGAUGAAUAUUGUUUCCUUUUUUUUUCUCACUUCUCGACGUAUUCUCCAAAAAAUGAAAAUCCUUGAUGCUAGUUAGAAAUAAAUUGGUUUUCUAGGAAGAGAUUAUUGAUUGGAAUAUAGUAUUUGAGUUGGUUCUUCAUGUUUAAUGUUAUAAUUUAAAAUAAUUGAUGAAAAUUACCGAUAUACAGGAAAGUUCUAAAAGCAUCAUUAAUUAGUCUAAUAAGAGUUGUUAGUUUUGGCUAUAAGAUAUUGCUAAGUAUUAUUGCAUGGUUUUUACUAUUUUUUUGCAUUUCUUUUUUUGUAUAUACAACUUUUGUUUUUCUUGCCAGUUUGUCAUUAGCUUCGUGACACCAACACCAAUUAAUAAUAAAUCUUGGACUAUUAUUAAAUAAAAAAAACAUAAAUAUUGUUAAAACACCAAACUUGCAUUGCUCAAACCUAAAGAAACCUAUGACAAUAAUCUAAUUUAGAAAAUAAUUAAUUUAUCCUUGUAGUCUUAGAAAAUAGUAUUUAAUCCUUAUGUUUUCAUAUUCAUCUAUGAUUUAAUGUGUUGAUUGAAAUUGACAAGUGAGUUUACUCACAUAUUGUUACAUUGUUUUUGAGUUCAAAUAGACGUUUGAAAAGGGAGUUUAUCUUCUUGGCAUUGUUCAAAGGAAAGCAAAAGGACAUUCCAAGUGUGAAAGUGUAUUAUUGUCAUAAAGUUUUUCAAACUUCCAAUAUAGAGAGUGAAAUAAAGAGCAAAAGGAAACAUCUUUCUUGUUCCCUUUCCCUUCUUUACAUGGCUUACUGAUCAAUGAAAAAGCAAACACUCAAUUUGAUUUUCAAUCAGUAUGAGAGUGCGAAAGGGAAUUGAAUUCAAAGAUCCCACGAAUGCAUGUUCUCCACAAACUUCCAACAAAUAGGAAUUGCAUCGAUGUUUCCUCGUGAUGUGAAUUUCUUAAACCCACUACCAGAAAUUCGCUAAAUACCAACGGAUUUACCGACGGAAUAUUUUUUGUCGGUAUUUUGAGGUCGAAAUUACCGACGGCCAUUUUCCGUCCGUAAUUCAAUCGGUAAAAACCGACGAAAACUUUUCCGUCCGUAAUUCAGUCGGUACAUACCGACGGAAAAUUUCUGUCGGUAUUUACCGACUGAAUUACGGACGGAAAAGUUUUCGAAUUUAAAAAAAGGCGGGUCGCUGACGUGGAGGUUUUGGCGGGUUAUUUUUUUCCGACGGAAUCGCCGACGGAUUCAAAAACGACUGCCCGUACAGUGCCCGUAAAGUGAUGUGACCGGUUCGCCGUUUAAAUUUCCGACGGACUCACCGAGGGAUUUGAAAUGGCAGAUCCGUACGGUGACAUGUCUAUGUUUCCGUCAGAAUCACCGGCGUAAUAACCGACGGAGUGUCCGUCGGUAAAACCGUCGGAAAAAGUUAAUAUAUGACAGCUCUGCCGACCCUCUCAUCCCCUAUUUCUCCUUCUUCUUCCUCAUCCCAACUCUCCCCAUCUGCAAACAACCAGCCCCCCUCCCCCUCCAAAAAAAAAAUCUUCCUCAUAUCAGCACAACAAGUUAUAUUUCUUGAAGUUUUGUGGUCACAGCAUCCGCGUGUGUUCUGAUUUACUGACGGAUUUUAUCAAUUUUUGUAAGUAAUUAUAUCUUUUUAAAUUUUAACAUUUAAUUAAAUGUCAAUUUUAUUGUUUUUUAAGUAUAUGUAUUUUGUUAGUAGAUGUACAUGUUUUAUUGUUAUUUCUCAAACAAACUUGUAGUAUAUGAAUGUAUAAUUUUGUACCUGUUAUGGUUUGUUUUAGAUUUUGUAAGAUUGUAUUUGUUUGUAAAUUGUUAUUUCUUUAUGGAAUUACCAAAUUACAUGUGCUAUUUUGAAAUAAUUAAUAGCUUGCUUAAUGGGCCCAUUUAAAGUUUUAUCAAUGGUAUUGCGGAGUGGUAAUUUCUGUAAAUGUAUAUUUUUUAAUUCGUAUGGACGUUGAUAAAUGAUAAUGAAUAUUUAAUAUUUAUGAGAAGUUGUGAUUGGUUUGUUGGAUAAUCUCGAGUUAAAGUAAUAUUUGUACAAGUUUAUUUACCUAACUUAGUUAAUUAAUACAUGAUGUCAUCAUAAUUUUAUAGAGGUUCGAUAUAAGUCAUGGAUGAUCGUUCAUGGAUGUAUCGAGAUUCACCCCAAGGAUUGCGGAGGAUGGAUUAUUGUAAUGGGGUUCAGGGUUUUAUUAAUUUCGUAACAUCUAUUCCCAGAAAUUUUACUAGAGGCGGUAUUAGGUGUCCAUGCCGGAAGUGUGAAAAUAAAAAGUAUCUGCAUCCAGAUGUUGUAAUGAUGCAUCUUCUACACAAAGGGUUUAUGGAGAAUUACCAGUGUUGGUAUGCACAUGGAGAAGUAUUUGUUAGCGAGAGUGAGAGGAGAAUGGAAGAAACGGUGGUUGGGUCUACUUCUAGUGCUAGCAACGUGCAUGAAACGGCAAAUGACAACACUAAUCCUUACAGAAAUAUGGUUAUGGAUGCAAUGAGAAUGAAUCAAGGUAAUGGCAGUCAAUGUCCAAUCGUAGAAGAAGAACCUAAUGUAGAUGCAGCUAGGUUUUUUGAUUUGUUGAAAGAUUCUGACGAACCAUUAUGGGAUGGCUGCACGAACCACAGUAAAUUAUCGGCCGUAGCACAGGUGUUCACCAUCAAGUCAGAUCACGGGUUGAGUGAGGCCGGGUAUGACAAGAUUAUUGAAUGGGCAAGAAGCAUUUUACCUGAAGGGAACAGGCUGAAAGAGAACUUCUAUGCUGCGAAGUCCAUGAUGAAACCCCUCGGUUUAGGAUACCAGAAAAUUGACAUGUGCCCUAACUUCUGCAUGUUAAACUACCUUGAUAAUGCUGAGAUGACCGAGUGCAUGACAUGCGGGCAUUCCCGUUAUAAACCUAGAACUGGCAGGGGAAAGACUCUAGUGGCAUAUAAAAAACUUAGAUACUUCCCGAUCACACCUAGACUGCAGAGGUUAUUCAUGUCACCAAGGACUGCUGAGCACAUGACAUGGCACCAAGCACACCAUGCGGUUGAUGGAGUGAUGGUUCAUCCUUCUGACGGCGAAGCGUGGAAACGCUUUAACAGUGUUCAUCCUCACUUUUCAGCUGAAUCAAGGAAUGUGCGUCUUGGGUUGUGUACAGAUGGAUUCAACCCAUUUGGGUCAUUUGCUGCUCCUUAUUCUUGUUGGCCGGUCAUACUCACAGUUUAUAACUUGCCACCGGGAAUGUGUAUGAGGCCUGAGUUCAUCAUACCCGGUCCAAGAAGCCCGGGGCGGAAUAUAGAUGUUUGUCUUCGACCGUUGAUUGAUGAGUUGGUGCAGUUGUGGUCCUCCGGAGCUCUGACUUAUGAUAUAUCGAGGAAACAAAAUUUCCUUAUGAGGGCGGCAUUGAUGUGGACUAUCAAUGAUUUUCCAGCUUAUGGAAUGCUUUCUGGUUGGAGCACGCUUGGGAAACUCGCAUGUCCAUUCUGCAUGGAAAACAACAAGGCAUUCACGCUAGCAAAUGGAGGUAAAGCAUCUUUUUUUGACUGUCACCGUCGCUUCUUGCCACUUCAUCACAGGUACAGAAAGAACAGAAAAGAUUUUUUUGUUGGCAGAGUUGAAAAAGAUGUUGCAUCCACGCGUCUUUCUGGUGAAGAAUUGCAUGAUGUUGUCUCAGAGUACGGUGACAUUGUGUUUGGCCUUCAAUCAGGAAAGCAAAAGUUUCCUGGUUUUGGUUUGACCCAUAAUUGGGUAAAGCGAAGUAUCUUUUUUGAGCUUCCUUAUUGGAAGACCAAUCUGCUUCGCCAUAACCUUGACGUCAUGCACAUCGAAAAGAACAUGUUUGAGAAUAUUUUCAACACCGUCAUGGAUGUGAAGGGGAAGACAAAGGACAACCUCAAGGCUAGAUUGGAUAUAGCUUUAUACUGUAACCAAAAAAAUAUGGAGUUGGUUUAUGAUGAGUCACGGGUUGCAAAACCAAGAGCAAGCUUCGUGUUGGAGAAAAACGCACAACUGCUAGUCUACAAAUGGCUUAAGAGUCUGCGUUUUCCGGAUGGACAUGCAUCGAACAUAUCAAGGCUGGUUAAUAUAGAGGACUGCAGAUUGUAUGGAAUGAAGAGUCAUGACUGCCACGUGUUUAUGCAAACACUCAUCCCAUUAGCUUUUCGUGAUUUGUUGCCAAAGGGAAUAUGGGAUGCACUCACGGAGAUCAGUCAUUUCUUCAGAGAUAUAUGCUCCAGCAAGUUGAAUGUUGAUCAUAUUGAGAGGCUUCAAACGAAUAUCGUCGAGACACUAUGCAAACUUGAGAUGAUAUUCCCUCCAUCAUUUUUUGACUCAAUGGAGCAUCUCCCUAUACAUCUACCGUUCGAGGCAAAAGCUGGAGGACCGGUCCAAUAUAGAUGGAUGUACCCAUUCGAACGGUUAGAUAUUACAGUUGUAAUGUAAUUCAUAUAUUAAAGUAUUUUAUAUGUUUUUCUUAAUUGAAAAUACUUGAUUAAUAUUUCAAUGCAGGUACUUGUUUAAUCUUAAGAAAAAGGUUAAGAACAAGGCGCAUGUUGAGGCUUCGAUAUGUGAGGCCUAUAUUGUUGAGGAGAUCUCAACAUUUAUCUCGUACUAUUUCGAACCUCAUCUGAGAACGAGAAUCAAUCGCGUUCCACGGCAUGAUGAUGGCGGUGAAGUGCCUUCCAGUGGGAACUUGUCAAUAUUCUCCAAUACUGGAUGACCCACACCUAAAAAUGCCGUAAGAGGAAGAUAUUUGUCGGAAAUAGAGUUCAAACAAGCACACAACUAUGUUCUAUUUAACUGUGAUGAGCUGAGACCUUUUUAUUCAGUAAGUUUAUACUAAUUAAACUUUGUUAGUAAUAUACUGUUAAUUAUAUAUUGUAAUAUCAUACACUCAUUAUCACUUGCAGGCAACAUCGUCAAUUUUUGCUCUCCAAUAACUCACAGCUGACUGAAUCCCAGAUCUUUCAAUUACAAGAUGAGAAGUUUGCCACGUGGUUCAGAACACAUGUAAGCACUAUCACAAACUCAUUAUAACUUGCAAAAUUACUGUACAUAUGCAUGUCAUUACGAGAUUCUCGUUCAUUUACUGUUUAUUGAUGUACAUUACAUGCAAGGUUUAUCAAAUGGGAAGGAGUGCACCUAAGUCAUUGUCUUUACUAAGCCUGGGGCCUGAAAGAAAAUGUAAGUGCUACAACGGGUAUUUUUUCAAUGGAUAUGUUUUCCAUACUGAAGAAUACGGGCAAGGAAGAAAGACAUACAACAGCGGUGUUUGUGUUAAGGGAUCCACUAGUAGUGAGUUAGAAGUUGACUACUAUGGUAGAUUAGAAGAGGUCGUCGAACUGCAAUAUCAUAACGAGCAGAAUAUAGUGUUUUUAUUCAAAUGCUAUUGGUAUGACACGACUGACAGAGGAAUCAGAGUUGAUCCGCACUAUGGUCUGGUCGAAAUCAACUCAAAAGCUAGACUCUGCAACAUAAACGAUGUCUUUGUUUUCGCAAAGCAAUGUCAACAAGUUUAUUACACAUACACCCCUUCAUUUAGAAAGGAUCGAUCAAGAGUGGAUUGGUUGUCCGUUUUAAAAACGAAACCCCGGGGUCGUGUCGAGGUUGUUCAGGAUGAGAACGAAGACACAAGUGUGCGAGAUGAAGUCUUUCAAGUUAGUGAGGUGGUUGAACCAUAUCGAGUUGCUCCUUCGAUUGAAUUGGAAGAAAAUUUUCAAAUUUUCGUGUUUUCGAUGAUAGUCUUGUUGAUGUUGACGCAGAUGAGUUAAAUUUUGUUUUGAGCUCUAGCGGACAACCAAAUAUCGAUGAAGAAGAUGAUAUUCAUAUUGAAGAUUGCGAUGAAGGUGAUGACAAUUCAAUUGAUGACGAAGAAGAAGAAAAUUCAGACUAACUACCAAAAUGAAGCCCUAUGUAAAACCCUUUUUUACAUGUAAUUUAGAUUAUGAAUGAUAUAUAUAUUUUGAAACACAAAAUAUUUAUCACUUGAAAUAAUUAGUUGAAAUGCCACAAUUAUGAUGGAUAAUAUGUUUUGUGACAUGAAAUAAUUAUUUGAAAUGCCACCAGAUCACCGACGGCCACACCGACGGCCUUAAGUCCGUCGGCAUUUCACAGAGAGUUCGAAAAUAAUUACUUAAAAUGCCACCAUAUCACCGACGGCCUUAAGUCCGUCGGCAUUUCACAGAGAGUUCGAAAAUAAUUACUUGAAAUGCCACCCAAUUACAGACGGAAACACCGACGGACUAAUUCCGUCGGUGUUUCACAGAGAGUUCAAAAAUAAUUACUUGAAAUGCCACCCAAUUAUAGACGGAAACACCGACGGAAUUAGUCUGUCGGUGUUUCACAGAGAGUUCGAAAAUAAUUACUUGAAAUGCCACCACAUCACCGACGGACACACCGACGAAUUUAAAUACGUCGGUAAGUUGUCGGUGGUUUAAUUUUACCGACAACAUUACCGACGAACUGCACGAAUUUCAAAGGGUUGCGCAUUAAAUGCGCCUCUGACCGCGUAAUAUUGCCGACGGAAUUACCGACGGACAACGAAAAAUAUGGAGGGUCAUUAAAAAUUUUGGUGCGAAAUUCAAAAUUUGCCAACGGAUUUUUAGCACAUCACCGACGGAAUAAAUUAAAAUAAUAAUUAAUUUUAUAUCCGUCGGUGAAGCCGUCGGUAAAACUGCCAUAUAAGUUCAAGUGACCGCCCGUUCAGUUCAUUUUUUCUUCUCCUUCGUUUCUCACCUUAAGCUUUUGAUUUUUUUCCUCUCUAUUCUUCAAAGCUUUCACCUCCAAUCUCUAGUAAGUUUUCUUCAUCAGUUUAAAAGGUUAGUGUUUUCUCAAUUUCAUUUUACUUUAAUAGUUUUUUUUUGCUAUUUUUUUGGGUAUUGUUUUUUGUUUUGGUGUAUUUUUUGUAAUGUAGAUAAAGUCUAUAGUUUUGUUUUUGCAUAAUUCAUUGCUAAAGUAUAUAGUUUUUUUUUUUGAAUUUUUUGAAUAUUUUUUAUUGUUGUAUUGGCAUAAUUAUUAUUAGUUAAUUUGUUGAAUUUUUAUUGUUAAUGUUGAAUUUACCAUAGAAUUAGUAAUUGAAUAUGUUGGAAUAAUUAUUAAUUUUACUUUAUUAUUGCAUGAUUUGUGUUUAAUUUGUUCCAUUUAUUUUGAUUGUUAUUCCAGAGUUUUUUUUUUUAAUUUAUUGUUUUGUUGUAUUGGCAUAAUUAUUGAAUAAUUACUUGAAUUGUAAUUGUUAAUGUUGAAUUUACCGUAGAAUUAGUAAUUGAAUAUGUUGGAAUAAUUAUUAGUUUUACUCUAUUAUUGCAUGCUUUGUGUUUAAUUUUUUCCAUUUAUUUUGAUUGUUAUUCUAGAGUUUUUUUAUUAUUAUUUUGUUGUAUUGGCAUAAUUAUUGAAUAAUUACUUGAAUUGUAAUUGUUAAUGUUGAAUUUACCGUAGAAUUAGUAAUUGAAUAUGUUGGAAUAAUUAUUAGUUUUACUCUAUUAUUGCAUGCUUUGUGUUUAAUUUUUUCCAUUUAUUUUGAUUGUUAUUCUAGAGUUUUUUUAUUAUUAUUUUGUUGUAUUGGCAUAAUUAUUGAAUAAUUACUUGAAUUGUAAUUGUUAAUGUUGAAUUUACCGUAGAAUUAGUAAUUGAAUAUGUUGGAAUAAUUAUUAGUUUUACUCUAUUAUUGCAUGCUUUGUGUUUAAUUUUUUCCAUUUAUUUUGAUUGUUAUUCUAGAGUUUUUUUUUAUUAUUAUUUUGUUGUAUUGGCAUAAUUAUUGAAUAAUUACUUGAAUUGUAAUUCUUAAUGUUGAAUUUACCUUAGAAUUAGUAAUUGAAUAUGUUGGAAUAAUUAGUAUAGAUUGGGUAAAUUGGUUGUGGCUAUUGUUAAUAUGUGCAGGUUUGUGGUUUUGGGUAGUAUCCGUUAUAGGGGAGGUGCUGUCGAAUUUUUUUUUUACAUUUGAAUUUAAUUAUAUAAUUAUCUGUAUCAAAUUGUGUAGAUGCGUAGAAUGAAAACCAGAGCUGGUCGCUUAGGUGCGGUCGCAGCUAGUUCGUCUAGCAGCGAGGAUGAUAUUUCCUUAGGUGCCUCUCAAGAAGAGGCACCUACACCACCUGCGCCGUCAACCGAUGCUGCCUCUUCCAGCGGUACUUCACAGCGUAGAGGCGGUGUGCCUUCGCAACGGAAUCAAUUUACCCGCAAGUACGAGGCACAGUGAAAGGACGACCUUUCAAUGUAAGUUUGUUAAGGUUUUAGUUUUUUUAAAAAAAAAUUACAACAUAAUUUAUCAAGUAAUCACUAUUGAAUUUAUUUCAUUUAUUUUCAGGUUCACAAACAUUGAAGCCGCCCGAGUAAUAUCAUCGGCGUUUAAAUCGUCGAUGGAGAUUCCAUUGUUUCAAUGGAGUCAGAUAUCCAAGCAUCCUGAAUGGAUGCCUCAAAUCAAUGCAUGGUUUAACAGGUUUGAGGUUGGUAUUAAUUUAUAAUUUUCAGCUUAUUAAUAUAAUUGUAAAUAAAUUAUUAUUUUUAUUUAAACUUGUUUAUUUAUACAAAGCACAAAUUCUGCUGGGACAUUGAGCAUAACGCUGUUGUGAGGAGGGUGUGGGAAAAUCACGCGGCAACUAGGUAAGAUCGAAAACAAUACAGGAUUUUUUAGACAAAAUUUUAUGUUUCGAAAUGUAAUUUUUGGUUGCGUGAAGCAGGUUGCGUGAUUUUUGGUAUGAAGCACAGAAAAAGGCAAAAAAAAACUGCGAGGGAUAGGGGUUUCCAAGGCUGGAACGAUGUUGCGGUUUGGAGGGAUUUCAAACCGAUAUACAUCCCGGAAGAUAUAUGGCCGCACUAUCUUGAGCACGUGACGUCUGAGCGGUUCACACGACGCUCACAGUCCGGUGCUGGCAACCGGAAUCGGCCAAUUCAUGGCGGGGUGACAACUCACACUGGCGGCUCCGUUCCGUUUGCUGCACAUGCGAAACGGAUGGUAAGAUUAAUUUAAAUGAAAUAUAUCGUUAAAUUCAGUUGUUGUUAAUAUAUCUUUUUUCAUUAUAGGCUGCGUCUCUUGGAAGUGAGCCGAGCCCGAUGGAGCUGUUUGUGGAGACGCACGUGCGGAGUCAAGACCGCCAGAAGGGGGCGCAACAGUUCGUUGAUAACCGUGCUCAGUAUUUCGUGGUAUGUUUGUUCAACCAUUUUAUUUUGUAAGUUAUUAUGUAAGUUAUUAUGUUUAUUGUAUUGAAUAUGAUUAUUACUUUUUUUAUUUAUUUUCAGGAGACCUACAAUAAUCGGUUGAGGGAGAGAUACGGGGACGAUACUUUGACCCAUCCGGAAUUCGAUCCGGAUUUGUGGAUGGAGGUUGGCUCGUCAGGUGGACCCGAUAAAAAUCGGGUUUACGGGCUCUCCAACACUACGGCCGACAACUUGCGGUCGACCCGUAGUUUUUCAACCGUUGGGAGCUCCCAAUCAAUAUCGAGCUCCCAAUCUAAGGAGUCUGUGGCUUUGCAGCAACUCACCGAGAAAUACGAUAACCUACAAGCGGAGUACGCACAACUCAAAGCGUCUCAUGCACAACAAAGAGCGGAACAAAUAGCGGAGUCUGAGCAAUUCAAAGCGUCUCAAGCACAACAAAAAGCGGAGUAUGAAGCGGCUCAGGAACAACAAAAAGCGGCUUAUGACCAGCUUUACGAAAUGAUUAUGAAAUUGUCAAAUAGCGGAACAUGUGCGCCUAAUCCUUUUUGGUCGUAUAACCACCAGCCUCCGCCAGGAUCUCCUCCUCCUCCUCAAGCUCCAUCAUCUUUAUAUUAAUUUGUAAUCAACAUUAUUUACCUUUAAAACUUCAUUUAUUAUUUUUCUUGAAACAUAUUCAGUUUGUAAUGAAUAUUAUUUAACUUUGUUUUUUUUUAUGUUUAAUAAAAAUUUUAUUUGCAUAAUUGGUUUGUAUAACAAUUAAUUUAUAUAGUUUUAUAUUAUAUAUCCUAAAUAAUUUUUUAAAAACAAAUUAAGAAAAAAACUAUUACCAAGGAUUUCACCGACGGAUGAAUUCGGUCGGUAUUUUAAACUUUCACCGACAGAAUUACCGACGAAAUUAAUCCGUCACCAUUUAACAGUAGCUUCUACCAUUACCGACGAAGUUACAAACGGAAAUAUUCCGUCGGUAUUUCAUACAUUCACCGACCGAUUUAACGACGGAUAUUUUCCGUCGGUAAUUGUAACUUCACCGACGGAAUGAAAAUCCGUCGGUAUAUUUCAAGCGGGAAUCUUUUUUUUUUUGGCGAGCACGUUCCGUCUGUAAAACCAUCGGUAAAUGUUUUUUUUGUUUUUCCGACUGAUAUACUGACGGAAUGGGGAAUCACCGACGAAGGUAAAGCCGGCGGAAGUAUUCCGUCGGUGAUAACGUCGGUAAAAAAAUCACCGACGAACUUCUAAUCACAGACCGACGGAAUUUUUCCGUCGGUAAAACUGUGAAAUCUUGUAGUUUAGAUCGAGGUCCUUAAGUGUGGUUGUUUCAUCAAUUUCACCCUCAAGCUUGUCAAAUGGGUAUACCUUUUUUCUCUAAGAUUCACUUGCACACAUUUAUGGAGUCAUUAUACUUUACAUUUUUCAAUGUGAAACAAUAAAAUACUUAAUUGACUCGCUAUCAAGGACUUGCUUUUGUCUGUGAGCAGGCAUGAAGCAAAAUUUAUCAAAGAGAUUAUCAAGGAUGUGUUGAAUAAAUUAGAUCCCAAGCAAGGGCGGAGGCAUGUCAAAGGCAUGGGUACCCUAUAGCCCAGGUUAAGAUUUUAUCAAUAUUUUUUUACUAGUUUUAUGUAAAACAAAUUCGUAAUUCUUGAUUGAGUUAUCAUAAAAUUCUGAAAAUUUGUGUGUAGCCUUCUAGUAUGAUGCUUUAACUUGGGUUAAAAUUUCAGAAGUUUUGAAAAAAUUCAGAAAUUUGAUGAAAAAUCACAAUUUGACCAGUUUUACAUUAUUGGAUGUAAUUUUCAAUCCGAUCAUCAGAUUGAGCUGAAAUUUUAUGAGAAAUCUUAAAAUAUAUUGAAUAAAAUCUGGUUAAAAUUUUAGGAUGAAUAGAGCUUGGUAGUGCUAAGAAAAAAAAAGACCGUCAAAUAAAAGCAAAACAACUCAUUAAGGGUAAAAUGGUUACUUGCCAUUAAAAAAUAAAACAAAUCAGCUAUUCCUUCCUUUUAUAUGUUGCCGACUGGGCAAAAGCAGAAUAGGAAAAGAAAGAAAAGAAAAGGCGAGAGAGAAAGAGAGAAAAGUAAGGGAAAACAUAAAAAACAAUUCAAGGAAAAAAAUUAAAAAAAGUGAGAGAAUAACCUUGUAAACUUACAAAGUCCAACUUAUAAAACACUAAUCUAAGAAAGAAUCAAGUGAAGGAAGGAGGAAUUGAGAGAGAGAAAAAAUUUAAUUACUUUUUUUUCUAGUUGACAUGAGAUUGUUAUUUUAUUCGGGUUGAGAGGUUGUUAUAAUAUCGAUUCAAAUUCGAAUAUAGAUAAAUUAUAUUUCACAAAACAUUGAAGGAUGUAACUUCAAUAGUGGGUUUAUUUUUACUUUCACUUCAAUUUUAUGUACUUUGAAAUUUAUUUUUAAUAUUUUAAGUAGUGUAUUUGAAUUAAAACUUUACUGUUAAUUUUAAAAAUUCAUGUAUAUGAAUUAAUAAUUUAUUUUAAAAAAAAAUUAUAUAUUUAUUUAAUAGCCUAAAAAUUCCUGACUCCGCCCUUGAUACCAAGUACUUAUAUGUUCCUGAGCACCUAGUAGGUAUGGAUCGGCUUGCUCACAAUAUUUUUGACUUUCUAAGAACAUGUUUGGGAACGUCGUGCAAACCGCGUUUCCAAAAAAUUUAAUUUUUUUUUUGCUAAAAUUUAAUAUGAUUUGUACGUUUUGGAUUGUUUUGAUAUGCUGAUGUCAAAAAUAAUUUUUAAAAAAUAAAAAAAAUCAUUAGCAUGCAUUUCGGCACAAAAAGUUAUUUGAAAAGCAACCGCUACCACACUGUCAAGCACCCUCUAAGUACUGCAACAGAUGAUGUACGCAUUGUGGGCAAACAUGGGAUGCCAGGAAUAGGAAAGACGACUAUAGCAAAAUUUGUAUUUAAUCAACUCUGCUAUGGAUUCGACGAAAGCUGUUUUCUUUCUAAUAUCAAUGAAACACCAAAACAAUUUAAUGGUCUUGUUCCUUUACAAAAGCAACUUCUUCACGAUAUUUUCACACAGGAUGCUGCAAACAUCAAUUGUCAUGAUAGAGGAAAGGUUAUGAUCAAAGAACGACUUCGUCACAAAAGAGUUCUUGUUGUUGCUGAUGAUGUGGCUCCUCAAGACCAGCUAAAAGCUUUGAUGGGAGAGCGAAGUUGGUUUGGUCCCGGAAGUAGAGUCAUUAUUACAACAAGAGAUUCAAAUCUUCUUCAUAAAGCAAUGUUAGAGAAUAAUAUAAAUCAUAUCCUGGGAUCUCACCUAACAGCUUAAGCUUUUGGGUUGAGAUGGUUCUUUGACAUGAUAUCAGAGUCUUGAUGACCAAGUGGUCACGAGUUCGAAUCUCACCAACCCAUUUAUUUGAUAAAAAUUAAGCACAAGGUAAUAUGGAUUUGUGCAAGUUUCAAGCCCAAAGGGCUUUCACUUGAGGGGUGUGCUAGAGAAUAAUAUAAAUCAUAUCCUGGGACCUCACUUAACAGCUUAAGUAUUGGGUUAAAAUGAUUCUUUAACAGCAGAUCAAACAUAUCGGAUCAAAGAAUUGACAUGAGAUCAAUCCCUUCGGCUUUUCAGCUGGCAUGCCUUUAAGGACACCAAGCUAGAAGAAGAUUAUAUUGAGCUUUCGAAGGAUGCAGUUGAUUACUGUGGAGGACUUCCUUUAGCUCUUGAGGUUAUAGGAGCUUGUCUGUACGGGAAAAACAAAGAUAGAUGGAAAAAUGAAAUUUACAACUUGAGCAGAAUUCCAGAAAACAAUAUUCAAGGAAAGCUUCUAAUAAGUUUUGACGCACUGGAUGGUGAACUACAAAAUGCGUUCCUUGAUAUUGCAUGCUUCUUUACUGAUAUAGAGAAAGAAUACGUCGCAAAAGUGCAUUAUUUGAUAUUGCAUGCUUCUUUAUUGGUAUAGAGAAAGAAUACGUCUACAAUCCAGAAGUUGUUUUGGAAACUCUCCGUGAAAGGUCUCUGAUUAAAGUAUUUAGAGGGAUAGUAACCAUGCAUGAUCUAUUUUUUUAUAUAUAGUAAACGAGAGAAUUAUAUAUUAUAAGCAGCCCUAUCAAGUAGGUGGAGCUGAAAGAGAGAUAGAAUACGAUGGGAAUAUAAAAGAAAAGAAAAGACCAAAGCAAUGAGGGACCUAAUUAGUUAGUCCAGUUCAUAAUAUAUUCAGAAUUUCUAAAAAGAUCUGAGCCUGUAUAGCUAAAAUUUCUAACUGAGGACUUCAACCAGAAGGCCAAACGGUGAAAAGUGAGAUAAAAAAUCAUAUCCCAAUCCAGAGCCUUGGAUUUGAAGAUUAAGCGGUUGCGCGCUAUCCAAAUUGACCAGUAUAGACCUUUACAGAGAAGGGUAAUAGCACGUCGCUGAAAUUUCCAUUGAUCAAGCCAGACCAUUCCUGUAGAUUUUGAUUUGGGUCUUUGUGCAGAUAGCCUGAGCACCCGAACCAGUUCAAGAAACAACCCAAAAGAGACCAUGUUAUAGGACACCAAUGGAAAAGAUGAUUAAUUGUCUCAGUUUCCUUGCAGCAGAAUGGACAAUGAGAUUCCUCAUAAUUAAUGAUUCUCCUCUCAGCUAAAAAGCUUCUUGUACUCAGACUGCCAUAAAGAAGAAGCCAUAUGAACACAUCCACUUUUGGUGGGGCAUAACCAUUCCAUAGCAGAACAGGGGAGUGAUUAUUUUCAGUGGCCGAUAGACUAUUAAAGAAGAGGCAACCUAAUUGAACUGAGUACAUGCCAGAGCUGUGGAAUUUUCAUAACUUGUCGUCUGCACCCUCUGAGAAAACGAGACAACACUGCACCUCUACAAUCAAGCUCUCCCUCAUGCAGUUCUCACGGGGCCGGAGGAGUCUUCUCCAGGUUGAGAGAUGUAUCUGUCAAAUUAUAUAUAUCUGCAAGGCUGGUUUUUUGCUGGAGGGAAAGGUUAUAAAGUCUGGGGUAUAAGAGCUAGAGAGUGGUUGCAGAGCCAAGCCAAGAGUCGGUCCAAAACCAAAUGUUCCUCUCGUCACCCACCUUGAACCUGACAUUUGCAUGUAAGAGAUUGGCUAUGUUUUGUGUUGAAAAGUUCGUCAAAACAAUGCCAUGCCAAGUUGGAGAUAAAGAACCUGUAAACGCAGGGAUACCAUUCAUAAAGUGAGGUCGGUAUUUUAGAAGAAUGUGUUCUUGCCAGCCUCCUGCCACUCCCUUAUCUAGAUUCCAUAGCCAUUUAAAUAGUAGAGCCAAAUUUUUGUUGUAUAUGGAUCCCAGCCCGAGACCACCAAAAGAUUUACUCUUUAUUACUCUGUGCCAAGCCACCUUAAAAAUGCCAUGAGAUGUUGAGGUUCCCUUCCAGAGAAAAGACCGGGUUAGAGAAGAGAUGACUUUAAUAAUAUGCUUUGGCAUAGCAAAAACAGACAUGUAUAACAAAGGAAGAGAGCUCAAGACUGAUUUAAUUAGACAUGUCAUUCCCGCCAUUCUAAAAAAAUUCCCUUUCCAUGUGCUUAGCUUUGCUCUGAUUGUGGACAACAGUGGUUUCCAAGUAGAGAGUCUGCUGGGAUUGGCUCCAAGAGGUAGUCCAAGGUACCUAACCGGGAAAGUAUCACUACGACAGAAAACUGAGUUCGCCAGGCUAGAGGUGUAGUCAUUGUCCAAGUUGAUACCUAUUAGUGAGCUUUUAUAGAAAUUAACUUUCAGUUCAGAAAUGAUAUCAAACCAACGAAGAAUCCUCUUGGCAUGUAGAAGAGAGGGAAAAUCAUUUGGCAGGAAAAUCAGAGAGUCAUCGGCAUAUUGUAAAUGAGUUAUAUAAUGUCCUGGAGCAGUCUGUAAGCCUUUGAAGUAACCUGAAGCGGAUGCCCUAUUGAAUAAAACUGUCAACCCCUGAACUGCGAUGUCAAAUAGGAAAGGAGAGAGAGGGUCCCCUUGCCUGAGACCCCUCUUCAGACUAAAUUCUCUACUGGGGGAACUGUUUAUCAAGAUGGCUAAUUUAGAAGUGGAUAAGCAUUCAAAGAUCAGCUUCCUCCAGGGUGAGCCAAAACCCAUGUAUCCGAUGCUUGUGUCAAUAUGUUCCCACAAAAUUGAGUCAAAGGCUUUAUGGAAAUAUACCUUCAGUAAAAGGCCAUGCUCCUUCUUGCUACGCACACCAUAGACAACCUCAUUUACUAUCAUGAACUUGUCUAAAAUCUGACGCCUAGCAAUGAAUGCAGACUGGUUAACACUGAUUACAUCUAUCAGGACACAUCGAAGCCUAGAGGACAGUAGCUUUGCCACUAUUUUAUAUAACCCGUAAAUCAAGCUUAUCGAACAAAAAUGGGAGAAUCUGCUCGGCCCCUUUGUUUUUAGAAUCAGAGUUACAAAAGAAGAGCUGAUACCCUUUGGUAGUUUACUAGUUCUGAAAAAAAAAUUUAACCAGCAUAAAAACCUCUGAGCUGAUGAUAUUCCAUACCUUUUUAUAGAAGGAGAAGGUGAAACCAUCGGGGCCAAGGGCUUUGGAACCAUCACAGUCCCAUAUAGCUUGCUUCACUUCUUCCAUUGAAGGUGGUCUUUCUAGCGAAAUUGACUUGGCUUCUGAAAUUUUGGAGAGCCUCCCAUUUCAAUUCUUUUACACGUUGGUUUGCGAAACAAGGAUGAGAAGAAGUUGACAGCGCCUUUUUUGAUAUCAUUUGAGGAGACUAGGUGACUGCCAUUAUGUUCAAUCUUACUAAUGUAGUAACGGCCUUUCCUUAGACUUGCUGAUAUGUGAAAAAAAACAAGUGUUCUUAUCCCCCAUUUUACACGAGUUUUGACGAGAUUUUUGCCUCCAGAUAUCUUCAACCCUUCUGUUAACCUCCCAUAGUUCAGAGUUCAGCUCCUGGAACUUUGUUUUUUCGGUCUUAGACAAGGGACGCACUUCGCUUAAGUUUUCAAGUGUUGUAAUGGAGUUCUGGAUGUCUGCAAGUUUUAGAUUCUGAUCCCUGAAAGUGAAUUUAUUCCACUGUUCUUUAAUCAUUGGGCAAGUCACCCAAAACAAUUUGAUCAUUUCAAAAAAAAAAAGUGGGUCGUCUUCCAAAUGACUUGUUUCUUGAUUUCAACAUCUCUCUCUCUCUUGUUUUUGAAGUUUUCAAAGACUAAAAAAAAACAAAAGUUCGUUUUGUAGCUACUUUUCUUUAUAAAUUUAAUACGCAAAGCCAAGAGAAAACAAAAUUUUCUAAUAUCUUUGCAUAGUAAAUAUUAUAACCCAAUUUUUUACCCUUUUAUUUUAAUUAUUAAUAUUACUAUUAUUAUUAUUAUUUACUGAAAAAAUGAAAAAAAAUGAAAAAAUGAUGAUGAAAAACAAAUAAAAAUGAAAUAAAUGAAGAAUGAAUUAAAAUUUGGGGUUAACGGCAACAUGAUUGGAAGUUUUGGGGUUUAAUUAAACUUUGGAUUAGUUUUAUUGACAAAAUCAAGAGCUUAAUUGAUGAAUUGAUAAGUUUGGGACUUAAUUGGACUUGGAUUUAAUUUAAUUAAUGAAAUCAGAGACUUAAUUGAGAAAUACCAAAGUUUGGGGUUAAUUGGGGGGGACCAUUGCAACAGAUUAAAGUCCAAGGACUAACUUGUAAAAGACGCCGAAAUGCAGGGGUCCAAUUACAAUUUAACUAGGGGUUUAAUUACAAAACUUUCAAAACUUCAAGUGCCAAAAUGCAUAUAGCUGUGAAUACCAAAACGGCACCGUUUCCAGUUGCUGUUCAUCUUCCUCACCUGACCGAAACAGACGCCCACCGCCUAACAGCCAUUACUUCUGCAAUUAUCACACUUUAUGGUUGGAAGAAACGGCAUUGUUUUCUCUGGCUAUAAAAGCCAAAGAACGACUGAGCAGAGGCGGGGGGGCGAGCGAAAAAAAAACCGGGAGGAGAAUAUCAAGAGAGAGGAGAAAAAAAAGCCAGAAUCAAGGGAGGGGAAAAGGAAACAGAGGUCGAAACCCAGGGGAGAGCAAGAAAAAAACACAAACAAAAAAAGAAGAACAACACAGAAAAAGACCAUUAACACCCAGCAUCACCAUCGGCUUCCUCUUCUCCAGCGCCAGAAGAAAUAAGGCCAGAAGAACGCAAGGAAAGGGUGCCCUGCCAAGCUGUUACGAUUCAAGUUACCAUAGAAUUAAGGUUACUAGCUUACAAAUAAAGAAGUACUGUUUCCAGUACAGAACAGAAUUGCUAGCCUUCAAGCAAAGAAUUGCAGCAUCUGCUGAAUGUGGAAAACGUUAUGCCUUCACCACCGCUGUAUCAUCUGCUUCCUCAUCUCCAUUAUGGUUCAAUUACAGCAUCUAUACCUAAGCAAUGGAGUGACUUUUUAUUUGCGAAGCUGCAAGAACAUUGCCUCAAUUUAUGGAUUUUUUGUAAGAAUACAUAUUUCCUUUAGUUAUUUCUAUUUUAUUAAAUAGUAUCUUUAAUUAUUUUAUUAUUAUUAUUUAAUAUAAAAAUUAAAUAUCAUCUUUAAUAAAAAAAAUAUUAAAUAUUUAAUGCUUUUUGGUAAGAAUACAUAUUUCCUUUAGUUAUUUCUAUUUUAUUCUAUUUAAUUUAAGAGAUUAAAUAUCAUCUUUAAUUAUUACAUUUUUCUUAUUUAAUUUAAAAAAUUAAAUAUUAUCUUUAACAAUAUUUUUUAUUAAAUAUUUAGAUUAUGCUUGGUUUUAUUUUUUUUUCUUGAUUUUAUGAUAAUAGUUUUCUUAUUUAAUAUAAAAAAUAAAUAUUAUCUUUAAUAAUUAGAUCUAUCGAAUAUCACUUAAAAAAUAAAUUAUAACUUUAAUAAUUAUUUUUUGAAAAACAAAAAGCCAACAGUCACUAACAUAUUUUAUUAAAAUCACUUUAGUUAUUUAGAAAAUAUUGAAAAUUGAUUUUUGUUGUUUUACAUUAAAAUAAAAAAAAUUGAAUAAUGUUUUUAUAUUUUAUUUCAAACUCAUAUUUUAAAACAAAAAUGAAAAAUAUGUGAUAUUAACCUUUUUUAUUAUAAAGUAAGCUUUUCAAUUAAAAGUGAUGGGAAUUUUUUCGUGAUAACAAAAUGCAUGUACAAUCAUGCACAUUUAAUUAAAAGUGAUGGGAAGUUCUAUUGAAUUUGAUGGUUUUUUAAGGUACAGAAGACUUGGAUUGACGUGAGAGUACAAGAUCAUUUUACAUAGAGAUGCUUGAAGUUGCUCCAAAUCAGUAUGAUACUUCCAUCUGACAUGUAUUUGUUGGCUUGAAGAUCAUUUUCCAAGCUUGGAAGUUUUAUUCAAUGCUCUUUGAAAUCUUUUCCAUCCGCUUUUAUAUUGGACAACCUCGUUGUUAAUUAUUAUCCAUGAUGUAAUUUAUAUUUUCAAGUUACAAAUUUUGAUGAAUAUUGUUUUAUUUUUUUCCUCACUUCAAAAGAUGAAAAUCCUUGAUGUUAGUUAGAAAUAAAUUGGUUUUCUAGGAAGAGAUUAUUGAUUGGGAUAUAGUGUUUAAGUUGGUUCUUCAUCAUUUAAUGUUAUAAUUUAAAAUAAUUGAUGAAAAUUACUGAUACACAGGAAAGUUCUGAGAGCAUCUUCUUUUUUUUUUUUUUUUUUUUUUUUUUUUUUUUUGAUUCACGUGGGGUGUCCGGGCCAGCUUGCGCGCACCACGACUAUUCCCCACGGCCCACUGGACAUCCUGCAAGCCCAGGGGCAGGUAAGGCACCGCGGGGGUGACAGGCGUGCACAUAGAGGGUCGAACCCGGGACGGGGGCGGAACAAGUCACACGGUUGACCACAGCAGCUAGGCCAUCAAGUGCGAGAGCAUCUUUAAUUAGUCUAAUAAGUGAAGUGUUGUUAGUUUUGACUAUAAUAUCUAAUUCAGCUUGGAUAUCAACAACAUGUUGCAUCCAGUCUUAUAGCCAAUGUUUUUUUUCUUGGUCCUUGAAACUUUUACCUAUUUUCGUUUUGGUCACAAAACUAUAUUUUUCUUCAUUUACAUCCUUGAAAGUUGUAUUAACAUGGUUCCAUUUGUUGUUAUUUACUUCGAUUUUCAUGUUCUCGCAUUUAUCAUAUGUCUUUAAAUAUCCCUGCAUUGAAUUAGAAAUCAAUUUUUUUAACCCUCCUAACCCAGUUACUAUUAAGGUUAGUUCUCCACCCGCAUGUUCUUCCUUCUCAAGCGUGGCAUCGGUCUUUAGCUACACUUACUUAGUCCCUGUUAUUUAUAAAGCUUAUAAUUUAGUUCAAGUCAAUAAAAGCUUAGCAGUUUGAUACAAAAGCUCAUGGUCAAGUUAAAAAUGUUUAUUUUGGAUGUAAUAAAUAUUCAUAUUGGAACAUAAUAUUCAUCUCUCAAAUCCAUAAUCCAAUUGAUCAUAUAAAUAAUUGUUUUAAUUAAUAACUAUAAGAAAUAAAACCCCUUACUAGUUGAUUACUUAAAUAAAAAAACUAAUGAUUGUCGAGCAAAGUAAAUAAAUUACUUAACCAGGGUUAUGAUAGGAGUUAUUUGCCAAGAUUGAAUUACAUAUAUAACAGUUUAUAAAUCAUGUUAUAAUAUCUAUCAACAUAUAUAAAACUCGACAAGAUAGAAGACUUUGUUUAAUCAAUCUUAGGUUAAGACAAGAUUAAAUCUAGUUUUAUUAUGAUAUAUUUUAGAGUGCGGUUGAAUUGCACUUCUUAAAAUAUUUUUGAAUUGUUCUGAUAUCAAAAAAUAUUUUUGAAUUGUUGAUUUGAGUUGAUUCUUUAUCAUGUUAUGAUUUAAGAUAAUUAAUGAAAACUAAUAAUACAUAGGAAAUUUUUGAAAGCAUCCUUAAUUAGUUUAAUAAGUAAAAUCUUGUUAGUUUUGGCUAUAAGAUCUUGCGAUGUAUUUAUUGCAUGGUUUUUACUAUUUUUAGUUUUUUAUAUAUAUAUAUAUACAACUUUUGUUUUUCUUGCCAGUUUGUCAUUAGCUUUAUGACACUAGCACCAAUUACUAAUAAAUCUAGGGCUAUUAUUAAAUAAAGAAAAAACAUAAACAUUAUUAAAACACCAAACUUGCAUAGUUACCUAGGGAAACCAUAUGACAAUAAUCUAAUUUAGAAAAUAAUUAAUUUGUCCUUGUAGUCUUAGAAAAUAGUCUUUAAUCCUUGUGUUUUCAUAUUCAUUAAUUAUCUAAUGUGUUUCAUCUAUGAUUUAAUGUGUUGAUUGAAAUUGACAAGUGAGUUUACUCAUAUUUUUUAAAACAUGUUUUUUAAAUUAGAAAAUAUCUAAUUGAAAUGAAGAUUAAAAUAAAGAAGACCAAAAAGAGAAAGACUCGUAAAGAUUUUAUGUUAGUGCUCAACAUGUUCUUGGAUUACCUUUGUCUUUCGUGUCAAGUAAAAUUCUAGUAUAUAACACUAAAUUAAGAAAAACAAGAGGUGAAUUAAAGGUCUAACUAAAUGAAAUACAAGUACAAAGACUACAUCAACAUUUGAUAUACUCAACUCUCAACAAAUUGAAAUUUCAAGGUUAUUCGUAUCUGAAAACACAAUCUCAAUAAUCUUAAUGUGAGGAGUGAUUUCUUUCCUAUUAUUUUUUUCUGUGUUUUAAAAAUAUUUUAAAAAAAUUAAAUUUUUUUUCUUCAAAUUAAAUUUUUUUUUAUAUUUUCAAAUAUUUUGAUAUACUGAUAAAAAAUAAUUUUUAAAAAAUAAAAUAUAUUAUUUUAAUAAAUUUCCGAUUAAAACAUAUUUUAAAAAAACCAAUAUAACAUUUUCAAACACCUCCAAAAAAUCUGAAAAACUUGCUACCACCACUCAUAAUUCAUCCCCAGCAGGCAUAUUGAUUCUGUUAAAAAUGAACCUAUUCAGCUUAGGCAUCAACAACAUGUUGCAUCCACAGUCUGUUAAGAAAUCUAUUAUAGCUCCUUUGUUGUUUUACUGCUCAUGUCACUGCUCAUAGCCAGUGUUUUAUUUCUUGGUCCUUGAAAUAUUCACCUAUAUUUUUUGGUUUUGGUCAUCAAAUUUUUUUUUUUCAAUUACAUCCUUGCAAGUUCUAUUAGCAUGGUCGAUAACACACUCAUAGCAGUUCGAUACAAUGGCUCAUUGUUGAGCAAAGUAAAUAAAUUACUUAACCAGGGUUACCAAAGGAGUUAUUUGCCAAGAUUGAAUUACAUAACAGUUUAUAAAUUUAGUUUUACGGUGUUUUUAAAAGUACAGAUUGAUAUCAAUAUGAUAUGUCAAUGUCGAAAAUAAAUUUUUUAAAAAUAUUAUUUUAAUAUAUUUUCAAUCAAAAAUGUAUUUUGAGAAGCAAUUUCAACCACGCUACCAAUUAGAUUAAAAAUUUUCUAAUAUAUGGAUUGAUAUCUAUCACACAUGGACAUCACGGCGCCCUUAAAAUUUUUUAUGGAAAGAAUGGAUUUCUGACAUCCUGUUUUUUUAUGGAAAAUGUCUUGUUUUAAGGAGUCGCCACCUAGUAUUAUGGUCACUACAAACCUUAACUGGUCAACAGAGAUUCUAUGGUUCGGGGUUGGUUACGUAAAAGGGAAGAUAUUAUCACCCCUUAAACGCCCUGCCUGAGGCAGACUACAUUACUGACUUUGUCUUAAAUUGCUAAGCGUUUUAUUAGUUUAUGCCAUGAUAAUUUGCUUAUAAUAUUCCUGACUCUAGCGCUAGUAAAUAUUCAACUACGGAUACUUCCAACUCUUGCGUUGGUAAAUAUUAUGUAGCUAUAAAAUAAAUUUAGAUCAAUAUUUUUAUUUAUGACUCUAGCAUCAAUGAAUAAAGAAAUAAAAUAAAUUUAUUUUUACGCAUGCACAUAUUUUUUAUUUUUUAGCUAAAUAAAAUAAAAAUACAAUAAAAUAAAAACAAAUUUUAAUCAGUAUUUUUAUUCUUGACUCUGGCAUCAAUGAAUAAACCAAUAAAAUAAAUUUAUAUUAUUUUUAUUCAUGCAUACAUAUUUUUUUUAUUUUUUUAUUUUUUUAAUUUUUGGACUGGUCCAGCUCAGCUUAUGUGAGCUAGCCAGCCCGGCCUAGACACUGGCCCAAGCCUCUUUCUUGCUUGGUCUUCCUCUCCUCGACCAGCCUGGUCUGCUGGAGGAAAGUAAGUGAAAUGAAUUUGAAAAGUGGGGAAGAGGAAGAACUUACCUGGUCUGCUGGAGGCGAAGGCGCGCGGUUGUUGAUCGACCAGCCUCUUUCUUGCUUUCCCUUCCUCUAGUCUUUUCUUUCUUGUUCUCUAGCUCUUCUCCGUGUUUGUUUGCCUGGCUUGCUCUCUGAUUUAGGAGACGGAGGCGUGAUGGAUGACCGGCCAAAGCUCUGCUUCGGUUCCUUUGUACGCUCCUGUGUCGUCCUCUUGUUCUUCCUCUGUUUUUUGUUCUUUUUCGUUCGUCCCCCUGUUCUUCGUGAAUUGUUCUGGGUUUUUUCUUGCUGGUUCUCGGCUCCCCUGUAUGUGUUUCCAGUGUCUUCGUUCUCCUAUUUCUGGGUUUCUCCUCUUUUGCUGGUUCUGCCUUUUUUUUCUCCCCCUCUCUGUUUUAUGUUUGUGGUCUUCCCUGUUUCCCCAGUCCAGUGCCUCCCCUAUUUUCUUCUUUUUUUGUUUUCUUCUUCCUCUACUCGGUUCUGCUCUUUUUUCUCCAAUUCUCUCCUGUGACCUUUCGUUCUCUGCCUUUUAUAGCUAGAGAACAAUGCUGUUUCUUCCAACCAUUGAUUGCAGGUGUAAUGGUGGCGGUGGGCGUCCAUUGAAGAAGAUGAACAACACAUCCCCACAGACGGCGCCAUUUUGAUGUUAAUGAUUAUUUGCAUUUUGGCCCUGAUUAAAAGUUUUGUAAUUAAGCCCCCUAGUUAAAUUAUAAUUGGACCCCUGCAUUUCGGAGCAUUUUAUAAGUUAGUUCUUUGACUUUAAUCUGUUGCAAUUGUGCUCCCAAUUAACCCCAAACUUUGAUAUUUCUUCAAUUAAGUCUCUGAUUUCAUUAAUUAAAUUAAUUCCAAGCUCAAUUAAGUCUCAAAACUUAUCAAUUCUCUAAUUAAGCCCUUGAUUUGAUUAAUUAAACUAGUCAAGAGUUUAAUUAAAUCUUUAAACUUCUAAUCAUGUUGUCAUUAACCCAAAUUUUAAUUCAUUCUUUAUUUUUUUUUAUUUUUACUUGUUUUUCAUCAUUUUGUUUUAUCAUUUUCAGUAAAUAAAAUAAUAAUAAUAAUUAAAAUAAAUAGAUCAAAAAUUGAAUUAUGAGAAUAUCCAUGACACUCUCUAGUUAGUUUUGAGAAUUUUAAAUCCAAACAAGUGAAUUUAUAUGCAUGCUUGUACAGCUUGAUUUUCUCUUUAAUUUAAUCAACAAUAAUUUCUUAUCUUCAAUAUAGAUUUGGGUUUAUCAUUCGGGUAAGACAAACCCUAGUAUUUUAAAAUACUAUGGCAAAAAGGUUUCAUGGAUCAAGACAAUAGUAUCAUUCAAAUGUUAGCAAUAGAAUAAAUUUUACAUAUUUUUCAAGUUUACGUAGAAUAGUAGUGGAAUAAUUCUUUUAAUAUUUAAAAAUUAAAAUAUAUUAUGUAACUGUUUUGUAUAAAUUCUACACUAAAGUUAGCAAAUAAUAACACAAGAAAGGACCAAAGUUAAUUACAAUAAUUUUAUUUUUUUUAAAUGGAGCCACAGUACGAGGAAAUCUCUUCACUUAUCAAUGAAAUAUUACUUCUCCUGUAAAUGAAUAGAAAUAAUUUCAUUGAUUAAUGAUUAUUUGGAAGAAGAAAGCGUAUCCCUUCUCACUUUUACUAUUCAGCUUGCUGCAAUUUCAGAGCUUCUCACAAAUGGUGGGAUCCAACCAAUUUCAUAACUCAUGUUGCAUCCUUAGUCUUACAGAUAAAGCUAAUGGUUUUUUUUUCUUUCUAAAUUGAAUAUCAAUAUUUUUUGUUGGCAUCAAAUAAUUUAAAAUAAGAAUUACAUAGCAGAGGGUUUAAGCAAAUAUUAAAAGAGAAGGUUUUGUGUAAUUAUUAGAUAAUUGAAAUCAUCACUAAUCUCCUUUUUUUCAUUUUAUUUUUUAUUACCCUUAGCAUGAUAUCCAGAGAGAAGAACGGUUCAAGACAGAACAAUAAUGGAGCGGAAUCAAAAUCUUUGUUAGCAGUAACCUGUUCGACCCAGUUGUUGUGGAAACUUUGCAAAGGAUCUGCAGGAAGAAAAAUGAAAUUUGGUAGUAUUUGUGUGUCUUAUAUAAUUGUGUUCGUUCAUACACCCAAUUAUUUCAUACAAGAGAAAAUUCUUUCUCUGAAUAGAAAAAACUAUUAUUUUUAAAAUAAAAACAACUAAAUAGAAAAAUUAUUAUUUUUAAAUAGAAAAACUAGAAACGCCUGAUAAUAUUGAAUAAAAAAUAAAAUAGAAAAAUUAUUCUUUUCAAGUAGAAAAAAUUAUAAAAAUUUAAUAAUAGUGAAUAGAAAUAAAUAUAUUUAUUAUCCCAAAAGUUCUUACAUCAAAAUCUCAUUUAUCAUAUUUUAUAUAUAUCUAUAAAAAAAACUAAUUUGUCACAAGAACUGAGUCUAUGUGCUAAAACCAGAAAAACAAAUGUAUAAAAAAAAACAAAUUCCACGCAAGGCUUUGAUUAACAGAGUAACCGAUGGACAUUUUUUAGUAAAUUAAUUUCAAUUCAAAAUGACAAAAUAAGGUUUGUCGGUUUUCAUACAUAAAUUUUUAUAUUGUUAACGUAGGAACUGUUUUGCGUCCCUGACUUGGCGGAUUUGAUUUGAAUAUAUUAUUUGAUUAGUCUAUUCCUGCCUUGCAUUGACUGGAAAUAAGAUUUGAAUAUAUUAUUUAAUUUACACAGGAAAUUUCUACUUGCAAAGAAUUGAACUGUCAUUGACUUCUUGCAAAGUAUUCGCAAGAAAGGCAGACAAGUGUGUCCACUACUUCUGCAAAUGAAUAGAAAGCAUAUCAUUUCUCUUUCUCCUAUUAAAGAAUACAAUUACAAACCUCAAUUCAAUAUCCAUGCUUUACUCGGCAGCUAACUUCUCAUUACCAUUGCUGCCAUUUCAUAGCUAACUCUUUGUUAUAUUUAACUUACUCUUCUUUGCUUCUCUCUCGUUUUAAUUUCAUGUCUUGCUCAUAACGACAAUUUGAAAGCCUUACGUUCAGAUAGAUAAUCAUUGAUCAGUUCCUCCUAUAUCAUUCUAUUUAAUUUAGAAAUGCAGAAGGAAAAACGCAAGCAAUCCAAAGAUGAAGAAAACGAUUCAUCCUCGCGAAAGAGAAGAAAAGCUGACCUCAGUAAGCCUGUCAGUUUUGUCUCCACAGGUAAGGCUGAUGCGUGUGUCUAUAUAUAUAUGUGUAGGAACUGCUGAUUCGAUUUGAAUAUGUUAUUUGAUUAGUCUGAUCAUAGGAUAGGUUGAGUCUACUACUACUUCUGCCUUGCAUUGACUCGAAAUUCCUGGUGUUUUCUCCUGCAAAUGAAUAGAAAUCACAUCCUUUCUCCUUGUAGGAACUCUUUGUUAUAUUGUUCCAUUGGUAAUUGAUAGUGCCUUAAGUUCUGCAGCUGCCAUGACAGAGCCAGAAUCUUCUCGAUCUAGACCAGAAGGGGCCUAUGAUGUCUUCUUGAGUUUUAGAGGAGAAGACACUCGCAAGACAUUUACAGAUCAUCUAUAUACUGCCUUGGUCCAAGCCGGAAUCCACACUUUUCGAGAUGAUGAUGAACUUCCUAGAGGAGAAGAAAUCUCCGAUCAUCUCCUCAGGGCAGUUCAGGAAUCAAAGAUAUCCAUAGUUGUCUUCUCAAAAGGAUAUGCUUCUUCUAGAUGGUGUCUCAAUGAACUUGUAGCGAUUCUGAAGUGCAAAAGGAAGAAACGUGGUCAGAUUGCUCUUCCUAUAUUCUAUGACAUUGAUCCUUCAGAUGUGAGAAAACAGAAUGGCAGUUUUGCAGAAGCAUUUGUUAAACAUGAAGAGCGUUUUGAAGAGAAGUUGGUGAAGGAGUGGAGAAAAGCUCUUGAGGAGGCUGGAAAUCUAUCUGGAUGGAAUCUCAAUGAUAUGGCAAAUGGGUAUGCCUUUUUUCCAAAUUUAUGGAGUCAAUAUACUUUACAUUUUUCAAUGUGAAACAAUAAAAUACUUAAUUGACUCGCUAUCAAUGACUGGCUUUUGUCUAUGAGCAGGCAUGAAGCAAAAUUUAUCAAAGAGAUUAUCAAGGUUGUGUUGAAUAAAUUGGAACCCAAGUACUUAUAUGUUCCUGAGCACCUAGUAGGUAUGCAUCAGCUUGCUCGCAAUAUUUUUGACUUUCUAAGUACUGCAACAGAUGAUGUACGCAUUGUGGGCAUACAUGGGAUGCCAGGAAUAGGAAAGACGACUAUAGCAGAAGUUGUAUUUAAUCAACUCUGCAAUGGAUUCGAGGGAAGCUGUUUUCUUUCGGAUAUAAAUGAAAGAUCAAAACAAUUUAAUGGUGGUCUUGUUGAUUUACAAAAGCAACUUCUUCAUGAUAUUUUAAAUCAAUAUGUUGCAAACAUCAAUAGUGUUGAUGGAGGAAAGGUUCUGAUCAAAGAACGACUUCGUCGCAAAAGAGUUCUUCUUGUUGCUGAUGAUUUGGCUCACCUGGACCAGCGAAAUGCUUUGAUGGGAGAUCGAAGUUGGUUUGGUCCUGGAAGUAGAGUAAUUAUUACAACAAGAGAUUCAAGUUUACUUCGUGAAGCAGAUCAAACAUAUCAGAUCGAAGAACUGGAACCAGAUGAGGCCCUUCAGCUUUUCAGCUGGCAUGCCUUUAAGGACACCAAGCCAACAGAAGAUUAUAUUGAGCUUUCGAAGGAUGUAGUUGAUUACUGUGGGGGACUUCCUUUGGCUCUUGAGGUUAUUGGUGCUUGUCUGUCCGGGAAAAACAGAGAUGGUUGGAAAUCUGUAAUUGACAAAUUGAAAAGAAUUCCAAACCACGAUAUUCAAGGAAAGCUUAGAAUAAGUUAUGACUCACUGGACGGUGAAGAACUAAAAAAUGCAUUCCUUGAUAUCGCAUGCUUCUUUAUUGAUAGAAGGAAAGAGUACGUCGCAAAACUGCUAGAAGCCCGUUGCGGUUACAAUCCAGAAGUUGAUUUGCAAACUCUCCAUGAAAGGUCUCUGAUUAAAGUAUUGGGAGAGACGGUAACCAUGCAUGAUCUAUUACGAGACAUGGGAAGGGAGGUCGUUCGUGAAUCGUCUCCAAAAGAACCUGGAAAGAGGACCAGAAUUUGGAAUCAAGGGGAUGCAUGGAAUGUGCUUGAGCAGCAGAAGGUAAGAGCUCAAAGCAUACACGAAAGCAUGGUCAAUGUUGUAUUUUCUAGUCAUACUUAUUACAAAUAAUCGUAUGAAAGUUGUAUUGAUUUUUUUCAGGGUACGGAAGUUGUAGAGGGUCUUAAACUGGAUGUCAGAGCAUCAGAAGCUAAAUCACUGAUCACAGGAUCAUUUGCAAAAAUGAAAUGCUUAAAUUUACUCCAAAUCAAUGGAGCACAUCUCACCGGAUCCUUCAAACACCUUUCUAAAGUGUUGAUGUGGAUUUGUUGGCAUGAUUGUCCUUUGAAAUAUUUUCCAUCUGAUUUUACCUUGGACAAUCUAGCUGUUCUUGAUAUGCAGUACAGUAACCUCAAAGAACUAUGGAAGGGAAAAAAGGUGUGAAACAUGCUAUAAUCCCCAAAAUUUAUCUAGUAUGUAAUUUAUAUUUACAUGUUAUGACUUUCUAUGAUUAAUUUUUAUUAUUUUGCACUAUAUCAUACAGAUUCUCAACAGACUAAAAAUCUUUAAUCUCAGUUAUUCUCAGAACCUUAUUAAAACACCAAACUUGCACAGUUCAAGUCUAGAGAAACUAAAGCUGAAAGGUUGCUCGAGUUUAGUUGAGGUGCAUCAAUCAAUUGGAAAUUUGACGAGCCUCGUUUUCUUGAAUCUGGAGGGAUGUUGUAGUCUGACGAUUCUCCCUGAAAGCGUUGGCAAUGUAAAGUCUCUUGAAACUCUGAAUAUUUCUGGGUGUUCACAACUUGGAAAAUUGGCAGAACACAUGCGUGAUAUGGAAUCCUUAACUGAGCUGCUAGCCGAUGGGAUUGAAAAUGAGCAAUUUCUCUCUUCAAUUGGACAAUUAAAGCAUGUCAGAAGGUUAUCAUUGCGUCAAAACAGUUCGGCUCCACCAAGUUCUUCUUUGAUUUCAGCAGGUGUUUUGAAUUGGAAACGUUGGCUGCCAACACCUUUCAUUGAAUGGAUAUCAGUGAAACGUCUUGAGCUUUCAAAUGGUGGUUUGUCUGAUCGCGUAACUAGUUGUGUUGAUUUCAGUGGUUUGUCCGCUCUAGAAUUUUUGGAUCUAACUGGAAACAAAUUCUCUAGCCUGCCUUCUGGGAUCGGCUUCCUUCCCAAGCUACAGGUCUUGUGUGUUCAGGCAUGCGAAUAUCUUGUAUCAAUCCCAGAUCUUCCCUCAAGUUUACGUUGUUUGGGUGCAACUCAUUGCAAAUCAUUGGAAAGAGUGAGAAUACCAAUCGAGUCAAAAAAAGGACUAUAUAUAACUCUACAUGAAAGUCAUUCGUUAGAAGAGAUUCAGGGCAUCGAAGAUCUAAGUAAUAGUUUCUGGUAUAUUAACGUUUAUGGCCGCAGUCAUUCACCAAAUAAAUUACAAAAGAAUAUUGUUGAGGUACUAUUUCUUUCGGUCUCUGUUGCACAAAAAUAAACACACAUACAUUGAUUAAUAUCUAAAAUCUCAGUAUUCCUUGAAAUCAAUAUGUAUACAGGCAAUGUGCAACGGUGGUCACCGGUAUUGUAUUUUCUCCAUUCCUGGUGAGAUGCCAAAUUGGUUGAGCUACAGUGGAGAAGGAUGCCCAUUGUCAUUCCAUAUACCUCCAGUCUGCCAAGGCUUAGUUGUUUGGUUUGUCCGUCCACUUGAGAAGGAUGAUCAUUAUUACUUACGGUCUGACACUAUUAUUAUUAUUAUAAGAAAUAAAAGCAAUGGUAUUCAAUUGUUUGAAGAUAUACGAACACCACAAACUGCCAUACCAAAUAUUGGGGGAUGGAUAAGAUACAUAAGUAGAAGUGAAAUGGCAAUGGAAGAUUACUGUGGAGAUGACGAAUGGAAGAUUACUGUGGAGGUGCGCACCGGUCAUUCAUUCGAACCCGUACACGUUAAAGAAUGUGGGGUCCAUGUGAUCGCAGGGAAGUUAGAUUCAUUUGAAGAGUCGGCAGUGGAAAGAGAUACAGUGAUGUCUUCAUCACCGCUGUAUCAUCUGCUUCCUCAUCCCCAUUAUGGUUCAAUUACAGCGUCUACACCAAAGCAAUGGAGUGACUAUUUAUGUGCGAAGCUGCAUAAAUAUAACCUCAGUUUAGCUCUUAAAAGUAAGAACAAAUAUUUCAUUUAGUUAUUUCUAUUUUGUUAUAUUUAAUUUAAGAGAUUAAAUAUUAUCUUUAAUUAUUUUAUUUUUCUUAUUUAAUCUAAAAAAUUAAAUAUUAUCUUUAAUAAUAUUUGUUAUUAAAUAUUUAAAGUCUGUUCGGUAAGAAUACAUAUUUCCUUUAGUUAUUUCUAUUUUAUUCUAUUUAAUUUAAGAGAUUAAAUAUCAUCUUUAAUUAUUACAUUUUCCUUAUUUAAUCUAAAAAAUUAAAUAUUAUCUUUAACAAUAUUUUUUAUUAAAUAUUUAGAGUAUGCUUGGUUUUAUUUUUUUUCUUGAUUUUAUGAUAAUAUUUUUCUUAUUUAAUAUAAAAAAUAAAUAUUAUCUUUAAUAAUUAGAUCUAUCCAAUAUCACUUAAAAAAUAAAUUAUAACUUUAAUAAUUAUUUUUUGGAAAAAUAAAGGCCAACAAUCACUAACAUAUUUUAUUAAAAUCACUUUAGUUUAUUUAGAAAAUAUUGAAAAUUGAUUUUUGUUUUUUUACAUUAAAAUAAAAAAUUGAAUAAUGUUUUUAUAUUUUAUUUCAUACUCGAUAUUUUAAAAAUAAAAUGAAAAGGAUGUGAUAUUAACCUUUUUUUAUUAUAAAGUAAGUUUUUUAAAUUAAAAGGGAAGGGGAUUUGUUCAUAAUAACAAAAUACAUGUACAAUCAUGCACGUUUAACUUUAUUUCCAAACUUGAAAGUUCUAUUGAAUUUGAUGGCUUUUUAAGGUACAGAAGACUUGGAUUGACGUGAUAGUACAAGAUCAUUUUACAUAUAGAUGCUUGAAGUUGCUUCAAAUCAGUACGAUACUUCCAUCGGACAUGUUGACAUGUAUUUGUUGGCUUCAAGAUCAUUUUCCAAGCUUGGAAGUUUUAUUGAAUGCUCUUUGAAAUCUUUUACAUCCGCUUUUAUACUGGACAACCUAGUUGUUAAUUAUUAUUUAUGAAGUAAUUUAUAUUUUCAAGUUACAAAUUUUGAUGAAUAAUGUUUCAUUUUUUACCUCACUUCAAAAGAUGAAAAUCCUUGAUGUUAGUUAGAAAUAAAUUGGUUUUCUAGGAAGAGAUUAUUGAUUGGGAUAUUGUAUUUGAUUUGGUUCUUCAUCAUUUAAUGUUAUAAUUUAAAAUAAUUGAUGAAUUGAUGAAAGUUAUGAGAGCAUCCUUAAUUAGUCUAAUAAGUAAAGUGUUGUUAGUUUUGGCUAUAAGAUCUUGCUAUGUAUUAUUGCAUGGUUUUUACUAUUUUUUGGCGUUUUUCUUUUUGUAUAUACAACUUUAACAAAACCGAAACUAAAGGUCCAGGAUCAUUGUUAUGUCUUCUUCGCUUGCUGAGGUUUGGCCUGAUUUUUAGUUGCUGCACAAUCUUCUACGUGAUCAACGGAUCUCAAUUCAAUACACCCCCUCAACCGAAUGGGCAACUCUUGCACAUGAAGGUUGGUCCGUAGAUGAUUAAACCGUGCAACAGUCAGAGGUUUAGUCAACAAAUCUGCGAGCUGAUCACGUGUGGACACGAAGGAGACAUGAAGUUUCUGCUGCACAACUUGAUCUCGUAAGAAAUGAAAGUCAAUUUCAAUGUGUUUCGUACGAGCAUGGAACUUUGGAUUAGAUGAGAGAUAAGUUGCACCAAUAUUAUCGCACCAAAGAGUUGGACAACGUUGGAGAGGCAUUUUGAGUUAUUGCAACAAAGAUUAAAGCCAUUGCAUUUCACCAAAGGGCUGCUGCGUGCCACUGUUUGUUGUUGUUUGCAGCUCUAGCUAAUUAAAUUGGAUCCAUGAAAGAUACAAUAUGCUCCUACACUUCGCCGGUCAUCAUUGUCACCAGCCCAAUCGGCGUCACUAAAUCCUUGUAAAGUAUGAUCAGACUGAUGAGUAAUAUGUAAACCAUAAUUUACAGUGUAUUUGAGAUAACGAAGUAUACGUUUCACUGCCUGCCAGAGAACAUCUUUGGGCUGAUGCAUGAACUUGCUCACCUUGUGAACUGCAAACGCAAUGUCAGGUUGUGUAAAACCGAGAUAGUGUAAGGCACUGACUGUACUUCGAUAUAAAUAAGGGUCGUCGAAAUCAAUACCCUCAAAUUUGGAGAGUGUGCAGGUUGUGGACAUUGGUGUGCUGCAAGGUUUUACCUUAUGUAGCUUGAGUCUUCGUAACAAGUUAAUUACAUAUUUUCGUUGAGUCAGAAUCAGAUCACCACCAUCAUGCAGAGUUUCAACUCUGAGAAAAUAUGAUGACGGUCCCAAAUCUUUGACAGGGAAGGCACGUCCAAGGUAAGAAAUUAAUUUGUUGACUUCCUCAAAGUGAGAACCCGUGACAAUUAUGUCAUCAACAUAUAUAAGUAUCAGCAGCUGGAAACUUGCAGUCUGUAGAAUGUAAAGUGAAGGAUCUGAUUUUGAGCCUACAAAACCAUAUUGAAGCAAUUGAUCUAUCAAUCGAGAAAACCAAGAACGGGGAGCUUGACGAAGACCAUACAAACUUUUCUUUAAGCGGCAUAUACGAGUGGGAAAAUCUAGAUGAAUAUACACUUGAAGUUGACACAUAUAUACCUCUUCAUCUAGCAGUCCAUGAAGAAAGGCAUUUUGAAUGUCUAGUUGCCGAAUACACCAACACUGGGAGAGAGUGAUAGAUAACACUAGCCGAAUGGUUCCUUGUUUAAUGACGGGGCUAAAGGUUUCCAGAAAAUCAACACCAUGUUGUUGAUGAUAGCCUUUAGCUACCAGCCGCGCCUUGUACCGCUCCACAAUGCCAUUAGCAUGGGUCGUGAUACGGUAAACCCAUUUAUUUCCAACAAGAUUGAUGUUUGAUUUAGCUGGUACAAGAUCCCAAGUAUUUUUUUGUAAAAAAGUAGUAAAUUCCAUGUUCAUUGCUUCCCUCCAUUUGUGGUCUUUUGAAGCAUCAGUAAAAGAUGUUGGCAAGAUUGUGCAAGAAGUGCAUAAGGCAAUGGGUAUUUGAUGAACCCAACAUAUGGUUGCUUUGGUUUGAGAGAGUUUGUCUGAGAUCUGGUAGUCAUUUUUCUUGAUAUGUUGGAAGGAGCAAGUGCAUCAGCAAAAGAUGUAUGAACCGCAUGUAGUGCUGGAGUUGGAACCUCAUUUGAAAUAACAUUUGUAAUAACAAUAGCUGGAAUGAGAUCAGAUUCAUGUGGAGAGACAUGAUUGGCAUUUGUAACAUCACCUGCAAGAAGAGUUAGGGAAUUCGAAACACUUGGUUGUAAAUUGGCUGGUAAGGUGAUAGCAGUGGACUCGGGAACUAAGGACACAGAUUGGGGAGAUUUGUAAGGAAAGAAAAGUUCAUCAAAUAUGACAUGUCGAGACACAAAGAUUUUGCCAGUAGACAAAUCGAGACACUUAUACCCCUGAUGUGAGAGACUGUAGCCAAUAAAAAUACAUGUUUUCGAUCUGUAAUCAAAUUUAUGUUUGUUAUAAGGACGUAAAUUUGGCCAACAAGCACAACCAAACACACGCAUAAAGUUAUAAUUCUGUUUUUUAUGGUAAGCCUUUUCAAAAAGAGAGAAAUGAUUUAAAAUUUUAGUGGGAAGACGAUUAAUUAUAUAAACAACCGUUAAAAAUGCAUCCUCCCAGUAUGGUUUUGGAAGAUUAGCAUAAGCCAAUAAUGCUAGACCCAUUUCAACAAUUUGACGAUGUCUUCUUUCAACAGCUCCCAUUUGCUCAUGUGUGUACGGGCAAGCUAGAAGAUGUUGAAUACCAUAUUUGGAAAAAUAUGUAUUUAAUCUAUGAUACUCACCUUCCCAAUCAGUUUGAAUGACCUUAAUUUUGGUAUUAAAAUGGUGUUCAACAUACGUUUGAAAAUGUAAGAAAAUAUUUUCAACAUCGGAUUUUUGCUUAAGAGGAAAUAACCAAAUAUAUUUUGUGAAAGCAUCCAAGAAACAAACAUAAUAGCAAGAGCCGUAGCUGGAAAUCACGGAACUAGGCCCCAAACAUCUGAAUAAUUGAGUUCCAAGGGCUUAGUAACAUGAGGUACAGAAACGGAAAAAGGUAAAUUAUGGCUUUUUGCCAUCUCACAUUCAGGACAUAUCUUGUGUCUUUUAUUGGAAUGAAAGGAAAGAUUAUUUGAGCAGAUAACAUGAUUGACAGUGUUGUAAGAGGCGUGCCCAAGAUGACAAUGCCAAUCUGAGAUUGAAACACGAACACCAACAAGAGCUUUGGGAUAUAAAUGCUGAAGAGGCUGUGAAAAAUAGUAGAGACCAUCUUUGACGACACCCUUAUGCAGGGUGUUUCCCGAGUAAUCCUUGAUCAAAAAACAGGAAGCAUGAAACUCAAAAUAAACAAAAUUAUCUUCAAGGAAUUUUUUUUUAUAGAAAUAAGAUUUUUUGUAAUUUGAGGGACAACUAAUAUUUGGUCAAGGAUAAAAGAUUUAGAGUGUGCAGAUAAAGAUGUCUUGCCUAAAUGAGUUAUGUGCAAACUUGUGCCAUCUCCUACUUGAAUCUGAUCAUUUCCAGCAUACUCUUCACUACGAACAUUAAGGUUGUUGAAGUUAUUAGUCAAAUGGUGCGUAGCUCCAGUGUCGGCAUGCCAUUCUUGCUCCAAUGAGUGCUGAAUGUGUUGGUUGGAGGCAAUGUUGGCUUGAGGAUUUGGUUGAAAAGGUUGAGGAAGAAACUGACUGUCAAAUCUCUUAAAGCAUCGAGCCGCAGUAUGGCCAGGUUUAUCACAGAGCUGACACCAAUGAUUAGUGUAGUUGUUAUUUGGACGAGAAGCAGUUUGGAAAUUACCUCUACCAUGAAAGGAGGGAUGUACACGCCCCCUGCCUCGGAAGGUAAAAUUGUUGUUGCGGACACGGGAUCUAGAAAAGGAUUGUUGCUUGAUAGCAACAUUAGCUGAUGGUAUGGAAGACAGGAGAGCUUGCUGAUGAUGCUACACACGUGCCUCACAAAUGAGCAACAUAGAGUACACCUCUUCUAAGGUGACAUUUUCUUUAAUUGAAAUGGUGGUGAUAAGAAAAUCAUACUCAGGUCCUAGACCAGUGAGUAGGUGAAAAUUUCAUCUCAUUUGAGUGCCUGACCUGCCAUAGCUAGUUCUUUAGAGAGCUUUUUCACAUACAAGAAAUAUUUUGUAACAGACUAGGUAGUUUUAGGAGCAGUAGCAAGCGUAGUGCACUGUGCUACUUGCAUGAGUAUAUCAUCAAUAAGAGACGCAUUAAUACAACUGAGAAGAAAUAUUGAAUUGAGAUCUGUUGAUCACGUAGAAGAUUGUGCAGCAACUAAAAAUCAGGCCAAACCUCAGCAAGCGAAGAAGACAUAACAAUAAUCUUGGACCUUUAGUUUCGGUUCUGUUAAAUGCCUUGAUUUACGUCUUCAGAUUCUACUUUUAAAUUUUGUAUAGCAAAUUAGUAGGAGUGAUUUACUCACAGUUGUAUUAUAAAAUAUUUAGACUCUGUACACAACAAACAAUCGAAAUAAGAAAACAAUUCUACCUCAUCUGUCUCUGUUAAAUUCUACAUGGUAUCAGAGCCAACAAUUUACGUCCUCUCAUAAAGAUUCUUCUCUGUCCAUUACUUUCAUCUCUUCCUUCUAAACUCCUUUCUCAGAUUCCUCUUAGCUACCAUGGCCGCCUCUCCCCAUUCUUCCCUUACUUCUAACAACACUUUACCUGUCUUCAAUCCUUCUUCCAGCAUCAAUAUCACCAAACUUACUGGCACCAAUUUUCUAAAUUGGAAAGCGACCAUGCUUCCCUAUCUCAAAGGUCAAAAAGUGUUUGGCUAUGUUGAUGGCAUUAUUAAAAUGUCUGCAAAGGAAAUUCCUCACGGUGAUAGCACCAUGCAAUCAAACCCAGCCUUUGAUAUAUGGGAAACCCAUCACAAUCUUCUACUUGAUCAACGAAUCUCAAUUCAAUAGUUUUGAGUUCAAAUAGACGUUUAAAAAGGGAGUUUUUUUCAUGAAUGCAACCCUUCAUGUAUUCAAUAUGAAUGAUGGGAGAUUUUAAUGUCUCGUGAAUGCAUUCAUUUAUAUAUGGAUGAUUUUGCAAAGAAUUGGUUGGUAAAAAACUUAAUUUCGAUAUAUAAAAACUGAAGAGAGAACAAUAAAUAGAUAAGAAUUGGUAUGAAAAAAAUAAUUUGUAUGUGUGUAUCGACUACAUUUCAUGUGUUGUAUCUUGAAAACACAAUCUCAAUAAUCUUAAUGUGAGGAGUGAUUUCGCUUUGCCGUACUGUUUAUCUUCUUGGCAUUGUUCAAAGGAACCCAAGGGGCGUGGCGUGAUGGCAAAGAGUUUGAGAUCUGCACAGCAGGUCUCGAGUUCGAGUCAGGCGUGCACCUCUUGUAAGAGCCUGGGACAGCCGGGGUUUUACUCGCUCAUCUGGGCUCACAAAGUGCGCUUUCCGGGGGGUGGGGUUUCCUUAAAUCCAAAAAAAAUUCUUGGCAUUGUUCAAAGGAACGCAAAAAGACAUUCCAAGCGUGAAAGUGUAUUAUUGUAAUAAAGUUUUUCAAACUUCCAAUAUAGAGAGUGAAAUAAAGAACUAUUAUUGUCAUAAAUUCUCUAAGUGCAUCAGUUCCACAAAUCGCUAGCAUGUAAUUCACCGGAUCUAUUGCAAACAAUUCCCUCAUAUGUCUAAAUUCCAAACAAACCAACCACCACCAUAACAUAGGAAAUCAGAGACAGAUUCAAUAUCUCCUUUUCUUGGACAUUCAACAGAAGAUUAAAAAUGAAGUAAUAAAACAUUAUAAGUUCCAAAAAUCCGCAAAAAAAAAAAAAAAAUUCCUGAAAACAAUACCUGAAUACCAUGGAACAGUAAUCCUUCCAUCUGAAAUCCACAGAUUGAUGUGGAGGCGUAGACUUUGAUCCUUCCGGUGGAAACCUCGUCCAGAACUUUUCUUUAGGAUCAAAAUCACUGUGUCUUAGUUCCCUCAUUAUUGCAUCAUGCUUCCCCACAGAAUGACUACCAAAAAAGAGAGGAAACAAACUAUUAAUCCAAACUCAUAUAAAAUCCCACCAAAGAAACCCCAUAUUGACCAGUAAGAGAGUACCUGAUACCCAGUUGAAGAUUAAGCAUCAAACCAUAAUUCUUGAGCCCUUUCGAAAUCGUUUGUCCUUGUUUCUUAUUAACCUCACCAUCAACAGAACUACAAGGACUUCUACCUCGCUGCAGCUGCUGCUGCACAUUACCCUCACAUCCGCCUCCAUUAUCAUCAUUACCAUCUCUAUAAAACAUAGAAGCCUCCACAUUAUCAACAAUAUCACAAGUAAUAUCACCAGCCUCCCCAUCCAACUCCCAAAUACAAAUCUGAGGAAAAUUCCCAUCCACUGGUGACCUCUUCCUCCCUCCCCCAACCCCAACUACUGGAUCCAAUGCCACCCCUUUAAAAUCCUCUCCACCACCACCAAGAACUCUCCCAUUCCCAUUCCCACUACCAAAUGUAAACAUUCCUUUCCCUUUAGGCACCCCAUUUUCCUAGUACCCUUAAUACCUCUUCCCAUUAGCCCAAACCAAUACCCCUUUCCCAGAUAUCACCCCAUGUUUCCACUCACCUACAUGCUCAUUCCCAUUACAGCACCUAUACUUCCCUUCCCCAUCUUGCAAAUUAAACUUCCACAAACCUUGAUAAACAUCCCCAUUGGCGUACCUAUACUUCCCUUCCCCAUCUUGCAAAUUAAACUUCCACAAACCUUGAUAAACAUCCCCAUUGGCGUACCUUACCAAAGCCUUGACAAACCUUGACUUGGAGUGACAAAAACUCAUUUGCACAACUUAUCCAUUAUGUAAUUUAUAUUUUCAAGUUACAAUUUUUGACGAGCCUCGAGUUUAGUUGAGGUGUAUCAAUCUGUUGGCUAUUUGACGAGCCUUGGUUACUUGAAUCUGAAGGGAUGUUGGAGGCUAAAAAUCCUUCCACGAAGCAUUUGUGAUCUGAAGUCUCUUGAAACUUUGAAUAUUUCAGGGUGUUUAGGACUAGAGAAGUUGCCGUAUUGCAUAGGUGAUAUGGAAUCCUUAACUAAGGUGAUGGUGGAUAGAAUUGAAAAUGAGCAAGUUCUCUCUUCAAUAGGACAAUUAAAGCAUGUCAGAAAGAUAUCAUUGUGUGGAAACACUUUUUAUCAGAACUCAUCGUCAUUUACAUUUUGGCAUCCACCAAUUUCUUCUUUGAUUUCAGCAAGUGCUUUAUAUUGGAAACGUUUAAUGCCAAAAGCUUUCAUGGAUUGGAGAUUAGUGAAAAGUCUUGAACUUUCCGAUGAUGGUUUGUCUGAUCGCGCAACUAACUGUUUUGAUUUUAGAGGUUUGUCCUGUCUAGAAGAAUCGGAUCUAUCACAAAAUAAAUUCUCUAGCCUGCCUUCUGGGAUCGACUUCCUUCCCAAGCUAGGGACCUUAAGUGUUGUUGGAUGCGACAAUCUUGUAUCAAUCUCAUAUCUUCCCUCAAAUUUAUACCAUUUGAAUGCACUUUAUUGCAAAUCAUUGAAAAGAGUAAGAAUACCAAACCAGUCAAAAGAAGAACUACUUAUAGAUCUAAAUGUUUGUCCUUUAUUAGAAGAGAUUCAGGACAUCGAAGGUCCCAAUAAUAUUUUCUGGUCUAUUUAUGUUGAUUUCCCUAGGGAUUCAUCAAAUAAUUUUCAGAAAAGCCUUGUUGAGGUACUAUUUGUGUCUCUCUUGCACCAAAAUAAACACACACAUUUGAUUAAUUUUUAAAAUCUCAGCAUUACUUGAAAUCAAUAUAUAUUUAUAAAAGCAUUGUGCGUCGAUGGUUACCAGUAUUGUAUUUAUGACAUUCCUGGUGAGAUGCCAAAUUGGUUGAGCUACAUCAUUUGUUCCUAUAUUUUCCUUGUGACUUAAUAAGAGCGUCUACACCUGAGCAAUGAAGUAAGUAUUUAUUUCCGAAGCUGCAAAAACAUAAUCUUGAUUUAAUGCUUUUUGGUAAGAAUAAAUAUUUCAUUUAGUUAUUAUUAUUUUAUUUCAUUUCAUUUAAAACAAAAAUUAUCUUUAAUUAUUUAAUUUUUCUUAUUUAAUUUUAAAAAAUAAAUAUCAUCUUUAAUAAUAUUUUUUUUAUUAAAUAUUUAGAGUAUGUUUGAUUUUAUUGUUUAUUUUUUUAUUUUAUGAUAAUAUUUUUAUUAUUAAAUUUAAAAAAUUAAAUGUUAUCUUUAAUAAUUAGAUCUAUCCAAUCUCACUUAAUUAAAUCGUUAUUUUAUUGCUAGCAACUUAUGAGUCUUUUAAGCCAAAAGAAUUGUAGGAAGAGCUAAAAUUAGCAAGGAAUAUUUAGAGUCUAUUUGAUUUUAUUGUUUAUUCUUCGAUUUCAUGGUAAAAAUUUUAAAUUUUGAAAAACAUAAAUUGAAGACUUAUAUGUUUUGAACUUUUUUGUUUUAAAAAAAAAACCAACAGUCACUAACAUAAUUUCUUAAAAUCACUUUAGUUUAUUUGAAAAAUAUUGAAAACUGAUUUUUUGUUUUUUUACAUUAAAAACAAAAAUUGAACAAUCUUUUUAUAUUUUACUUCAAAUAUGGUAUUUUAAAACAAAAAUGAAAACGAUGUGAAAUUAACCAUUUUAAUUAUAAAGUAAGUUUCUUAAUUAAAAAUGAAGGUGAGUUAAUUUGUAAUAACAUGAAUUUUGCUGGUUUUUCAUGGAACGCAAUAAGUAUUGGACCUUUCAGAUUUCUUUCUGACAACUUAUCCAUGAUGUAAUUUAUAUUUUCAAGUUACAACUUUUGACUAAUACUUUUUCAUUCUUUUAUCACUUCUCAAUAUUCUCAACAAAAAGAUGAAAACCCUUGAUAUUAGUUAGAAAUAAAUUGGUUUUCCAGGAAGAUAUUAUUGAUUGGCAUACGGUAUUUGAGUUGGUUCUGCACUGUGUUUGGUAUUGCAGUAGCUGUUCUAGUUGAGGUUUGAAAAAAGUUAUUUUAUAAAAAGUAUUUUUAGUUGAGGUUGGUUUGGAAAAAUAUAUGUUUGGUUAAAAUUGUGGUUGAAAUUGAGGUUGAACAAAACGUAGUUUAAUGUGUUUGGUUAAGAAUGCUUUUGAAAUUGAGGUUAUAAAAUAAUUUUAAAAAAUAUAUAUUAAUAUUUAUGGUUUUUAAUUUAAAUAUUGUAGAUUUAACUCUUGCUCUUACAUCAUGAAAUAAAUAAUACUUUAUAUAAAAUAUUUUUUAUUGUUCCAUUAAAUUAUCUACAAUUCCAUUACGUAUAAAAUACAUCCGACAAGGACUACAUCUUUCACAAAUUUCUUAAGAGUGCAAUAACAUCAGGUAAAAUAUAAUCAGGAACAAAAUUGAGAUUGCAAUCAAAUUCUGCAAAUGCUACGUCAUCAAGCGAUCUUCGUUUAAUUUAUGUAGUGUCAUUGAAUAAUGUUUAACACUAGUUUUUCAAAUAAAAUACAAUUAAAAAUAUAAAAUAUUUUUUUAUUUUAUUGGGUCGGACCGGUUCAAUGUAUUUUUAGCUUUGAACCGGACCGGUCCGGCCGGAACAGUGGAGGCAUGCUCCACUGUUCAUUGAAGAAAACCCAUGAUCAAUGGAGCAUGGCUCCACUGUUCAUGGGUAAAUUCUCAGCACAAGAAGCAACAAAGAGCUGCUUCUUGUAAACCUGCGGCACACCCUCAUAAAGGGAUGGCUCCACUGUUCAUGGGUAAAUUCUCAGCACAAGAAGCACCAAAGAGCUACUUCAUGUAAACCUGCGGUACACCCUCAUAAAGGGUGGGUCCUACCAAAAAAAUUAUGGCCUUUUCUUAUAACCAAACAAUAAAAACUGUGGUUGCAAGUGAACCUCAUCCGUAGCCACAAUACCAAACGACCACUUAGUGUUAUAGCUCAAGACAAUUGAUAAAAACUACCAAUACAUUAAAAAAAAAGUACUUGUUCAAAAAGCAUUUUUAAUUGGUAUAAUAAAGAAAUUUUUUGCUAUAAAAUCUUUCUAUGUAUUAUUGCAUGAUUUUUAAUAUUAGCACCAAUUAAUAAUAAAUCUUUGACUAUUAUUAAAAAGGAAAAAGAAACUCAUGCUUGAAGGGUGCUCAAGUUUAACUUAGUUAUAAAAAUCUAAUUUAAAAAAUAAUUAAUUUGUCCUUAUAGUCUUAGAAAAUAGUAUUUAAUCCUUAUGUUUUUUAUAUUCAUCUAUGAUUUAAUUUUUUUCCAUCAAUUUCAUUUUCUUAUUUAUUUUAAUCCUGAAAUAAAUAAAAAAAUCAAAAGGCAUAUCAUGAAGACCAAUUCAAAAUAAACAAGAUGCUUAAAAAAUCUUUUAGUAUUGUCAUAACCCAAUUUUUGACCCUUUUAAUAAUGAUGAAAAAAAAUAAUGACGAUGAAAAGCAAGUAAAAUGAAAUAAAUGAAGAAUGAAUUAAAAUUUGGGUUAAGGGCAACAUGAUUGAUAAGUUUUGAGACUUAAUUGAGCUUGAAAUUAAUUUAAUUAAUCCAAUCAAGGGUUUAAUUGGAGAAUUGAUAAGUUUUGAGAAUUAAUUAAGCUUGGAAUUAAUUUAAUUAAUCAAAUCAAGGGUUUAAUUAAUUGGAUAAUUGAUAAGUUUGGAGACUUAAUUGAGUUUGAAAUUAAUUUAAUUAAUGAAAUCAAGGACUUAAUUGAAGAAAUAUCAAAGUUUGGAGUUUAAUUGAGGUCUAAAUUGCAAAAAUUAAAAUCCAAGGACCAGCUUAAAAAUUACGCUGAAAUGAAGGGGUCUAAUUAAAGUUUGUCCAGGGGCUUGCUCAUGAAAAAUCCAAAACGUCAAGGACAAAAAGGCAAAUGGCCAUUAGCAAUCGAACGGCAUUGUUUCAGGAGAACUGUUCGUCUUCUUCCGCUCACCAAACCAGAGAAACGGACGCCCCUGCCAUCACUGCUCCUGCAAUAAACGGUCCUGAGUCUUCAUUACCAAGGGAAACGCAUGCCAUUCGACGACAAUAAAAAACCAGAGAAGGGAAGCUAAGCCCGGACACGAAAAAGUCAGGCAGAACCGAACUAAAAAAAAAAAGCAGAGGAAGAAAGGGCAGAACCGAGGGGCCAAUGGAGAGCAUGAACGAAAACAGAGAGGGGACCUAAAAACAGAGAAAUAGGGAGAGAGCAAAAGGACAGCAGGCCUGCUUUGCUUUUGUUCUCAAAACGCAAGUGAAGUGCAAGGAAACUGCAAGCGUUGGUCAGCCUAAUUAUUCGUCUCCAGCUACACACUCCAAACCAUCGGAAAGAAAACUGGAAAAAACCGAGGAAACAGAGGAUGGACGAGCAAAAGAACCAGAGGAGAAAACACGAAAAAAGAAAACUAUUAGAGAGAGAGGAAAGCCCAGGAAAUAAAUACACAAGAAAGAACCAACAUUUCAUCAUCGUCUUCGUCCCUUCCAUCUCAAUAACCGGGGCGACGAGCAGAGUUAAAAGCAAAGGAAGAAGUCUAAAACAGAAAGACAGGGGAAGCAAAGGGCAAACGCAAGCAGGAGACACAGAGACCAACAUCAACAUCCUCAUCGUCUUCAUCGCCUCCAGCAACGUCUGCAGAUCAGGUAAGUUUGUUUUCGUUCCUUUCUCUUCCAUUUUUCAUUGUAAAGUUACUGUGCAGCUUGGAUUUAAUUAACUUUUGCACGCACGCGUGGUGCGUGCCUUUGCCCAGCCGGGUCACUGCUUGGGCCAGUGACCAGGCCGGGCUGGCUGGGUUCAGCCCAGCCCAUGUGGGCUGAGCUGGGCCCAGCCCAAAAAAUGAAAAAAUAAAAAAACAGAAAAGUAAAAGAAGGUAGAAAAAAUAAAAAAAAUGUGUAUGGAUGAAUAAAAAUAAUGUAAAUUUAUUGGUUUAUUCACUGACGCCAGAGUCAGGAAUAAAAAUACUGGUUUAAAUUUAUAUUAUUUUUAUUCGGUGUAUUUUAUUUUAUUUAGCUAGAAAAAUAAAAAAAUAUGUGCAUGCGUAAAAAUCAAUUUAUUUUUAUUUAUUUAUUCACUGGUGCUAGAGUAGGGAAUACAAAAUAUUGAUCUAAUUUUUCGUAGCUAUGAAUUUUUACCAACGCCAGAGUUGGAAUUAUUCGAGCUUGAAUAUUCACUGGCGCCAGAGUCAGGAAUAUUAUAAACAAAUCAUCAUAGCAUAAGCGAAUAAAUAUUUAGCAAUUUAAGACAAAACCAGCAAUGCAGUCUGCCUCAGGCAGAACGUUUAAGGGGUGAUAAUAUCUUCUUUUUUACGUAACCAAUCCCGAGCCAUAGAAUCUCUGUUGACCAGUUAGGGUUCUUAGUGACCAUAAUACUAGGUGGCGACUCCUCAAACAAGACCUUUUCCCCUUAAAGAACCAGAUGCCAGAAAUCUGUUCUUUGUCCAUAAUUCAAGAUUUAUUUUUAGGGCCGCCGCGAUGUCGGGUGCGACAAGUAUGACACCUUUUUUUAAAAAAAAUAAGACAACAACAUAUUUAAUCAACCCGAGUUUUGUGGCCUAACCACACCGUGACAAUCAUAUAAAAAUUAAAUUUUAAAAAAUCAACCCAUAGAAACAAAAAUACAUUGAAAAAACAAAUUUAAAAUAAAUCAAAUGAUUAAAAAAAGUUCAAUAAAACAUAUUUUGUAAAAAAAUAUUACAGACAAUAAUAACAAUUAUCAAGCUAAUAUUCAUACUACUCCAUAUGAAGCCUUACAUGGUCAACGUUGUCAAUACUAAUAUAUUGAUACGAAGAUGGUGAAAAGAAGCUCAUUGGGCUAGAAGUAGUGCAAAUAACUUCUGAAAAGAUUAAAAUAAUUCAAACUAAGCUCAGGAAGUACAAAAUAGACAGAAGAGUUACGUUGAUCAUAUAUGACUGGAAUUGAAAUUUGUUGAUGGUGAUUAUGUAUUUUUGAGAAUUUGAAAAGAUUCUAUAUUGGGCCUUUGAAAAUUUUGAAGAGAAUUGGUACAGUUCCUUAUGGAUUAGCUCUUCCACCCAGCUUUUUCAUCUAAAUAUCCAGUGUUCCAUGUAUCUCCGUGCUCCAUCACAUAUAUUAGAGCCAUAAACAGUAGCAUUUCAAGAAGAUAUGUCAUGUGAGAUUCAACUGGAGAGAAUUGUGGAUAGACAAAUUAGAAAACUUCGUUCUAAUGAGCUAGAUUGCUUCAGUGAAAGUAAUGUGGGAAGGUCAUUGGAGCGAUGAAGCAACACGAGAACCUGAGAAGAUGGUACAUAAUAAAUAUCGUUAUUUCUUCAUUCAAUCAAGCUAGUUAGUUUUAAUUCGAGGAUGAAUUUAUUUUAAAAGGGGAGGAGGAAAUGUAAACAUUAAUAAAUAUGUUUAAGUCUCGAUUAACUGUUUGAUACUUGUUAAAAAACUAGUCAUGAGGGCAUGAAAUUGAGUCUCAAACUACAAAAUGAACGACAACUUUGAAGCAAGUCGACUAAGGUAGCAUAGAGUGCCUUGAUCAAUUGGACUAAAUUUUUUAUUUGAUGUAGAAACACUUUUUUCCUUUGUGAGAAAAAAACAAGUUAAAAAAAAAAGCAGAAAUUUGAAAAAAAAAGAAGAUAAAAAAGAAAUAUGCUUUAGUUUUUGUUUCCAGAUAUUUUGAUUACGUAGCUUUUUUUUUUUUUUUGCCUUUAUUCACCUAUAUUGGCGCUAUAAAGUUUUUUUGAUUGAGGUUUGGUUAAUAAACUCUUAUUUCAUCUUUACUGCGCUAUAAAGCUAUUGCUGUUGAUAGCUUUUGCUGGGUUGAUCUUUUUGGUUUAUCUCUAUCAUUCUGGACAAAAGAUGAUUUUCAAGCACAUUAUGGCCGUUUGAUUGGAAUUGAUAAUGCUAAAAGCACUUUUGCAAAUUUGACAGCAGCAAGGGAAGGGUGUUAAUCUGCAGAACUCCGAAGGAAAUUAUUUUCGACGAGAAUAGAAUUGACCAUGUUGUUUCAUUGUCAGGGAAAGCACUUAUUUCUUUAAUGUAUGUUUCCGGAGAUUAUUGCGGUGGCCGGUGGCAAAUGUUUUGGCAGCUAAUGCAAUUCACAAUGACCUUGGUCCUUGAGAUCUUUACCUAUUUUGGUUUUGGUCACCAAACUUCAUUUUUUUUCAAUUACAUCCUUGCAAGUUCUAUUAACACGGUUCUAUUUGUUGUUAUCCACUUCGAUUUUCAUGUUCUGGCAUAUAUCAUAUAUCUUUAAAUAUCCCUACAUUGAAUUAGAAAUCAAUUUUUUUUAACCCUUCUAACCCAGUUGCUAUUAAUUAAGGUUAGUUCUCCACCUGCAUGUUCUUCCUUCUCAAGCGUGGCAUCGGUCUUUAGCUACACUUACUUAGUCCCUGUUAUUUAUAAAGCUUAUAAUUUAGUUCAAGUCAAUAAAAGGUUAGCAAUUUAAUACAAAAGCUCAUGGCCAAGUAAGAGAUGUUUAUUUUGGAUGUAAUAAAUAUUCAUAUUGGAACAUAAUAUUCAUCUCUCAAAUCCCUAAUCCAGUUGAUCAUAUAAAUAAUUGUGUUAAUUAAUAACUAUAAGAAAUAAAACCCCUUACUAGUUGAUUACUUGAAUAAAAACUCAAGAUUGUCGAGCAAAGUAAAUAAAUUACUUACUCAGGGUUACUAGAGGAGUUAUUUGCCAAGAUAUUUAAAAAUACAGUUGAACCGUGUUUUCUAAGAUUUUUUUGGAUCAUUCUGAUAUACUGAUAUCAAAAAUAAAUUCUAAAAUAUUAUUUUAAUAUAUUUUUAAUUAAAAUUUUUUUGAAAAAUAAUUUUCACUGCAAUCCUACACAGGUUUAGAAGUUUUUCAAAUAUAUGGAUUAAUGUUGACUCUCUAGUCAUUUUUUAUAAUAAGUUUUGAAUCCAAACAAGUGAAUUUAUAUGCAUGCUUGGACAGCUUGAUUUUCUCUUUAAUUUAAUCAACAAUAAUUUUUCAUUUUCAAUAAAAAAUUGAGUUUAUUAUUCGAGUAAGACAAACUCUGUAUUUUAAAAUACUAUUGCCAAAAGAUUCUCUUUAUAUGAAUCAAGACAACAGUAUCAUUCAAAUGUUAGGAAUAUAAUAACUUUUACAUAUUUUUCAAGUUUGGUAGAAUAGUAGUGGAAUAAUUCUUUUAAUAUUUAAAAAUUAAAAAAAUAUUGUGUAGCUGUUUUGUAUAAAUUGUAAAGUAAAAGCACAGAGAGAAGAACGGUCCGAUAAUAAAGGACCUCAAUAAUGCUAACGCGUGGGACCCAGUUAUUGCAACCACCACGAAAUUAGCGCUCCAAAUUCCAGCUCAAUAUUUACCAGUACUACACGCUUGAGAAAUUUUAUUAACAAGCUUAGAGUAGAAAUUUUAUUAACAAGACAAAUUUAAAAUAAACCUAGAGAUUUACAAGCUAUCAUUAACAAAGCACAAGAUUAGAUUUACAAGCUUCAUGUCACUUCAUGACACGCUUGUUUUCAACGUUUUAUAUUAUUUUAUUUUUUUUGUUUUUAUUUUUUAAAAAUAUUUUUAAAAAAUUUUGAAUUUUAUUUUUAUUUUUUUUAAUUUUAAAUUAAUAUUUUUAAUGUUUUUAGAUUAUUUUAAUAUGUUAAUAUUAAAAAUAAUUUUUAAAAAAUAAAAAAAUAAUUUUUUAAUAUAUUUUUAAAUAAAAAAUAAUUUAAAAAACAAACACAACGCUUUUACAUUUUAAAAGAAGGGUUCAAGGGAGAACAAUAAUGAAGGGGAAUCAAAAUCUUUGUUAGCAAGAAAAAAUUAUAAAAGUUUAAUAAUUUUUAAUAGAAAUAAAUAAAAUUUCUAAACUAAAUAAAAAUAUUUGAUAAAAAUAUUUUCUAUCCCAAAAAUUCUUAUAUUAAAAUCUCAUUUAUCACAUUUUAUAUCUAUAAAAAACUAAUUUGUCACAUGUACAUUUUAAAUUAAUUUCAAUUCAAAAUAACAAAAUAUGAUGGACAUUUUUUAGUAAAUUAAAUUCAAUUCAAAAUAACAAAAUAAGAUUUCUUGAGGCUUAUCGUUAAACCUCGUUUUGGGAUGAAUUGAUCACGAGAAUAAGAAAUUAUGUGUAAAUUAUACAAAAUUUAUUAUUAAUCAUCAAGAUUUAUUAUUUAUUAUCAAUAUUGAAUAAUGAUUUAUUUUAUAAUAUAAAUUAUGUUUAAAAUAAAAUUGAUAAAAUUAAAAUACAUGAAACGAGGUUGUAUAUUUUGAAACUAAAUUAAAAUCAUUUUCUUUUUCUAUUGUAUCCUUCAAAAUUAUUUAUUUUAUAAAAAAAAAACUUGUUAGCUUGCAAGUACACAUGUCAUGAGUCUCCACUGCAUCAAAUUUGCAAAAUCAUAUGGCCCAUUGAUAGAAAGGUGUGUUCGAAAAAAUGUUAACGCUUGAGAAAUUUCCUUGCUUUUUUUCCUCUACGUGUUCCCUUUUACCUCUUUUAUAAUUAUGAUUAUUGCAUCGCUAAUAAUUUGCAAGAAAGAUGAUGAACAUUUUUUAGUGAAUUAAGUUCAAUUCAAAAUAACAAAAUAAGGUUGGUUGAGGUUUUUUUAGAACCUCGUUCAGGGAUUAAUUAAGGAGAAUAAAAAAAAUCAAAUUAUACAGGAUUUAUUAUUAAUCUUUUAUAUUUAUUAUUGAUCAUCAAUGUUGAAUAAUAACUUAUUUUCUAGUAUAAAUUAUGUUUGAAAUAAAAUUGAUAAAAGAGUACAUGAUACACAAUUAAUGAUGGAAUCGUAUAUUUUAUAUAAAAAUGAUUAAAUUGAGAUUUAUUAAUUACCUUUAAACAUAUUAUGGUUUUAAUCGGUGGAUGAUGUAAAUUAUAAAACAAUAUUUAUUUUUCUGAUAUAUAUAAUUAAACAGUCUCUCCUGAACCAAAUAAUAAAAAUAUUGUAUAACUUUUUUGGAUGAAUUGUUAAAAUGUAGGGACUGUUUGGGUUCCUGACAUGGCUGAUUUUAUUUGAAUAUAUUAUUUGAUUAGUGUUGACUCUACUAUUGCUGCAUUGACUGGAAAUUUCAGUAUUCAAUAACCUUGCUUUACUCUGCAGCUAACUUCUCUGUCCCAUUGCUGCCAUUUCAUAGCUAACUCUUUGUUAUAUUUAACUUCCUCUUCUUUGCUUCUUGCUCAUAACGAUAACUUGAAAGCCUUACGUUCAGAUAGAUAAUCAUUGACAAGUCCAUCCUAUAUCAUUCUAUUUAAUUUAGAAAUGCAGAAAGAAAAACGCAAGCAAUCCAAAGAUGAAGAAAAUGAUUCAUCCUCGCGAAAGAGAAGAAAAGCUGACCUCAGUAAGCCUAUAUAAAGAAUACAAUUAACCUCAUUUCAAUAUCAUAGCUUUGGAAUUUCAUAGCUAACUCUUCGUUAUAUUGCUCCAUUGGUAAUUGAUUGUGCCUUGAUUUCUGCAGCUGCCAUGACAGAGCCAGAGUCUUCUCGAUCUAGACCAGAAGGGGCCUAUGAUGUCUUCUUGAGUUUUAGAGGAGAAGACACUCGCAAGACAUUUACAGAUCAUCUAUAUACUGCCUUGGUCCAAGCAGGAAUCCACACUUUUCGAGAUGAUGAUGAACUUCCGAGAGGAGAAGAAAUCUCCGAUCAUCUCCUCAGGGCAAUUCAGGAAUCAAAGAUAUCCAUAGUUGUUUUCUCAAAAGGAUAUGCUUCUUCUAGAUGGUGUCUCAAUGAACUUGUAGAGAUUCUUAAGUGCAAAAAUAGGAAAACCGGUCAGAUUGUUCUUCCUAUAUUCUAUGACAUUGAUCCUUCAUAUGUGAGAAAACAGGAUGGCAGUUUUGCAGAAGCAUUUGUUAAACAUGAAGAGCGUUUUGAAGAGAAGUUGGUGAAGGAGUGGAGAAAAGCUCUUGAGGAGGCUGGAAAUCUAUCUGGAUGGAAUCUCAAUGAUAUGGCAAAUGGGUAUGCCUUUUUUCUCUAAGAUUCACUUGCACACAUUUAUGGAGUCAAUAUACUUUACAUUUUUCAAUGUGAAACAAUAAAAUACUUAAUUGACUCGCUAUCAAUGACUUGCUUUUGUCUAUGAGCAGGCAUGAAGCAAAAUUUAUCGAAGGGAUUAUCAAAGAUGUGUUGAAUAAAUUAGAUCCCAAGUACUUGUAUGUUCCUGAGCACCUAGUAGGUAUGGAUCGGGUUGCUCACAAUAUUUAUGACUUUCUAAGUACUGCAACAGAUGAUGUACGCAUUGGGGGCAUGCAUGGGAUGCCAGGAAUAGGAAAGACGACUAUAGCAAAAGUUGUAUUUAAUAAACUCUGCUAUGGAUUCGAGGGAAGCUGUUUUCUUUCGGAUAUCAAUGAAAGGUCAAAACAAGUUAAUGGUCUUGUUCCUUUACAAAAGCAACUUCUUCACGAUAUUUUAAAACAGGAUGUUGCAAACUUCGAUUGUGCUGAUAGAGGAAAGGUUCUGAUCAAAGAGCGACUUCGUCGCAAAAGAGUUCUUGUUGUUGCUGAUGACGUGGCUCAUCUGGACCAGCUGAAUGCAUUGAUGGGAGAUCGAAGUUGGUUUGGUCCCGGAAGUAGAGUAAUUAUUACAACAAGAUAUUCAAGUUUACUUCGUGAAGCAGAUCAAACAUAUCAGAUCAAAGAAUUGGAACCAGAUGAGUCCCUUCAGCUUUUCAGCAGGCAUGCCUUUAAGGACUCCAAGCCAGCAAAAGAUUAUAUUAAGCUUUCGAAGGAUGCAGUUGAUUACUGUGGAGGACUUCCUUUAGCUCUUGAGGUUAUAGGAGCUCUUCUGUACAGGAAAAACAGAGGUGAAUGGGAAAGUGAAAUUGACAACUUGAGCAGAAUUCCAAACCAAGAUAUUCAAGGAAAACUUCUAAUAAGUUAUCACGCACUUGAUGGUGAACUACAAAGAGCAUUCCUUGAUAUUGCAUGCUUCUUUAUUGGUAUAGAGAAAGAAUACGUCGCAAAAGUGCUAGGAGCCCGUUGCCGUCUCAAUCCAGAAGUUGUUUUGAAAACUCUCCGUGAAAGGUCUCUGAUUCAAUUUCAUUGGUGUAACAUUAAAGAUGAAAGGCAGUUAUUUGGAGAGAUGGUAGCCAUGCAUGAUCUAUUACGAGACAUGGGAAGGGAGGUCGUUUGUAAUGCGUCUCCCUUGCAUCUUGGAAAAAGGACCAGAAUUUGGAAUAAAGACGAUGCAUGGAAUGUACUUGACCACCAGAAGGUAAGAGCUCAAUGCAUACACGAAAGCAUAGUCAUGCGUAUUUUCUAGUCACACUUAUUACAAAUAAUUGUAUGAAAGUUGUAUUGUUUUUCUUUUAGGGUACGGAUGUUGUAGAGGGUCUUGCACUGGAUGUCAGAGCAUCAGAAGCUAAAUCACUUGGCGGAGGAUCAUUUGCAGAAAUGAAAUUCUUAAAUUUACUCCAAAUCAAUGGAGUACAUCUCACCGGAUCCUUCAAACUGCUUUCUAAAGAGUUGAUGUGGAUUUGUUGGCAUGAAUGUCCUUUGAAAUAUUUUCCAUCUAAUUUUACUUUAGACAAUCUAGUUGUUCUUGAUAUGCAGCACAGUAACCUCAAAGAAUUAUGGAAGGAAAAAAAGGUACGAAACAUGCUACAAUCCCCAAAAUUUCUCCAAUAUGUAAUUUAUAUUUACAUGUAAUGACUUUCUAUGAUUAAUUUUCAUUAUUUUGCUCUCUAUCAUGAUAGAUGCUCGACAAACUAAAAAUCCUUGAUCUCAGUCAUUCUCAGCACCUUAUUAAAACACCAAACUUGCACAGUUCAAGUCUAGAGAAACUAAUUCUGGAAGGUUGCUCGAGUUUAGUUGAGGUGCAUCAAUCAAUUGAAAAUUUGACGAGCCUCGUUUUCUUGAAUCUGGAGGGAUGUUGGAGGCUGAAGAUUCUCCCUGAAAGCUUUGCCAAUGUAAAGUCUCUUAAAUGUUUGAAUAUUUCUGGGUGUUUACAACUUGAGAAAUUACCAGAACGCAUGGGUGAUAUGGAAUCCUUAACCAAGCUUCUAGCUUAUGGGAUUGAAAAUGAGCAAUUUCUCUCUUCAAUUGGACAAUUAAAGUAUGUUGGAACUUUAUCAUUGCGUGGAUGCAGUUCGGCUCCACCAAGUUCUUCUUUGAUUUCAACAGGUGUUUUGAAUUGGAAACGUUGGCUGCCAGCAUCUUUCAUUGAAUGGAUAUCAGUAAAACAUCUUAAGCUUUCUAAUUGUGGUUUGUCUGAUCGCGCAACUAACUGUGUUGAUUUCAGUGGUUUGUCUGCUCUAGAGUAUUUGAAUCUAGAUGGAAACAAAUUCUCUAGUCUUCCUACUGGGCUCGGCUUCCUUCCCUAUCUAUUAACGUUGAUUGUCGAUGCAUGCAAAUAUCUUGUAUCAAUCCCAGAUCUUCCCUCACGUUUAUGCAUUUUGCAUGCAAAUCAUUGCAAAUCAUUGAAAAGAGUAAGAAUACCAAUCGAGCGAGAAGAAGAACUAUGUAUACAACUAGGGGGAAGUCAUUCGUUAGAAGAGAUACAGGGCAUCGAAAGUCUAAGUAAUAGUUUCUGGUAUGUUUGUGUUGGUGAGCACAGUCAUUCACCAAAUAAAUUUCAGAAGAGCGUUGUUGAGGUACUAUUUCUUUCAAUCUCUUUUGCACAAGAAGAAACACACAAUUGGCACAUAUAUUGAUUAAUAUCUAAAAUCUCAGCAUUACUUGAAAUCAAUAUGUAUACAGGCAAUAAUCAUUAUUAUUAUUAUUUUAUUUUAAAAAAAUAAAUAUCAUCUUUAAUAACAUUUUUUAUUUUUCUUAUUUAAUCUAAAAAAAUAAAUAUCAUCUUUAAUAAUAUUUUUUAUUAAAUUUAAAGUCUGAUUGGUUUUAUUUUUUAUUUCUUGAUUUUAUGAUAAUAUAUUUAUACAGGCAAUGUGCAACGGUCGUGACCCGUAUUGUAUUGCCAACAUUCCUGGUAAGAUGCCAAAUUGGAUGAGCUACAGGGGAGAAGGAUGCUCAUUGUCAUUCCAUAUACCUCCAGUCUUCCAAGGCUUAGUUCUUUGGUUUCAUAAGGAUUCUCAUUGUCACUUCCACAUUGACAUUAUUAUUAUUAUAAGAAAUAAAAGCAACGGUAUUCAAUUGUUUGAAGAAAAACAAUUACCAAUAGACACGGUACGUGGAAGGGUGGGAUGGACAAGAUACAUAAGUAGAAGUGAAAUGGCAAUGGAAGAUUACUGUGGAGAUGACGAAUUGGAACUAUACGUAUAUUCAAAGCCAUCAAUACUUGCGGUGUACAGAGGUUGGCAAUUAAAACCCGGACACAUUAAAGAAUAUGGGGUCCAUGUGAUCGCAGGGAAGUCAGAUUCAUUUGAAGAGUCGGCAGUGGGAAGAGAUGCAGUGAUGCCUUCACCACCGCUGUAUCAUCUGCUUCCUCAUCCCCAUUGUGGUUCGAUUACAGCGUCUACACCUAAGCAAUGGAGUGACUAUUUAUCUGCGAAGCUAGAAGGACAUAGCCUCGAUUUAAGACUUGAUGGUGAGAACAAAUAUUUCAUUUAGUUAUUUUUAUUCUAUUAUAUUUAAUUUAUGAGAUUAAAUAUUAUCUUUAAUGAUUUUAUUAUUAUUAUUUAAUCUAAAAAAUUAAAUAUCAUCUUUAAUAAAAAAAUAUUAAAUAUUUAAGGCUUUUUGGUAAGAAUACAUAUUUCCUUUAGUUAUUUCUAUUUUAUUCUAUUUAAUUUAAGAGAUUAAAUAUCAUCUUUAAUUCUUACAUUUUUCUUAUUUAAUCUAAAAAAUUAAAUAUUAUCUUUAACAAUAUUUUUUAUUAAAUAUUUAGAGUUUGCUUGGUUUUAUUUCUUUUCUUGAUUUUAUAAUAAUAUUUUUCUUAUUUAAUAUAAAAAAUAAAUAUUAUCUUUAACAAUUAGAUCUAUCGAAUAUCACUUAAAAAUAAAUUAUAACUUUAAUAAUUAUUUUUUGAAAAACAAAAGGCCAACAAUCACUAACAUAUUUUAUUAAAAUCACUUUAGUUUAUAUAGAAAAUAUUGAAAACUGAUUUUUGUUUUUUUACAUUAAAAUAAAAAAUUGAAUAAUGUUUUUAUAUUUUAUUUCAAACUCGAUAUUUUAAAACAAAAAUGAAAAAGAUGUGAUAUUAACAUUUUUUAUUAUAAAGUAAGUUUUUUAAUUAAAAGUGAUGGGAAUUUGUUUUUAUUGCAUGUACAAUCAUGCACAUUUAACUUUCUUUUUAAAUUUGAUGGUUUUUUAGGACGGAAAUGGCUUGAAGGUGGUGAAGGCUUUGAUUGACAUGAGAGUACAAGAUUAGUUUACAUAGAGAUGCUUGAAGUUGCUCCAAAUCAGUACGAUACUUUCAUCUGACAUGUUGAUAUGUAUUUGUUGGCUUGAAGAUUAUUUUCCAAGCUUGGAAGUUUUAUUGAAUUCUCUUUGAAAUCUUUUCCAUCCGCUGGACAACUUAUAUUAUUAUGCAUGAUGUAAUUUAUAUUUUCAAGUUACAAAUUUUGAUGAAUAUUGUUUCAUUUUUUUCCUCAUUUCAAAAGAUGAAAAUCCUUGAUCUUAGUUAGAAAUAAAUUGGUUUUCUAGGAAGAGAUUAUUGAUUGGAAUAUAGUAUUUGAAUUGGUUCUUCAUCAUUUACUGUUAUAUAUAAUUUAAAAUAAUUGAUGAAAAUACAUAGAAAAGUUUUGAGAGCAUCCUUAAUUAGUCUAGUAAGUAAAGUGUUGUUAGUUUUGACUAUAAGAUCUUGCUAUGUAUUAUUGCAUGGUUUUUACUAUUUUUUUGCAUUUCUUCUUUUUGUAUAUACAACUUUUGUUUUUCUUGCCGCUUGUCAUUAGCUUUAUGGCACCAACACCAAUUAAUAAUAAAUCUUGAACUAUUAUUAAAUAAAGAAAAAAUAUAAAUAUCGUUAAAAUACCAAACUUGAAUUGCUCAAUCCUAAAGAAACCCUAUGACAAUAAUCUAAUUUAGAAAAUAAUUAAUUUAUCCUUGUAGUCUAAGAAAAUAGUAUUUAAUUCUUAUGUUUUCAUAUACAUCUAUGAUUUAAUAUGUUGAUUGAAAUUGGCAAGUGAGUUUACUCACGUAUUGUUAUAUUGGUUUUGAGUUCAAAUAAAUGUUUAAAAAGGGAGUUUUUUCAUGAAUGUAACCCUUCAAUAUAUGAAUGUUUAAAAUUGUAUUCAAUAUGAAUGAUGGAUGAUUUUGCUAAGAAUUGGUUGGUAAAAAACUUAAUUUCGAUAUAUAAAAACUUAAGAGACAACAAUAAAUAGAGAGACUAGUAAAGAUUUUAUGUGCUUUCUUGUUUUUUUUUUUUAAUUGGAUUACCUUUGUCUUUUGUUUCAAGUAAAAUUCUAGUAUAUAUCACUAAAUUAAGAAUUAAAGGUCUAAUUAUAUGAAACACAAUUUUAAAGACUACAUCAACUACAUUUCAUAUGCUCAACUCUAAGCAAAUUGAAAUUUCAAGGCCAUUUGUAUCUUGAAAACACAAUCUCAAUAAUCUUAAUAUUGAAUUAUUAUUUGUUGAGUUGGAAAAUAGCACUAAGGAACACAAAAGCCGUACUGUUUAUCUUCUUGGCAUUGUUCAAAGGAACGCAAAAAGAUACUCCAAUUGUGAAAGAUUAUUAUUGUCAUAAAGUAAAACUUUCAAUAUAGAGAGUGAAAUAAAGAGCAAGAGCAAAAAAAUAAUUCGUGUGUGUAUUAGCUAAAUGAAAUGAAGAUUAGAGUAAAAAGGAUAAAAAAAAAAAAAAAAAAUAGAGAGAGAGACUCGUUAAGAUUUUAUGUUGGUGCUCAACAUGUUCUUUCUUAUUUUUUUUUUUUUUUUAAUUUUAUCUUAACGAGUGAAAUAAAGAAACACUCCCCCCAUCUUUCUUGUUCCCUUUCCCUUCUUUACAUGGCUUACUCAGUGAAAAAGCAAUUAAACACCCCAUUUGAUUUUCAAUCAGUAUGAGAGUGAGAGAGAGAGAGGCCAAGGUGGUCCUUGAAUAUUUUCUUCUUUUUUGUCUCGCUCACUGGGGCAAACCAUUUUUUCCAAAAUUUUGAAUAGCAUGCGAUCAAAAAGAAUUUUGAAUAGCAUGCCAUCAAAAGGAAUUUUGUUCAAUCCCAAUCCCACAUUGUCUGUAGAAGUAUUUACUUUUGACUGUACACUUUGUUAUUUUCCAAUCCCUCCCCAGUUCUGCAACCAUUUCUCUACUUUCUAUGCUCUUGGCUUGCUAAAAACUAAAGAAAACACAUUGCUCUACUUGCCUGCCUUCACUCUUCAGAUUGCUCAACAAAUCCCUUGAGACCUUCUCCAUAGUUAACACAUCACAUAAUGGCUACUCUAAAAAAUUUAGCCAUAAACAUUGAACACCUUGAGCAAUCAACGUGCCUUCCUUCACAAUAUCCAUCACCCAUAAAUCUUUCUUUUGGGAUGUCGCCGGGAGUUUAAUUUCCGUGUAAAAAUUAUGUAUAAAUUUCCAUUCUUUCCUUCCAUCCAUUACUUGUCCUCUAUGAAGAUUCUAUGUAUGAAAUCUCGGAAUCUUUUCGAGUAUAACUUGGGAUCAACAGCUGAGAUAGACGUGGGAUCCACUUCUAAGGACUUGUAUGCAUGCUCUAGCUUUUUGCUGAUAUCAUAAUCCUAGAGAUACCAAAGUGAAGAACUACAUCUCACAAUCACCAAAAUUCAAAGUAAAGUAACGGAGAAGAAAAUCUGAUAACAAUGAAUGAUCACUCAUUAACCACAGCGAAUCUUACGCUUUGAAAACACUUUUCACCAUCAAUUUUCCUUUUCUCAUUGAUUUUAAAUCUUCCAGGCAGAUAAAAUAGCAUUGGUUUUAUUCAUCAGCUUAGGCAUCAACAACAUGUUGCAUCCACAAUCUUACUACUACAUUAUAAUUAUAAACAAAGCUAAAAAAAUAUAUAUAUGAGGACAGAGUUAACAGACAUGCACUAAGAGUUAACAGACAUGCACUAACACACACUGUGCAAAUCAGUGUACAGCUGUUAUAACAAACAAGUGUACAAUCUGUUUUCUCCAACCUUCCAGCAUUAUUCUCCCGAGCAUAUUCUGUCAGCUCAAGAUUAGGCAAUUCUGUUAACCAUUCUGUUAGCUCUGUUCUCUUUUGUUGUAUAUAUACUUGAUUGAUUGAUUGAUUCAAUAACAUUAUCUUUCUCUCUUCUCACCUGCCCCCUUUUUCUUCUCCUUUUACCUCUAGCUUCCAAUGCCUAUCAACACCACCAUCCUUAACACAAAUGAAUCUCACAGCAUGUUGAUUACCAUCAAUGUAGCAGCCCAAACUCCAUUAAAACUUAUCUCCACCAGGCACCAACUAUCUAGCCUGGAAACUUUGUUGGGGAUUCCGGCUCCCCCAUGCGCGGACCGGGGGUGUACUGAUAGUUGCUCAACGGAGGGUAAAGCACACUGAUACAAUAUUUUACGUGGUUCGGCAAAACCGCCUACAUCCACGGGAGAGUCCAUAUUAUUAGAGAUAUAUAGAGAAAGGAUUACAACAUACAUGGAGGAGGAGGAUCACUUCACUCAAACUCAAUUCCCAGCUCUUUUGCUACACUUACAGCUGCUGCAAUGGCAGCAGCCAUUGCAGCUCUCUCUUUCUCUCCACUCUCUUGCACACACUCACGUUCUCUCUCUCUCAUUUUUCUCUCAAAUAUAAGCCUCCUUUAUAGGCAUUUCAUGGUCAACAUGGAGGGGCCAAUAGCCUUAAAGCAUGGCAUGAAUUGUGGCACAAUUCAUGCUUCCACUUGCUUAGUGGUGGGGUAUUGCCACAAAUGGCAAUAUCCUAACAAUCACCCCCUUUGCCAUUUGUGUGGGCAAUUGUCCUCUUGCUUCUUCAGCACAGGCUUGCAUCUUGCAGCUCUUCCAAGCUUACCAUUCUGAGAGCGUCUUCAACACAACAUUCCCUUUCGAGUGUAUCAAUCAUGCUCGGUCCGGAAUGAUUUUUCAAGCCUUACACCAAGGCUUACAACACCCCCUCAAAUAGAUAUUUCUAAGUGCGACAGUCAUUUAGUAUUUCAAUGUGAUCACAAGCUCACCACUCUUCCAAGAGUCUACUCAUCCAAGAGUUGUGCCUGCCCUCUGUUCCACCCUAGGAACCACGUCUUACUUCUCCGUGAGUCUCUCGCUCUUAGUCGUAAGAGUCCAGGUAGCUCUCCACCUUUAACCAUAGGGGCAGCCCAUUAAAGGUUGAUUCAUAUCUGUCUUCAUACUCUGAGUAUUACAAUGCCAUUACCGAGCUCACCACCUUAACAAGAGUCAACUCGUUCUCGGAACCUGCGCAUGCCCUUCUGCUUCUUCAUAGCAGCCGCGUCUUAAUGCUCCACAAGUCACACACUUAUUGUCCAAGGCAAAUGUCUUCUAGCUCAUUGAUCUUUAGCAUGGGGGCAAUAUCCAUGAAAGUCAAUCCUGCAUUUGUCUCCAUACUCAUCAUAGCCACUUCAUUGGCUAUCUAUACACUUGUCCACUUGUAUCUAGCCAUCACAUCGGCUUUGGAGCGUUCUGAACUGGGCUCAUAUCAUGGCCCUCACACCUUCUCCUCAGGUGUCUCCGCUCGUCAUCAUGCGACGGUCUGAACUGGGGCUCCUCUCAUAGCCCUCACACCUUCUCUACGGUGUCUUCGCCCGUUGUCAUGGGGCGGUCGCAUCCUUCUUCAGCUGGGAUGCUUCAAAGUGGCUCCAAAAUUCUCUACCACCAUGUGCACUAUGGGAGAGAUUAUAACCACUGAUUACAUAGAAAGAGAAACUUGCGGUAUACUCCUCGCAAUCCUCCACCUCGAUUUCUAUGUUUGGAGCUUUUGUGUCUUUCUACUUGAUAGCUCCACCUACACCAACUCUCUUUGGUGUCUUCGCCUUUCAUCAUAGGCGGUCGCCUUUUAUCACAGGCGUUUGCACCCCCUCAAUUAGGUGCUUCUACAACAGCUCUCUUUCCAUCCUUGCAUGCAUUGGAAAGGUCUUCGCCUGUUGUCUUCAUCAAGAGCAUAAGAGACUUCCUGUUGUACAAACUUUAACAGUCUCUGCUCUGAGCUUCAUCUGGGAACACUUCUUCUCCUUGCACCUAUUGUCUCAUUACAGUACCUCGUUGGAUCCUACGGGUACUCCUGCACAAUCUCCGUGUGCCCUCGUGCAAUUUCUGUUCUCCAGAUUUCUCCCUAUUUCUUGCUUAUGUUUGACAGCAGCUCAUCCUGUCACAACACCUGUCCAAGUCAAAAAUAUGGUGCCAAUCUUUAUCCCCUUGCUGUAUUCCUCUUCCAUUAUCAGGGUCUUCAUCAGUUCUCCCCUCGAGAAAUCACAGUCACCGAAUCUAACUUCUUUGGAGAAAUCACCACUCCAUCAGAUCCUUGAACCUUUGGAACCCAACUAUUCCCUUGUGCCGUCAUCCUGCUAGCCUUCAACUGUUUCAUUACAAACUGCUAUAUAUACAAAAAUAGUACCGUAUGGAUAAUCCUUCCACUAAGCAAGUUCCCAGGAAAGAUUGGAGGGGUCACACUGGUCCCGCUUAAAACCCAAUCUCCUAGACAGAACUUCUUAGGACAUAUCUAUCCAUCGUACUGUCUUUUUGUAUAUACAACCAUUUGCUAGCUUUGUUGCGGCUUUCCUUUACAAGUGAUCUGGGGUAUCCCGAUUUUAUACCUGAUUUCUCAACAUCUGGCGAGACUACCAGUUCUUAGAUUCGUCAAGAUUGGUCUUUAUCAAUUUUCACUCUACACCUCUAAUUGUCCACUUGAUCGGGUGUCUAGAGUGUCCCAAUUUUGCCUUCCCUCAAGGCAGUUAAAUUUCUCCCAACUUAGCAGCUCAGCACAUGUAAUUGGGUAAACAUGUGCACCUUCUUCUUCUUCUCUUCAACGACCACCAUGAUAACCUUCAGAUGCCUCCUGAUCGGGCAAUCUCUUUUGUUAAUUCAUCACUACCACUUUCGGUCUCAAAUCUCAACGAUCGGACCAUACCAUUGCAUCCGAAACGAUCAAAUUAGCUGGAAACAAGUCUGAAAUCGUCCAAAUCGCACUUCAGACGGCUAAGAUUUGAUCAAAACAAUUCUGGCCUGAUCAAUGGCUCAGAUUCAAUCUCAGAUCCGGUUGCACGUAGGAUCAGCUACACUGGAUCCUGUCCCUCGGCUCGCGGCUCGGCUCCAAUUAGGCUCGGCUCGGCUUGGCUCGGCUCGUGGCUAAUGACGUGGUUGGUGGGUCCCACUUUGCUGACGUGUCAGUGACUGUACGCUGACAUGGCAUGCCAACUGUGCAUGCUGACAUCACACUUACAUCAGGCUGAUGUCAUCCCUGGCAUGCCUACUAUGCAUGUUGACAUCACAAUUAUGUCAUACUGACGUCAUUCAUAUCCGGGUCAGCCAUGUGGGUCGGGUCAACUGGUAUUUGGGUCGGGUCAGCCCAUCCGGGCGAAGAAGACGCGUGGGGUGCGUCUGCGCGCGUGGGCAGACGCCUUGCCGGAGAGUGAUGGAGAGUACGGCCAUGUCCGACGUCCGAUUUUGACGCCGUUUUCACCAGUGGCUUCGUCUCGGCCUCCUCUACACGGUGGUAUAGUCAAAACACCAUUUUGAGAACUUUCAUUUUUGAGCAAAAAUCAAACACCCCUUUAAACCAUGUGCUCUGAUACCAGUUGUUGGGGAUUCCGGCUCCCCCAUGCGCGGACCGGGGGUGUACUGAUAGUUGCUCAACGGAGGGUAAAGCACACUGAUACAAUAUUUUACGUGGUUCGGCAAAACCGCCUACAUCCACGGGAGAGUCCAUAUUAUUAGAGAUAUAUAGAGAAAGGAUUACAACAUACAUGGAGGAGGAGGAUCACUUCACUCAAACUCAAUUCCCAGCUCUUUUGCUACACUUACAGCUGCUGCAAUGGCAGCAGCCAUUGCAGCUCUCUCUUUCUCUCCACUCUCUUGCACACACUCACGUUCUCUCUCUCUCAUUUUUCUCUCAAAUAUAAGCCUCCUUUAUAGGCAUUUCAUGGUCAACAUGGAGGGGCCAAUAGCCUUAAAGCAUGGCAUGAAUUGUGGCACAAUUCAUGCUUCCACUUGCUUAGUGGUGGGGUAUUGCCACAAAUGACAAUAUCCUAACAAACUUCAAUUCCAGACUCUAUUCAUAGGACAUUUGAUUGAGGUCUCCACAAACAUUGAAACACCGCAAUUUUUCAUGAUAAAAUCCAAAGGAUUGGUACUUUGGUGUUUGAGGGGCUGGUAAAUGAAAGAACAGAUCAAGAGAUGACAUCCCUCUAUACCGCUGUUAUUCCUUUCAAGGUGCGUAUCAGGUGUUUGAAAAACUUCCUCAACUUAAAAAUAAAAAGGUCCUGUUUACAAUGUUUUUUAGUCCUUUACAAAUCUUCCAAUGUGUUGCGUUUACUGAAUAUGAUAGUGGGAACUUAUUUAUCAAGAAUUAACUACUCAGAAGAAAAUGUAAAGACGCAAUAAUGAUUUUUUUAUUUUAGAUUCCAUAGUCUACAAACUUGGAAGCAUACGGACCAGUCAGAAGACAACAUGUUUAUUGUAUAUGAUAAACAAUAAUAAACAUCUCAUUCUUAAAAUGAUGGUAAAUCAGAAACAACCAUCCAAUACUUGAAGAUCUGUUGAAGAUAUUUGGCCUUUGGAAAUUUUGAAGAGAACUGGAGCAGUUGCAUAUGGAUUAGCUCUUCCAUCCAAUCUUUUCAUCUAACCAUCCAGUUUUCUAUGUAUCCAUGCUUUAAAAGUAUCUUCGUGCUCCAUCACAUGUAUUGGAGCCAUAAACAGUAGCAUUUCAAGGAGAUAUGUCAUGUGAAAUCCGUUCUAAUGAGAUUGCUUCAGUGAAAGUAAUGUGAGAAGGUCAUCCAAGUGAUGAAGCAACACGAGAACCUGAGAAGAUGAUACGUAAUAAAUAUCGUUAUUUCUUCAUUCAAUCAAGCUAACAAGUUUUCUACUUAAAUUCGAGGAUGAAUUUAUUUUAACAGGGGAGGUGGAAAUGUAAACCCACCCCAUAAUAUAUAACUCAUUAUUGUUUUAUAUGUUGGCCCGUUAAUUCAAGUCAUUUUCUUCUAUCUCUCUUAUAGGAAUGUUCCUCCUUCUCCCUUUUACUGCAAAUAUUCCCCCACGAUCCCAAACCAUCAAUUGACCCUAUAACUCUCUUGUUUUGAGUAGGUUUACUUCAACUUUAUCAAGUGUUUAUAAUAUUGUUUUAUGUUUAUUUAUUUAUAUAAAAUUGUUGAAUUCUAGGCGUUAUAUGAUAUUAGUUGAUGUUAUAUGGAAUUAUUUAAAUUAAUUUGUGUGUGGGUAGUAAUAAGUGUAUAUGAAUAUGAAUUGGAGUAAGGUCAUAGAUGGGUUGGUGUGAAGCUUUGAUUAAUUGAUAUAUUUUGAUGUAAUGAGUAAAUACCUUAAGAAAUUUGAAUAUUUGAAAGAUAAUAGGUAAAUAUUGAAGAAUUGUAUAGAAAGAAUCAUAUUGAAAUUAUGAAAAAUAUGUUUUGGGGUUGAUGAUGGAAGAAUUACAGUUUGGUCCUUGCUUUUGAGAAAUUAAGAUUUUGUCCCUAAAUUCUAAAACAAUUAUAGUUUAGUCACUGGUUGUAAAUAACAAUUUUUAAGAUAUUUUCCUGAUAAAUAUCUGAGAAAUAAUGAUCAUCUAUUAUCAAUUUUUAUUGUUAUCAUUUAAAUUUAAAAUUAAUUGUAUUAUCUACGAGCACAAGUGGUACAGUUAUCAAUCGAAUUUUAGCAAAAUCAAGGAUCCAAGAAUUGGCCUCUGUAACAUAUUAGGAAACUGGCAUGCAAACCCGACAAGAUAAAAGGCAAGGGACAAGAUAAAAUGAGAAAUAAGACACAAGAAUUUACGUGGUUCACCCAAUUUGGCUACGUCCACGGGCAAGUAUAGAAGGAUUUUACUAAGUAAUGUGGGAAUUACAACCUCUCUCUACUAAUAGGAGAACAACUGAAAUCUCUCUAUUAAUAGGAGAAAACACCUCACUUACUCUCUCACAAAUACCUCACAAUUUUGUGGGAUUACUUUCCCUCUCUCACUCUUCUCUUCCUCUCUUAUGAUGUGCAAAAUAAGCUUGGAUGCACUGCCUAUUUAUAGGCAAGCAUCCAAGCAAAGGACAAAAAGGCACCAAUUGGUGCUGCAAGUGGCACCGAAUUGGUGCCCAACAUUGUUGAAUUUGCAGCACAAAUUUGGUGCCUAACAUUGUUGACUUUGCCAACAAUGCAGCUGGCUUCACAUUCUCCCACUUGAAGACUUUGAUGAGUGAAUCAAGUCUUCACACUUAAUCAUCUGUGAUUCUUCUAUCCUUUCUAUACUUGUCAUCUUCAUGCUGCUUACAUUUCUGUUAGGCCAUAAGAGGAUCUGCACCAUAUGUACUUGUCAGUGUUGACUGGUUUGGUUAAAGCAUCUGCUGGGUUUUCCUUCGUGUGAACCUUUUGAAAAUCUACACUUCCAUCUUCCACUACUUCGCGAACAAAGUGAUACUAAACAUCUAUGUGUUUUGUUCUUGAAUGAAACGCGGGAUUCCUUGCAAUAUGCAAAGCACUCUGACUAUCACAAUACAAAAGAAUGUUCUCUUGUUUGUGCCCGAGCUCCUCCAUAAGUUUCUUCAUCCAUAUUGCUUCUUUACAAGCUUGUGUAGCUGCCAUGUACUCAGCUUCUGUUGUGGAUAAAGCUACAACAGUCUGAAGUUUAGAGACCCAGCUCACAGCUCCUCCUGCAAUUAUGAACACAUAGCCUGUAGUGGAUUUUCUUUUCUCAAGGUCGCCAGCAAAAUCUGAAUCAACAUAACCUCUGACGGUAAAUUCUGAUCCUCCAUAUCAUAAUGCAACAUCUGAGGUGCCCUUGAUGUAUCUCAAGAUCCUCUUAAUAGUAUUCCAAUGCUCUCUACCAGGAUUUGCCAUGUAUCGACUAGCUACUCCCACUGCUUGUGCAAUGUCUGGUCUUGUACAUAUCAUGGCAAACAUUAAGCUUCCCACUGCUGAUGCAUACGGUACUCGAGACAUCUCCAUCCUCUCUGCUUCAUUGCUAGGAGACAUACUUGAGGAUAAUUUGAAGUUAAUAGGAAGUGGGGUGGAAAUUGGCUUACAAUCUUGCAUGUUGAAGUGUCGUAAGAUCUUAUUCAAAUAAUUCUUCUGAGAAAGCCAAAUCUUCCUCUUACUUCUGUCUCGGUGAAUUUGCAUCCCUAGAAUCUUGUUUGCUGGUCCCAAGUCCUUCAUAUCAAACUCCCUAGCCAACUGUGCCUUCAAUUCUUGGACUCGAUCUUUGUUGGAGCCUAUUACCAACAUGUCAUCCACGUACAACAACAAAAUGAUGAAAACAUCAUUUUCUUCAAACCUCUUGUAAUACGUACAAUGGUCUGAACUGAGUCUGUUGUACCCAAGGCUAAUUAUGAAGGAAUCAAAUCUCUUGUACCAACAUCUCGGCGCCUGUUUGAGACCAUAUAGAGAUUUGUUCAACCUGCAAACCAAGUUCUCCUUGCCUACUUCAGCAAAACCCUCUGGUUGGAGCAUAUAAAUUUCUUCUUCAAGUUCUCCAUGAAGAAAUGCAGUUUUCACAUCUAACUGCUCUAAGUGAAGAUCAAAUAUAGCACACAUCGCCAAGACUACUCUGAUUGUAGUAAGUCAUACCACUGGAGAAAAUAUCUCAUUAAAAUCUAUUCCUUCUUUCUGAGCAUAUCCUUUCACCACCAAUCUUGCACGAUACCGCUCCACUUGAUUAUUGCCAUCAUGCUUUAUCUUGUAAACCCAUUUGUUGCCAAUGGCCUUCCUUCCUUGUGGUAGCGGAACAAGAUCCCAAGUGUUGUUCUUGUGUAGAGCUUCAAUCUCCUCUUGCAUCGCUGUCAUCCACAUAGAUACAUCUGUGCUUUUGAUAGCCUCAUGGAAAGUUGAUGGCUCUCCAUCCUCUGUUAGAAGACAGUAUGCAAUGUUGCUCUCAGUAACAUAUUCUGAGUGCCAAGCCGAUGGUCUUCUUUCACGAGUUGACCGUCGAACUUCAGGAGUUUCAGAUUCUAUUUGUUCUUGUUCUUCAUGCUCUGGUACAGCUUCAGAAGAAGUAUGAUUCUGAGUAUUUUCCAUCUGGACUGCUGUAGUCUCCUUUGGAAUGCUAUUAUGUUCUUCCAUUUGUAUUUUACCUUCUGCAAAUAUAACAUCUCUGCUGAUGACUAGCUUGUGGGAUUGGGCAGUGGGAUCCCACAAGCGAUACCCCUUCACUCCAUCAGCAUAUCCCAAGAAUACACAUUUUCUGGAUUUUGAAUCCAGCUUGUUGACUUCUUGAGUAUUGUACAUCACGUACACAGGACUUCCAAAUAUAUGUAAUUGAGAAUAAUCAGCUGACUUUCCAGUCCACAUCUCCAUCGGUGUCUUCAGCUCAAUUGCAGUUGAUGGAGAUCGAUUUAUCACAUAACAGGCGGUAUUGACUGCUUCUGCCUAGAAUGACUUUCCUAGACCUGCAGCCUUCAACAUUGCUCUCGUUCUUUCUAAUAGAGUUCUGUUCAUCCGCUCUGCCACUCCAUUUUGCUGUGGAGUGUAUGCCGUUGUGAACUGCCUUUUGAUACCUUCAUGUUGACAGAAGUUAUCAAAUUCAUCACUGGUAUAUUCUCCUCCAUUGUCAGUCCUCAAACACUUGAUCUUCUUUUCAGAUUCAAGUUCCACCCGCGCUUUGAAAGUUUUAAAGAUUGCGAACACAUCUGCCUUCCUUCUAAUUGGAUGCACCCAACAUCUCCUGGAGAAGUCAUCUAUGAAUGAUACAAAGUAUCUUGCUCCUCCCAAGGAUACAACCGGUGCUUGCCAAACAUCAGAGUGAAUCAAGUCUAAGAUGCAUUUGCUCUUAGUUGUUGAUGUGCCAAACUUCAACCUGUGUUGUUUACUUGUAACACAGUGCUCCCAAAAAGGUAAAGUAACCUUUGUAAGCCCAGGGAGUAACUUCUGAUCAAAGAGAACUUUCAAACCUUUCUCUGACAUGUGGCCUAGUUUUUGAUGCCACAUCAUCGUCUUCUUUUCUGCAGGACUGGCUGAUGCGAUUGACGCUUCUGCCCUAUGAUGUGUUUCUCCCAUUAAUACAAACAUGUUUGCAACUAUUUUUCUCGCCUUUAAAACUACCAACGCUCCUUUGACAAUUUUCAUUAUUCCAUUGUCUGUUCGGAUCUUAUAGCCAAGACUAUCAAAUUGUCCCACAGACAAAAGAUUUUUCUUUAAGUCUUUCACAUGACGCACUCCUGUAAUAGUACGAAUUAAGCCAUCAUACAUCUUCAAUUUGAUGGUGCCAAUGCCAGCAAUCUCUAAAGCAUGAUUAUCACCCAUGAACACUUUGCCUCCAGAGAUGGGUUCAUAUGUAUGGAACCAAUCUCGAUUAGGAGUCAUAUGCCAUGUUGCUCCUGAAUCCAUUAGCCAGACCUCAGUAAGCUCUUCUCUAUCUGUAGAGAUUGUCGCUGCUUCACUAUAUAAAACCUCCCCAUCUUCUGAGGUGCUCGCAACACAUCCUUGAGGUUUUGAUGACUCUGCAGUAUUCUCUAUACCCCUUUUAAACCAACAAUCCUUUUUGAAGUGCCCUUUUCUGCCACAGUUGUAGCAUUUCACAAUCUUCUUACUUCUUGAUUUGGACCUCCCUUGCCUUUGACUCCCACUGGAGCCACGCUCCGUUGAUCUCCCUCUUGACAUCAACAAUGCCUCUGCUUGGUUUGAACUAUUUCUGUCUCCUUUAUUUUUGCGCCUAUUUUCUUCUUCCAAGAUAGCGGCUGCAACAUCAUCAAAGACUAAAUAGUCUGUGAGGAUAUUAUUGGUCAAGUUGAUAAUGAGCUGAUCAUACGAAUCUGGGAGACUUCGAAGUAGAAGUUCUGCACGUUCACUUUCCUCUAUUUGUUGACCCAACGUAGUGAGUUGUGAAAAUAGAGUUCUUAUUGUGUUGAUGUGGUCAGUCACUGCCGUGGUUUCUGCCAUUCGAAGGGUAUAAAGUCUCCGCUUUAAGAAAAUCUUAUUGUGCAAAGACUUGGACUCAUAUAGCUUUGUUAGAGUCUCUCAUAUCUCCUUAGCUGUUUUCUUCUCCGCUACACUUGAUAAUACUUCAUCGGCUAAUGCUAAAUGUAUGUUAGCAAUAGCAUUGCCAUCCAUCUCAUUCCAUUUUGCAUUAUCAGUGAUCUCCGCGGGCCGAUCCCCAAUUGCUGCCAAGCAAUUGUCUUUCCUUAAGAUUGCUUUGAUUCUCAUUUUCCAGAGUGAGAAAUUGCUCCCAUUGAACCUCUCAAUCUCAUACUUUGCUGCCAUUUUAUUCACCGUGAUCUAUUCAGCUAUCACUGUUUCACAGAUCUGUAACGUAUAUAGAAAUAGUAUCGUGUGAAUAAUACUUCACUAAGUAAGUUCCCAGGAAAGAUUGGAGGGGUCACAAAUGGUCCCGCUUAAAACCCAAUCUCCUUAGACAGAACUUCCUAGACUGUAUUUAAUCACCGCACUGACUUUCUAUAUACGCCAACAGUAACGUAUGUGAAUAGUGCCGUAGACGUGAAUAGUAACCGUAUACACGAAUAACUUUUGUGUAUUAACAACACCAACCAAAAGGCUCUGAUACCACUAUUAGGAAACUGGCAUGCAAACCCGACAAGAUAAAAGGCAAGGGACAAGAUAAAAUGAGAAAUGAGACACACAAGAAUUUACGUGGUUCAACCAAUUUGGCUACGUCCACGGGCAAGUAUAGAAGGAUUUUACUAAGUAAUGUGGGAAUUACAACCUCUCUCUACUAAUAGGAGAAAACACCUCACUUACUCUCUCACAAAUACCUCACAAUUUUGUGGGAUUACUUUCCCUCUCUCACUCUUCUCUUCCUCUCUUAUGAUGUGCAAAAUAAGCUUGGAUGCACUGCCUAUUUAUAGGCAAGCAUCCAAGCAAAGGACAAAGGGGCACCAAUUGGUGCUGCAAGUGGCACCGAAUUGGUGCCCAACAUUGUUGAAUUUGCAGCACCAAUUUGGUGCCUAACAUUGUUGACUUUGCCAACAAUGCAGCUGGCUUCACAUAACAUAGUUUGUAUUCUGAGCCAAUCUGGGGUGGGACUUGAAACAAAUGUUGUAUAUUGUUUGCACUGUCACUUUGCUUACCCUCUUAGGUUUUUAUUGAGAUUAGGGAUUCUAUUGUAGCUCUUUUUUCUCCUUUUAUUAUAAUAAAAUAAUAUCUAUGGAUUAAUUUUGGUAUAAUUUAAGAAAGUAAGUCCUUUAAUCAAAUUUUAGAUUGACCAUCCUCUAUGUGUUAAAAGUAAAUGUUAAUUUAUAAAAUAAUAACUAUGUUUAAGUCUUGAUUAACUCAGAAGAUGUCUUCUAAGACGCAUCUCUGUCUUCUCUUCUCUUCUCUUCUUCUCUAUAAAAUUCCUUUUUAGCUCUCUGAUGUACUUAAUGUCCCGGAGGUGUGGCUUCUUCAUAUGAAGAAAAUGUUAAGAUUCAAUUAUGAUUUUAGAUUUUAGAUUCCAUUGUCUACAAAUUUGAACCAUGAUGAUGAAGCAUACGGACCAGUCAGUAGACAACAUGUUUAUUAUAUAUGAUAGAGGUCCUCAAUGUAUUUCACGUUUCUAUGAGAAAUUUCACGAGACUAUGAGUACUCGAAUUGAUCUUAGUACAACAUUUCAUUCUCAAAAUAAUGGUUAAUAAAAAAGAACCAUUCAAAUACUUGAAGAUAUGUUGAUAGCAUGCAUACUUAAGUGGAGUUUGCUGGAACAAAUAUGUACCAUUGGUGGAGUUCGUUAAGAGGGGGGAACUAAUUCCUCGAUAUAUUAGGCCUUUGGAAAUUUUGAAGAGAAUUGGUGCACUUGCUUAUGGAUUAGCUCUUCCACCCAGCUUUUUCAUCUAAACAUCCAGUAUUCCAUGUAUCCAUGCUUUAGAAGUAUAUUUGUGCUCCAUCACAUGUAUUGGAGCCAUAAACCGUAGCAUUUGAAGAAGAUAUGUCAUGUAAAAUUCGACUGGAGAGAAUUGAAGAUAGACAAAUUAGAAAACUUCGUUCUAAAGAUUGCUUUAGUGAAAGUAAUGUGAGAAGGUCAUACCUGAGAAGAUGAUACGUAAUAAAUAUCGUGAUUUCUUCAUUCAAUCAAGCUAGCAAGUUUUCUAAUUAAAUUUCGAGGGUGAAUUUAUUUUAACAGGGGAGGAAAUGUCAACCCCACCCAUAAUAUAUAACCCAUUAUUGUUUUAUUGGUCCAUUUAGGUAGCCCAUUUGUUAUAUACAGAAGGAGAGAGGUAAGGACAUUGUUAGUCAUUUUCUUCUUUCUCUCUUACGGGGAAUGUUCUUCCUUCUCCCUUUUACUGCAAAUAUUCCCCCACAAUCCUAAACCACCAAUUGACCAUAUAACUCCCUUGUUUUGAGUAGGUUUACUUCAACUUUAUCUAAGUGUUUAUAAUAUUGUUUUAGGUUUAUUUCUUUAUAUAAGCUUGUUGAAUUCUAGGCCUUAUAUGAUAUUAGUUGAUGUGAUUUGGAUUUAUUCUUAAGUUAAUUUGUGUGUGGGUAGUAACAAGUGUAUAUGAAUAUGAAUUGAAGUAAGUACCUUAACAAAUGUGAUGGGUUGGUGUGAAGCUUUGAUUAAUUGCUAUAUUUUGAUGUAAUGAGCAAAUACCUUAAGAAAUUUGAAUAUUUGAAAGAUAAUAGGUAAAUAUUGAAGAAUUGUAUAGAAAGAAUCGUAUUGAAAUUAUGGAAAAUAUGAUUUUGUCCCUAAAUUCUAAAAAACAAUUAUAGUUUGGUCACUGGUUGUAAAAACAAUUAUAUUUUCAAACUUUCAAUAUAGAGAGAGAAAUAAAAAUAAAAAGGAAAAGGAAAAGGAAACAACCCCCAGCUUUCUUGUGCCCUUUCCCUUCUUUACAUGGCUUCCUCGAUCGAUGUAAAAAAGCAAACGCCCCAUUUGAUUUUCAAGCAGUAUGAGUGAGAAAGAUAGAGAGGACAAGAGAGGACAAGGGGGUCCUCUCUCUCUUUCCUUGCUUUUUUUAACGCGUGGACCCAGCAGUUGUUGCCACCAAAUUCCUUCCUCAAUAUUUACCAGUGCUACACGCUUGAGAAAUUUCCUUGUUAUUUUUUUUAUUAAUGAAAUAUUACUUUUACCGUAUAGCCAUUGAAUUCUAGAUCAAUUUAUCGGGUAUUGGGCCGGUUUGGAUUUAAUAAUUAUGAUUCACAGACAUACAACUAGUACUUGCAACUAUUAAUAUUUAUUAUUUUCAUUAAGUUUUUCAAACUUUCAAUAUAGAGAGAAAAAUAAAAAUAAAAAGGAAAAGGAAACAACCCCCAUCUUUCUUGUGCCUCUUCCUUUUUUUUUAAGUUUAAUGUUGGUGUUUGGGUCAACUUGCACGCAUCUCGACUAAUUUCAUGGGCUCUGAAGUUAACAACUAUGUAAGUCUCCAAUGACCAUCAUAUAAACAACCACGGGGCUCGAAUUUAAAACUAUAAAAAAAACAAAUCUCUUAAUCACAUGAUCUUAUUAAUGUACCACCAUUUAGGUAGUUGCCCUUUCCCUUCUUUACAUGGCUUACCCGAUGAAAAAAGCAAACACCCCAUUUUGAUUUUCAUUCCGUACGAGUGAGAAAGAAAGACAGGACAAGGUUUGUUGAGGCUUUUUUUUUGGAACCUCGCUCUGGGAUUAAUUAGCGAGAAUAAGAAAAUUCUAUGCAAAUUAUACAAAAUUUAUUAUUAAUCAUCAAUAUUUAUUCUUAUCAUCAAUAUUGAAUAAUGGUUUAUUUUCUAGUAUAAACUAUGAUGGGUUCGUUUAUAAAAAUAAAUAAAUUGAGGUUUUUCAAUUUCCUUUAAACAUAUCAUAGUUUUAAUACCAUUUAUUUUUACAUUUUAAAAAUAAUUUUUAAAAAAAUUAAAAAUAAAUUUUAUUUUUUAUUUCAAAAUAAUAUUUUUUUAAAUAUUUUUAAAUUAUCUUGAUAUAUUGAUAUUAAAAUUAAUUUUUAAAAGAUAAAUUUUUUCAAACAUAAAGUUUAGCCUGCAGAUCUUCCGCUGAUCCCAUCUCAUUGUUGUAUGCAUCCAAGCUAAGCCAAUUCAAGAAAGAAGAUUUGAAGAAUACCACCAGCAGCAGGAGUAAUACAUUAACAUAACAGCAUUAUGGCAGAAGGAGGGACGACCUCACUGCAAGGGCGAAGGCAUGUUAAAGACUUGGGCGUGCUAUAAUUUAGAUUAAAACUUUAUUAAUAUUUUUUGAUUAGUUUUAUUUAAAAAAAUUGUAAUUCUUGAUUGAAUUAUUAAAAAAAUUUAAAAUUUAUGUGGAGCUUUCUAGAAUAACGUUUUAACUUGGAUUAAAAUUUCAGAAUAUUUUGAGAAAUUCAAAAAUUUGAUGAAAAAUCAUAAUUUAACUAAUUUUAUGUUAAUUGAUGUAAUUUUCAAUCCAACUAUCAAAUUGAGCUGAAAUUUUACGAGAAAUCUUAAAAUAUAUUAAAUAAAAUAUAAUUAAAAUUUUAUGAUGAGUGGAGCUUGAUAAUACUAACAAAAAAAAUCAUCAAAUAAAAACAAAUCAAGAAUAAAAUGAUUAUUUCCAUUAAAAAGUAAAAUAAAUCAACUAUUUAUAUAAUAGCUAAAUCUAUUAAGAUAAAUCGAAAAUAACUAGUAAAAUCAAUGACUUGUAUUGACGAGUGUGUCUAUAUAUACAUAUAGGAACUGCUGAUUCGAUUUGAAUAUGUUAUUUGAUUAGUCUAAUUCAUGAUUUGCAUUGACUCAAAAUUACCACUAGAAAUUCCUAGUUUCGUGGUGCUUUCUCAGCCUGCAAAUGAAUAUAAAGCAUAUCCUUUUAUCCUAUAUAAAGAAUACAAUUAACCUUUUUAUCUUUUAUAAUUAUAAUUAUUGCAUUGCUAAUAAUUUGCACGAAAGAAUAUUGUUUCUCUGAAAAGGGCUUGAGAAAACCCUAAGCAUAGUAUAUAAUCUCUUAUAGGAAUCUCUUUAUUAAAUUAUCAAAAUAUCAAAGUCUGUUUCCAAAGACUAUGACUACAGUUUAUAUAUAGAAACAACCAAAUAUAAAAAUUAUUAAUUUUUAAAUAGAAAAACCAGAGAGCUUGAUAAUAUUUAAUAAAAAAAAUAAAAUAGAAAAAUUAUUCCUUUUUAAGUAGAAAAAAAUUAUAAAGAUUUAAUAAUACUAAAUAAGAAAAAUUAAAAUUUCUACACUAAAUUAAAAAAACAAAAAAAAAACUGAGAAAAUAUUUAUUAUCCCAAUAGUUCUUAUAUUAAAAUCUCAUUUAUCAUAUGUUAUAUCUAUCAAAAUAAUAAUAAUAAUAACUUGUGACUUGAACUAAAGCUACAUGCGAAAACUAGAAAAACCCGGUAGAGACCCGUUCUGUUUUUUCAAAUAUGUUUUUUCUUCUAGCUAGAGACCUUUUUUUUUAAUAUAUUUUUCUAUUGGUUACUAAACCAUUUCAAAGUUCACUAUAUAAAUACUAGAAGAAUAUUUUAUUUUUUCAAUAUGGAAUAAAAAAAAUCAUUUUUGUUUACAUACCUCAAUUUAAAAGAAUUAGAUAAUAUUUUUUUAAUAUGAGAUAAAAAAACCUUUUGAAAUAAUCUUUUAAACUUUAUUAUAUGCAACAUGUAUAAUCUAUAUUCAUAUAAAUUAUUUCUUUAAUUUUUUUCAUUCUCAUAUUCAAACUUCCAAUAUUGAGAGAGAAAUUAAAAGGAGCAAAAGGAAACAACCAGUGAGGACAAUAUCCUCCAGCUCAUCAUCAGAUCCCACGAAAGGAACGCAGAAAGACAUUCCCUUUCUUGUCAUCAAGUUUUGAAUCAAAAAGUACUUUCGUGCAUUAUUGUCAUAAAGUUUUUCAAACUUCCAAUAUAGAGAGAGAAAUUAAAAGUAAAAAUAAAAAGAGCAAAAGGAAACAACCCCCACCCCAUCUUUCUUGUUCCCUUUUCCUUCAAUGAAAAAGCAAGCACUAAUGCACCUUCUCCACAAACUACCCCCCAAUUUCGCCACUAUAUAAAUAUAUUAUGGAAAACAAGAUAAAAAGAAAUCUUUCGGUACAUCUAUAUAUAUAUAUAUAUAUAUAUAUUAUGGCUAUGAAAAUAGGUUUGUGGAAAUUUACAUGGUUUGAUUUUGACAGUGUCAGAUUAGACAAUUGCAUGGAAAUGGUCUUCUUAGUUUGCCGUGUGGAAAAUCAUGUCAUUUACGGGACUGCUGGAGAGAGUUUCUAUUGAUAAUUUCACUCGAAAAGUUUUAGUAAUUUACAAAGGAAAUUUCUCCUUUAUAUGAAUUGAAAAACUAUUAUUGACUGACUUCUUGCAAAGUAUUUGCAAGAAAGCUAAAGAAUUAAAGUUUUUCAAUUUUGAAAAUUAUAAUUUAAAAUUUUUAGAAAAAAAUCAAUUAUUUUUAAAAUUGUUUUCAAAAAUACACUACCAGAAAUUCAUCUAAUACCAACGGACUUACCGACAGAAUUAUUCUGUCGGUAAAUUGCGGUGAUAAUUACUGACGGAUACUAAUCCGUCUGUAAUUCAGUUGGUAUAUACCGACGGAAUUAUUCCGUCGGUAUAUACCGACUGAAUUACAGAAGAAAGAUAUAGAAUUAAAAAAAAGCGGGGAUGUUGACGUGACAGUUUUUGCGGGCGAUUUUACCGACGGAAUCAACGAGGGAUUCAAACCCUGAUUUUGUUUAUGAGCAAUUUUGACUAUCUUAGAGGUAGAACUAGGUUCUCUUUAAUCAUAGAACUUGUAGCCUCAUGUCUUAGCUUUCUAACAAGACUAAUCUUGCUUAAAUCGGAGUUUUAUAACUCCAGAUAUAGUUAAAAAUAUGAGGAGAGGUCAGACAGUAACAGUUCAAUGUUUAGACAGUAACAGUUCAAAAAUGAGACAGUAAUAGUUGGACAGUAACAGUUCAAGAACGAGACAGUAACAGUUAAAAAAUGAGACAGUAACAGUUCAAAAAUGAGACAAUAAUAGUUGGACAGUAACAGUUCAAAAAAGGAGACAGUAACAGUUAAAAAACGAGACAGUAACAGUUCAAUGUCUAGACAGUGACAGUUCGGGAUUUAAACAGAAACGGUUCAAAUAUAUAUAUAUAUAUAUAUAUAUGUGUGUGUGUGUGUGUGUGUGUGUGUGUGUGUGUGUGUGUGUGUGAAAUGAGAAAAAUGUAAAAUAUUAAGAAAUGACUGAAAGAAAGACUUAUUGGUUGUUGAUAUGGUUAUAAUAAAACAUAUCCUUGAGUGAGGAAGUAGAGCUUCUAUUGCAGGUAGGUAAUCCGUACCUAUACUUUCUAGUUUAAUUCUAUGAUUUAAUAAGUUAUUGAUGUGAGAUGUGAAUUACCGAAUAUGGGAUAUUAGGAUAAAGGAGGAAAGUUUGCGUAAUGAUGCCGAUAUUUGGAAAGUAUUCUUAAUGUAUGUGUAUUCAAGGUGAACGGUUGUUCUGUGAAUUGCCAAGUGAUGAAAUUAUAAUUGAUAAAGAAAAUAUGAGAAGUGUGAUUUGGGGCGUGAACUAGCAUACAUUUAGUGUAUGUUAGGAUCCCGGGUAAGGGGAUCAAGAUGUAUUGGCUAGCAUACAUUUAGUGUAUGUUAGGAUCCCGGGUAAGGGGAUCACCAUGUAUUGGCUAGCAUACAUUUAGUGUAUGUUAGGAUCCCGGGUAAGGGGAUCACCUUGCAUCGACUCCUACAUGAUGAUGAUGAUGAUAACAGUGAAAUUGGUAUCGGUAAUGUGUUAAGCGGAAAUAAUCAUGGGUGGUUUUAUGAGAUCUUGAAUGGAGGUUGAUAAUAGAAGAGGAAAUGGUUUUUAGUAGUUGAAGGAGAAAAAGUCUCCAAUAAGAACCAAAAGGGAGAAGUGAAUAAAAUAUGAAUGUAUGUUGCCUUUUUAAAUUGCUGGAUAUUUGUAUUGCUAUAUUAUUGUGAUAUUCAUAUUUCAAUAAUAUGUAUUUUAUUUUCAGGACCAUCGCAUGCAUGACAGGAGUAGAUUUUGGCUUAGGUUCUUUUUUUGUAAUUUAGGUUCUAAGGAGUAUACCCUUGUAUUUGGUAAUAUUACAACUUUUAUUUAACUUAAUUUGUAUAAUUGAUGUUUAAACUUGAAUAGAUGAACUUAAUUCGGUAGUUUGUAUAACUAUGUUCCAUUAAGCAUGUUUAUAUCUUUAACCAUCCAUAAUGAUAAUUGUUGUACAAUGUAUAUCAUCAACAUUGUGGUUGAUAUGAAUGGUGAUGUUUGUGGGAUUGAGACCUAAGAUGAUUAGGCUGAAUUGAGUUGGAGAUGCGGUAUAUUAGAAGUGUAAACAGGACGUAUGUCGAUAACUUGGGACCUCCCGGUAUAGGGGAUACUCUGUUAAAAUUUCACUAGACUUUAAUGCAAAUACCAUGAAUAGAUAUAUAUAUAUAAAAUUUAGUCACUCUGUUUAUCAGCUAACAUGAGAUCGUUGCUUUAUCCCUGAUAUGGGAAUGUUACAGGUUCGAUAGAAGUCAUGGAUGAUUGUUCAUGGAUGUAUCGAGAUCCAUGUGUUAAUUUUGACAACAUGUAUUAAUUAAGAUGACAACAUGUAUUAAUUAACUAACAUAGUUAACUAAUACAUGUUUUCAUCAUAAUUUUAUAGAGGUUCGAUAAAAGUCAUGGAUGAUUGUUCAUGGAUGUAUCGAGAUGCACCCCAUGGAUUGCAGAGGAUUCUUUGAAGAAAAUUCAAAUUUUCAUGUUUUCGAUAAUAGUCUUGUUGAUGUUGACGCAGAGGAGUUGAAUGUUGUUUUGAGCUCUAACGGACAAGCAAAUAUCGAUGAAGAUGAUGAUUAUGAUGACAUCCAUAUUGAAGAUUGCGAUGGAGCUGAUGACUAUUCAAUUGAUGACGAAGAAGAAGAAAAUUCUGACUAACUAGCAGAAUCAAGGAAAGUGCAAAGCAUUUUUCUAAAAUGUAAUAUGUAUUAUCGAUGAUAUUUUGUAACAUGAAAUAUUUAUUUGAUAAGUGUUUAAGUGUUUUUGUGUGAUGGGCAGUUUGUAAUUUAAGUGUUUGUAGGAAGGUAAAUAGGCAAUACAAACAAAAGUUUUCAUGCACAGUGCACGAUCACCAACGUCCAUACCGAUGGAUUACAUUUCGUCGGUAUUGCACAGAGAGCUGUAAAAUAUUUAUUGGAAAUGCCACAAUCACCGACGACUUUGCAGAUGGAUUACCGUCCGUCGGCAUUCAACAGAGAGGUUCACUGGAAAUGCCACAAUCACUCACCGACGACUUUGUAGACAGAUUAAAGUCUGUCAGCAUUCCACAGAGAGGUUCACUGGAAAUGCCACAAUCACCGACGACUUUGCUGAUGGAGUAGAGUCUGUCGGCAUUCCACAGAGAGUGGUGGAAAUGCCACAAUCACCGAUGACUUUGCAAACGGAUUACAGUCCGUCGGCAUUGUGUCGGCAGCUCACAAUUAUCGAUAAAUUCACCAACGAACGGUGUGAAUUCCAAAGGACGGGUAAUAAAUGCAUAUCUGAUAGCGUGCAGCUGCCGACGGAAUUACCAACGAACUGCGAAAAAUAUGGAGGGUAAUUAAAAAAUUCUGGAGCAAAAUUCAAAAUUUACCGACGGAGUUAAAUGUUCGUCAGUGAAUCCGUCGGUAAAAUUACGAUAUAAAUGCCAGCGACCGCCCUUUGAGUUCAUUUUUUCAUCUCCUUUGUUUUUAGAGCUUAACUUUUUGUUUUUUUUCCCUCUCAUUUCCUUCAAAUCUCUUGUUUUUUCUUGUAAUCUCUAGUUAUAUCUUCAGCAAAUUAAAAGGUAUGUAUUUCCUCUACUUAAUUUGCUUUAAGAUUUUACUUUUUUAUUUGUUCUUUGUUUAGCAAUUGUUAUUUUUGUUAUGUUUUUUGUUUUGGUGUAUUUUCAUAAUGUAGAUAAAGUCUUACAAUAAACACAUUAUUAAGGUAAGCAUUUUUCAUUCUUAAAGUCUAUAGUUUUUUUUUUAACUUGUUCAAUAUAUUUUGUUGUUUGUUUUGCCAUAAUAAUUAGGGGUGAGCAAAUUCGGUUCGGUUCGGUUUUUAUCUAAAAAACUAACCAAAAUCAAAUUUUGAAAAACUUAAAAAUUCAAACCGGACCCAAACCGGAACCGGUUCAAACCGACCGGUUUCGGUUCGGUUCGGUUCGGUUUUUUUAUCAGGAAAACCGGAAAACCUGUAUUAUUGUUUUUUUGGGCUUUUUCGGGCUUUUUAAUGGGCUUUCUGAUGGGUUUUCUGAUGGGCUUGUAAUUAAUGUAAAUAUCAUCUAAUUUUGUUACAAAAUUCUAUAAUAUAUUUAAUAUUUUUUAUCACUAAAUAUUCAUUUAUAUUAAAUUAUUAGUGCUAAUAUUAUGUUUAAUAUGUUGCACAUCUUUCUAAUAUUUAUAUUUAGGAGUUUGGACUCCUCAUGCAUCAAAAUUUAAAUAACACACACACCAAAUUAAAAUUAAAAUUACAAAGCAUUGCCUUCAAAAUGGGCUUAAAAAAACAACAAAUAACAUUGCCAUAAAAAAUAAAAUACUUCAUGCAAAAAAUAUAAAUCUUCAUUGUGCACAUCAUCUCAAUCAAAAAGCACAACAAGAUGACAAGAACAUUGCACUUUGAUUCCGUAAUACCAUUGACAUCAAAACCUGAAAAUCAAGAUCUAAAAUUAUAACAUGAUAAAAUAAAUUAGAAUAUGUAAAAAUAAAUAGUAGUAUUUUACCAUCAAAGUAACUUUUGAACUAAUUAUCAUUUGUUACUAAAUGUAACUUUCCACCAAAUUCUACAAAAUAAAAAAUUAGACAUGUUAGAUGAUUGCAAACAAUUUAAUUAAUAAAUAACAAAAUAAAAGGUGCAAAUUUCUAAAAACAAUUACCUGACUCAAGGUUUUCGUAGGUUUCAAGAUCAUUUAUCAAGCUUCUAAUAUCAGUUGGAAUUGAUCCAUGAUGAAACCAAUUUUGACAACAAAUGAGUGCUUGAACAGUUGCUGGAGAUAGAGAACUUCGAAAUUGAUCAAGUACACGACCACCUGUGCUAAAUGCUGAUUCAGAAGCCACUGUAGAUAUAGGAAUAGCCAGAACAUGUUGUGCAACCUUUGAAAGUGUCUUAUAUUUCAAAGCAUUACUUUUUCACCAACCCAAAAUAUCUAACUUAUCAUCAUUACGAUCCUCACAACCUUCAAUCAAAUACCUCUCAACCUCAUUUUUAUUUUCCACACUAUCCACCUUCAGCAAAUGUCUUUUGAAUCGAGCCAAAGUGUUAACAUCUACCUCCACAUCAUCAAUAGCAUUAACAUCCUGUUUAUGCCUAUUAUUAUCCACCACUUCAUCAAUUUUCAAAUAAAACUCAUACAAGCUCACCAAAGUAUCUUUCACCUUAUUUGUUAGCAAUUGUGCUUUGUCAUAAUCAUACAAAUCACCAAAACAAAAUUCCACAUAUUUCAACUUCAAACAUGGAUCUAAGACAUUAGCCACAUAUAACAAAAAAUUCUGAUUUACUUCACAACCCCAAUACUUCUCAAACUUUAACAUCAUCUUCAUCGCCAUUCCACUUUAACAAGUUUGUAUGCAUGUAAAUCAAUUCAUUGAAGAAAGAAUUUGAUGUGACAUGCAAUGAGCCAGAAAAUAUCAAUGUAACCAUAUAAAAGAUCUUUAAGAACUUAACCAAAGUUCUUGCAUUUUCCCAAUCCUCCAAACUAGGUGGCCCUAUGUUUUUUUUAUUCCCCUUUGAAUCAACCUCCAAAAAGUAACUCAUAUACCUAAGUUCUCUUUCACCUAACCUCACAAAUACCUUUUCAAACUUUUCAGCAGCUUCUAGCAUAAGAUAAGUUGAAUUCCAUCGAGUUGCAACAUCUAAACACAAUGAUUUCUUACACUCUAUAUGCAACUUUUCAGCACACUUCUUAAAUGCAAGAUGCCUCAACGGUGAAGAUCUCACAAACCUAAUGGCAUUUCGAAUCUUAACAACUGAAUCAUUAAUCUCUUUCAAGCCAUCACACACAAUGAGGUUUACAAUGUGUGCACAACAUCUAACAUGCAGGUGCUCAUUUGACAAUAUAUUAGUUGGCCAAUCUUUCAUCACAUUCUUUAAAUAUGAAAUGGUCACAUUAUUAGAGCUUGCAUUGUCUAAUGUAAUAGUCAACAGUUUAUCAAUCCCCCACUCCAACAAACAAUUCUCAAUAACUUGGCCAAUUGUCUCACCCAUAUGAUUGGAAACUUGACAAAAAUUAAGAAUUCUUUUAUGCAAAUUCCAGUCAUUAUCAAUCCAAUGAGCUGUUAAACAAAUAUAGUUAAUAUUUUGGAUUGAUGUCCAUGUAUCUGUUGUCAAGCACAAUCGUUGACCCCUAAGAGCUGUCCUCAAUCUAUCCUUCUCUUCAACAUAAAGUUUCAAACAAUCUCUCAUAAUUGUAAAACGAGAAGGAAUGUCAAAUCUAGGUUGUAUAGUCCUAGCAAACAAUUUAAAUCCCCGACCCUCCACAAAAUUAAAAAGCAACUCAUCAAUUAUAACCAUCUUUGCUAGUGCUUGUCUACAUUCAUCAUAAUUAUAACCUAUUGCCUUAAGACUUCCCACAUUUUGUUCUCCCAAUUCACCCUUCUCUAUCUUAGGUUCUAAUACCAAAACCUUUUGUUUCUUAUCAAUCACAAAAGGGAACUUCUUGUACACUUUUAAAUGACUCCACAUAUUACUUGUGCCAUUAACAAUAGUAUGACAUGCAUAAUGUUUUCCACAAUAAUUACAUUCAGCUCUAGGGGUUUUAGGAUCAACAUCAAGUUUUGUAAAGUGAUCCCAAGUUUGUGACUUCUUUUUAUCAUCAGCAUUUCUUUUCCUAGAUGAAAGGACUUGAGGUUGUUUACCUUGUGUAUCUGUGGUGGAUCCUGCAUUGGUUGAUUCUACAUUAGGUUUUGAAGUUGGAGAAGUAGUUGAUGUUGGUGUAGUGCCUGUGGAUGAAGCAUUUUGAAUUUGAGUAGUUUCCAUCUGUUAUUAUAUAUGAAAACAUGUUAAAAACCAAUAAUUUAUAAUAGAUUAACAACAGUAUGACAUGCAUAAGUUCAACUGUAAUUUUAAAGAUUAUUUUCACAAGUUAAGUUCUUUUAUUUUGGUUGAUAUGUUGUAAAAACAAUUAUGUUGCUGAGUGCUGAGAUUGUAUUUUGUAAUUUCAAUAGACAAUAAUACAAUACAAUAUAUAUAUAUAUAAACAUUAUUCUCUUUUCAAUAAAUAAAAAAAAUUCAGUUUUCAGAAUUGAUAAAUUACAAUCCACCGAAUCCCCCCUCUUUUUUUUAACACAGAUAAUAAACAUUAUUCUCUGUUUUUUUAGCACACAGCAUUGACAGCACACCAUAAUAAUGGAUUAGCAAUAAUAUUUAAAACAAAUGCCUCUCGGGGAAACUGUAUUUUCCCAUUUUUCUCCCUAAUGUAAUAUCAGGCUCAUAAUACCAAUUCACCGCAUUGGUAUUGCAAGUUUUUAUCAUUUGUUUAGUAUCAUUUUCUUCUUCAGUCAUUUGGCUAUUGACAUAAUGAGAUAAUUUUUCUAAUCUUUUACCAGUACUCCACCUUAGAGUAUGAGUGGAAUUCAAUCUCUAAUGUCUAGCUAAAAGCCUAAAACGGCACAAAGAGGUUUCUUUAGUAAUGAUCAAGUUUUACCACUACCAGUGCCAAUUAUUCCCAUUUCUUUCAGUGAUGUGCUGUUAGCUUUAGCAUUUGGAACAAUCAUAACAUAUUGUCUUUCUCAUGACCAGUGCCAUUUCUACCAGUGCCAAUUAUCUGUGUUUUGUAUAUUAAAUUAACAUGCAAGAGUUUGUAUAUUAAAUUAACCCUCAUUCCGAUAUUAAUCUAGAUUCCAUUAUUUUUUCAUUGCUACUCAUGACCUUAAUAAAACACGAAUUCAUUAACAUAUUGUCUUUCUCAGCAAAGAAAAAACGCAUUGUCUCUGUCAUAAAUCUCUUCUUAAGAAGUUUAUUAAAAAAUAAACAGAAUCACAGAGCAAUAGAGCAUAUGUUCAAAAAAAAAACAGAGACAAAAAAAAAAUCAUACCUGGUGUGACACGAUUCAAGGUCGGGUGUGAGAGAGGGAGGUGACUGCCUCACUGGUUCGCUAAAUCUGGAGUUGGACUCUGGAGGUUCGGUGAGCCGGUGUGGUGUGUGUCCUACGAUUCAAGAUCAGGUGUGACCGUGUGAGAGAGGGACGUGGCUGACUGGGGUUUGAAGAUGAAGAUGGUGGCCGGUGGGAGAGGGAUGUGGCUGACUGGCGUUUGAAGAUGAAGAUGGUGGGAGAGGGAUGUGGCUGACCGGCGUUUGAAGAUGAAGAUGAAGAUGGUGGGAGAGGGAUGUGGCUGGUUGUGGUCCAGUAGAUGAAGAUGGAUUGAUUUCUUACAUAUGUGAAAUUGUGAGUUGUGAGUUGAGGGAGCGGCUUAGGAGAAAGGAGAAGGACGGCUGGAGCAGGAGUAUGGAUGCUAGGGUUAAGAAAAACAACGCGAUUUUUUUUGUAGCUAUUUAUAGUACCCCUUAAACCGAACCGGUUCGGUUCGAUUGGGGUUUUUCCGGUUUCAGGUUUCUAAAACCGAAACCGAACCGAACCAAACCAAAAAUUUUUACAAAAAAUUUAAUCGGUUUUUUUGGUUAUUUUUUUUUCGGUUUUCUCGGUUUAUUCGGUGUCUCGGUUUUUUUUCUCACCCCUAAUAAUAAUUGAACACUUUGUUGAAUUUUAAUUGUUAUUGUUGAAUUUACCUUGCAAUUAGUAAUUGAAUACACUGGAAUGAAUUUAAUUAUUUUAUCUCAAUUUUACUGUAUUUUUGCAUGAUAUGUGUUUAAUUAUUUUGUUGAAUUUUAAUUGUUAUUGUUGAAUUUACCUUGUAAUUAGUAAUUAAAUAUAUUGGAAUAAAUUUAAUUAUUUUAUUUCAAUUUUACUGUAUUUUUGCAUGAUAUGUGUUUAAUUAUUUUGUUGAAUUUUAAUUCUUAUUGUUGAAUUUACCUUGUAAUUAGUAAUUGAAUAUAUUGGAAUGAAUUUAAUUAUUUUAUCUCAAUUUUACUGUAUUUUUGCAUGAUAUGUGUUUAAUUAUUUAGUUGAAUUUUAAUUGUUAUUGUUGAAUUUACCAUGUAAUUACUAAUUGAAUAUAUAAGAAUAAAUUUAAUUAUUUUAUCUCAAUUUUACUCUAUUAUUACAUGAUAUGUGUUUAAUUAUUUCCAUUAAUUUUAAUUGUUAUUUGUAUAGAUGUUAGGUUAUAUGUAAGAUUUUUGAAUGGGGGUCAAUUGGUUGUGGCUAUUGUUAAUAUUUGAAGGUUUGAAAACUUUGGGUAGUCUCCAGUAUAGAAGAGACGCUGCUGAAUUUUUUUUAACAAUCGAAUUUAAUUAUAUAAUUAUUCUUAUAAAAUUGCGUAGAUGUGUAUAAUGAAAUCAACUGUUCGUCGCUCACAUAUGGUCGCAGCUAGUUCUUCUAGCAGCAAGAAUGACAUUUCCUUAGGUGUCAAUCAAGAAGAGGUACCUGCACCACCUACCGAUGCUGCCUCUUGCAGCACGGUUUCACAGCGCAGAGACGGCGUGCCUUCACAGUGGAAUCAAUUUACUUACAAGUACGAGGCACAAUGGAAGAACGAUGUUUCAAUGUAAGUUUGUUUUGAUUUUAGUUUUUUUUUUAAUUAUAACAUAAUUUAUGAACAACUAAUCAAUAUUUCAUUAAUUUAAUUUAUUUUCAGGUUCACAAACAUUGAGACCGUCCGAGUAAUAUCAUCGGCGUUUAAAUCGUCGAUGGAGAUUCCAUUAUUUCAAUGGAGUUAGGUAUCCAGACAUCCUGAAUGGAUACCUAAUAUCGAUGCAUGGUUUGAUAAAUUUGAGGUUGGUGUUAAUUUCUAAUUUCCAGCUUAUUUUUAAUAAAUUAUUAAUAUAAUUAUAAAUAAAUUAUUAUUUUUAUUUUAAAUAAAUUAUGUAUACGUGGCACAAAUUCGAGUAGGACAGCACACAUGAUAAUAUUGUGAGGAGGGUGUGGGAAAAUCAUGCGGCAACUAAGUAACAUCGAAAACAAUAUGAUAUUUUUUAAAAAAAAAAUAUGUUUUAAAAUCUAAUUUGUUACUAUGGAAGUAGGUUGUGUGAUUUUUGGUAUGAAGCACAAAAAAAGGUAAAAAAAAAAAAAACACGAGAGAUAGAGGUCUCCAAGGCUAGAACGACGUGGCGGUUUGGGGGGAUUUCAAACCGCUACACAUCCCGGAAAAUAUUUGGCCGGAAUAUAUUGAGCACGUGACGUCUGAGCGGUUCACACGACGCUCAAAGUCUGGUGCUGACAACCGGAACAGGCAAAUUCAUGGUUCACUGACAACGCACAUCGACGGCUCCGUAUCGUUUGCUACACAUGCAAAACGGAUAUAAGAUUAAUUUAAAUGAAAUAUAUCGUUAAAUAAUUUGUUGUUACUUAAUUAAUUUUUUUUCUUACAGGCUACGUCUCUUGGACGUGAGCCGAGCCCAAUGGAGCUGUUUGUAGAGACGCACAUGCGGAGUCAAGACCGCCAAAAGGGGGUGCAACAGUUCGUUGACAACCGCGCUCAACACUUUGUGGUAUGUUCGUUCAACCAUUUUAUUUCGUAAGUUAUUAUUUUUAUUGAAUUGAAUAUGAUGAUUUUUUUUUAUUUUCAGGAUACCUAUAAUAGUCGUUGAGGGAGAGAUAUAGGGACGAUCCUUCAAUCCAUCCGGAUUUCAAUCCGGAUUUGUGGAUGGCGGUAGGAUCGUCCGGUGGACUCGAUAAAAAUCAGGUGUAUGGGCUCUCCAACACCACGGCCGAGAACUUGCGAGCGGCCAGUAGUGCCUCAACCGUUGGGAGCUCCCAAUCUAAGGAGUCCGUGGCCUUGCAGCAACACACGAGUCAUCUCACCGAGAAAUACGAGCAACUCUCGACGAAUUAUGAACUUCGCCAAAUUAUCAUGAACAUGACAUCACAGAGUGACUUUAUGGUCUCGGGAAAAACCAGCCUCCUCCUCCUCCUCCUCCUCCAGCCCCGCCAUUCUGCUAAUUUAAUAUUUUUUUGGAAACACAUUCAAUUUGUAAUGAAUAUUAUUUAACUUUAUUUUUUUAUUUUUGAUGUUUAAUAAAAUUUUAUUUGCAUAAUAGUUUUUUUUACUAUUAAUUUACAUAUUUUUAUAUUAUUUAUUCUAAAUAAUUUUUUAAAAAACAAAUUUAAAAAACCCCACCAACAGAAUUCAUCCGUCGGCAUUUUACAGAAAGUUGAAAGAUAUUUACUAAAAAAGGCCACAAUCACUGAUGUCUUCACAGACGGAUAGUGUCCGUUGGCAUUUUACUUAGAAUCAAAAAAUAUUUACUGGAAAUACUAUAUUCACUGAUAUUUUCACAGACAGAUUUAUUUCGUUGGUAAAUACCGAGAGUUCAAACAAUGACUUGCAUUGACGAGUGUAAUAAUCUGGAACCACUCGCAAUAAAUAAAGCCACAAAAGGCAGACGAGAGUGUCUAUAUAUAUACAUAUAGGAACUGCUGAUUCGUGGUGCUUUCUCCUGCAAAUGAAUAGAAGACGAGUGUGUCUAUAUAUAUACAAAUAGGAACUGCUGAUUCGUGGUGCUUUCUCCUGCAAAUGAAUAGAAAGCAUAUCCUUUUAUCCUAUAUAAAGAAUACAAUUAACCUCAUUUCAAUAUCCUUGCUUUACUCUUCAGCUAACUUCUCUCUCCCAUUGCUGAAAUUUCAUAGCUAACUCUUUGUUAUAUAGAGGUAUAUAUGGCUAACUCUUCUUUGCUUCUUUCGUGUUUUAAUUUCAUGUCUUUACCAUUAACAAUAAUGUGAAAGCUUUGUUUGUUUCAUGUUUAACUUCAGUUGCUAUUGUCUUAUGCUCUCUCAUUAUUAAGCUUAAACUGUUGUAUCAUCUUCGAUGAUCUUGACAUGUAUCUCUUACUUGUAUUAGCAAGAGAGUAGAUACCUUCUGCAAUUGCUCCAUUGCUAAUUGACUGUGCCUUGAUUUCUGCAGCUGCCAUGACAGAGCCGGAGUCUUCUCGAUCUAUAUCACUAGGGGCCUAUGAUGUCUUCUUGAGUUUUAGAGGAGAAGACACUCGCAAGACAUUUACAGAUCAUCUCUAUACUGCCUUGGUCCAAGCAGGAAUCCACACUUUUCGAGAUGAUGAUGAACUUCCGAGGGGAGAAGAAAUCUCCGAUCAUCUCCUCAGGGCAGUUCAAGAAUCGAAGAUAUCCAUAGUUGUCUUCUCAAAAGGAUAUGCUUCUUCUAGAUGGUGUCUCAAUGAACUUGUAGAGAUUCUGAAGUGCAAAAAUAGGAAAACCGGUCAGAUUGUUCUUCCUAUAUUCUAUGACAUUGAUCCUUCAGAUGUGAGAAAACAGAAUGGCAGUUUUGCAGAAGCAUUUGUUAAACAUGAAGAGCGUUCUGAAGAGAAGUUGGUGAAGGAGUGGAGAAAAGCUCUUGAGGAGGCUGGAAAUCUAUCUGGACGGAAUCUCAAUGAUAUGGCAAAUGGGUAUGCCUUUUUCCCAAAUUUAUGGAGUCAAUAUACUUUACAUUUUUCAAUGUGAAACAAUAAAAUGCUUAAUUGACUCGCUAUCAAUGACUGCCUUUUGUCUAUGAGCAGGCAUGAAGCAAAAUUUAUCAAAGAGAUUAUCAAGGAUGUGUUGAAUAAAUUAGAUCCCAAGUACUUGUAUGUUCCUGAGCACCUAGUAGGUAUGGAUCGGCUUGCUCACAAUAUUUUUGACUUUCUAAGUACUGCAACCGAUGAUGUACGCAUUGUGGGCAUACAUGGGAUGCCAGGAAUCGGAAAGACAACUAUAGCAAAAGUUGUAUUUAAUCAACUCUGCUAUGGAUUCGAGGGAAGCUGUUUUCUUUCGAAUAUCAAUGAAACACCAAAAAAACUUACAGGUCUUGUUCGUUUACAAACGCAACUUCUUCGUGAUAUUUUAAAACAAGAUGUUGCAAACUUCGAAUGUGUUGAUAGAGGAAAGGUUCUGAUCAACGAACGAAUUCGUCGCAAAAGAGUUCUUUUUGUUGCUGAUGAUGUGGCUCGUCAGGACCAGCUAAAUGCUUUGAUGGGAGAGCGAAGUUGGUUCGGUCCGGGAAGUAGAGUAAUUAUUACAACAAGAGAUUCAAAUCUUCUUCGUAAAGCGGAUCAAACAUAUCAAAUUGAAGAAUUGACACGAGAUCAGUCCCUUCAGCUUUUCAGCUGGCAUGCCUUUAAGCACUCCAAGCCAGCAGAAGAUUAUAUUGAGCUUUCGAAGGAUGUAGUUGAUUACUGUGGAGGACUUCCUUUGGCUCUUGAGGUUAUGGGUGCUUGUCUGUACGGGAAAAACAGAGGUGGUUGGAAAUCUGUAAUUGACAAAUUGAGAAGAAUUCCAAACCACGAUAUUCAAGGAAAGCUUAGAAUAAGUUAUGACUCACUGGACGGUGAAGAACUACGAAAUGCAUUCCUUGAUAUCGCUUGCUUCUUUAUUGAUAGAAAGAAAAGGUACGUCGCAAAAGUGCUAGGAGCCCGUUGCGGUUACAAUCCAGAAGUUGAUUUGGAAACUCUCCGUGGAAGGUCUCUGAUUAAAGUUAAUGCCAUUGGAAAGAUAACCAUGCAUGAUCUAUUACGAGACAUGGGAAGGGAGGUUGUUCGUGAAACGUCUCCAAAAGAACCUGGAAAGAGGACCAGAAUUUGGAACCAAGAGGAUGCAUGGAAUGUACUUGAGCAGCAGAAGGUACGUAAGAGCGCAAUGCAUACAUGAAAGCAUAGUCAUGCGUAUUUUCUAGUCAAACUUAUUACAAAUAAUUGUAUGAAAGUUGGAUUGAUUUUUUUUUAGGGUACGGAUGUUGUAGAGGGUCUUGCACUGGAUGUAAGAGCAUCAGAAGCUAAAUCACUGAGCACAAGAUCAUUUGCAAAAAUGAAACGCUUAAAUUUACUCCAAAUCAAUGGAGCACAUCUCACCGGAUCCUUCAAACUGCUUUCUAAAGAGUUGAUGUGGAUUUGUUGGCUUCAAUGUCCUUUGAAAUAUUUUUCAUCUGAUUUUACCUUGGAUAAUCUGGCUGUUCUUGAUAUGCAAUACAGUAACCUCAAAGAACUAUGGAAGGGACAAAAGGUGUGAAACAUUCUACAAUCCCCAAAAUUUCUCCAGUAUGUAAUUUAUAUUUACAUGUUAUGACUUUCUAUGAUUAAUUUUCAUUAUUUUGCCCUCUAUUAAGACAGAUUCUCAACAGGUUAAAAAUCCUCAAUCUCAAUCAUUCUAAGAACCUUAUUAAAACACCAAACUUGCACAGUUCAAGUCUAGAGAAACUAAAGUUGAAAGGUUGCUCGAGUUUAGUUGAGGUGCAUCAAUCAAUUGAAAAUUUGACAAGCCUUGUUUUCUUGAAUCUGGAGGGAUGUUGGAAUCUGAAGAUUCUUCCUGAAAGCAUUGGCAAUGUAAAGUCUCUUGAAACUUUGAAUAUUUCUGGGUGUUCACAACUUGAGAAAUUGCCAGAAUGCAUGGGUGAUAUGGAAUCCUUAACCGAGCUGCUAGCAGAUGGGAUUGAAAAUGAGCAAUUUCUCACUUCAAUUGGACAAUUAAAGCAUGUCAGAAGGUUAUCGUUGUGUGGAUACAGUUCGGCUCCACCAAGUUCUUCUUUGAAUUCAGCAGGUGUUUUGAAUUGGAAACAGUGGCUGCCAACAUCUUUUGGAUGGAGAUUAGUGAAUCAUCUUGAGCUUUCUAAUGGUGGUUUGUCUGAUCGCACAACUAACUGUGUUGAUUUCAGUGGUUUGUCCGCUCUAGAAGUAUUGGAUCUAACAAGAAACAAAUUCUCUAGCCUGCCUUCUGGGAUCGGCUUCCUUCCCAAGCUAAGGCGGUUGUUUGUUCUGGCAUGCGAAUAUCUUGUAUCAAUCCUAGAUCUUCCCUCAAGUUUAGAUUGUUUGGUUGCAUCUCAUUGCAAAUCAUUGAAAAGAGUAAGAAUACCAAUCGAGCAAAAAAAAGAUCUAUAUAUAGAACUACAUGAAAGUCAUUCGUUAGAAGAGAUUCAGGGCAUCGAAGGUCGAAGUAAUAGUUUCUGGUAUAUUUGUUCUAAUCAGUUCAGUCAUUCACCAAAGAAAUUACAGAAAAGCGUUGUUGAGGUACUAUUUCUUUCAGUCUCUUUUGCACACGAAGAAACACACAAUUGGUACAUACAUUGAUUAAUGUCUAAAAUCUCAGCAUUUCUUGAAAUCAAUAUGUAUACAGGCAAUAAUCAUCAUUAUUAUUAUUUUAUUUUAAAAAAUAAAUAUGUUUAAUAAUAUUUUUUAUUUUUCUUAUUUAAUCUAAAAAAUUAAAUAUUAUCUUUAAUAAUAUGUUUUUAUUAAAUAUUUAAAGUCUGAUUGGUUUUAUUUUUUAAUUAUUUCUUGAUUUUAUGAUAAUAUACAGGUAAUGUGCAACGGUCGUCACCCGUAUCGUAUUUCCCCCAUUCGUGGUGAGAUGCCAAAUUGGAUGAGCUGCAGUGGAGAAGGAUGUUCAUUGUCAUUCCAUAUACCUUCAGUCUUCCAAGGCUUAGUUGUUUGGUUUAUCUGUCCACUUGAACCCGUGACAAUUGAAUUCGAUUCUCGCAUUAUUAUUAUUAUAAGAAAUAAAAGCAAUGGUAUUCAAUUGUUUGAAGAUAAACGAACACCAGGAACUGACAUGUUUUUUAUUGAGGGAUUCAUAAGAUACAUAAGUAUAAGUGAAAUGGGAAUGGAAGAUUACUGUGGAGAUGACGAAUUGGAACUCUGCAUUUAUUCAGAGCCAACAGAGCAUGCGGUGCGCCGUCUUCCAUUCUACCCCGUACACAUUAAAGAAUGUGGGGCCCAUGUGAUCGCAAAGAAGUUAAAUUCAUUUGAAGAGUCGGCAAUGGGAAGAGCUACAGUGAUGCCUUCACCAUCGCUGUAUCAUCUGCUUCCUCAUCCCCAUUGUGGUUCAAUUACAGCAUCUACACCUAAGCAAUGGAGUAAUUAUUUAUUUGCGAAGCUGCAAGAAUAUAACCUCAGUUUAACAUUUCAUGGUAAGAACAAAUAUUUCCUUUAGUUAUUUUUAUUCUAUUAUAUUUAAUUUAUGAGAUUAAAUAUUAUCUUUAAUUAUUUCAUUAUUAUUAUUUAAUCUAAAACAUUAAAUAUCAUCUUUAAUUAAAAAAUAUAUAUAUAUUUAAGGCUUUUUGGUAAGAAUACAUAUUUCCUUUAGUUAUUUCUAUUUAAUUUAAGAGAUUAAAUAUCAUCUUUAAUUGUUACAAUAUUUUUCUUAUUUAAUCUAAAAUUUUAAAUAUUUUCUUUAACAAUAUUUUUUAUUAAAUAUUUAGAGUCUACUUGGUUUUAUUUUUUUUCUUGAUUUUAUGAUAAUAUUUUUCUUAUUUAGUAUAAAAAAUAAAUAUUAUCUUUAAUAAUUAGAUCUAUCGAAUAUCACUUAAAAAAUAAAUUAUAACUUUAAUAAUUAUUUUUUGAAAAACAAAAAGCCAACAAUCACUAACAUAUUUUAUUAAAAUCACUUUAGUUUAUUUAGAAAAUAUUGAAAAUUGAUUAUUUUUUUUACAUUAAAAUAAAAAAAUUAAAAAAUGUUUUUAUAUUUUAUUUCAAAGUCGAUAUUUUAAAACAAAAAUGAAAAAGAUGUGAUAUUAACCUUUUUUAUUAUAAAGUAAGUUUUUUAAUUAAAAGUGAUGAGAAUUUGUUCGUAAUAACAAAAUGCAUGUUUAAUUUUCUUUUCAAACUUGGAAUAUAUUUCUAUUGAAUUUGAUGGUUUUUUUAUCUUAAAACACUUGCCAGCAAUCUUGUUUUUUCAAUGCUGCCAUUUAGCAAGUGGAGUACUGUAGCUUUUCCACAUACAUUGAAUAAUAACAGUUUGAAUAAAUAACAAGAAAAUAGAAAUUAGUUUUAUUAAUUUGAACGGUACAUCAUUCAUCGAAUAAAUUACAAAAAAGUAUUAUUGAGAUACUAUUUUUUUCAGUUUCUAUUGCACCAAAAUAAACACAUAUAUUUGUCACAUAUAUUAAUUAAUAUCAAAAAUCUCUGUAUUCCUUGAAAUCAAUAUGUAUACAAGUAAUAAUCAUUAUUAUUUUAUUUUAUUUUAAAAAAUAAAUAUCAUAUUAAAUAAUAUUUUUUAUUUUUCUUAUUUAAUUUAAAAAAUUAAAUAUUAUCUUUAAUAAUAUUUUUUAUUAAAUAUUUAAAGUCUGAUUGGUUUUAUUCUUUAUUUCUUGAUUUUAUGAUAAUAUAUUUAUACAGGCAAUGUGCAACGGUCGUCACCCGUAACGUAUUGCUUCAUUUCGUGGUGAGAUGCCAAAUUGGAUGAGCUACGGUGGAGAAGGAUGCUCCUUGUCAUUCCAUAUACCUCCAGUCUUCCAAGGCUUAGUUGUUUGGUUUGUCUAUCCACUUGAGAAGGAUUGUCAUAACCUAUUUUUAGGUUAUUUUUCAAUAUAUAUAUUUUUUUUUCUUCAAAAAAAUUACAAAAAAAAUCUAAAAAUAUUAUAAAAAAUAUAACAGUAAAAAGAGGAUGUCAGAACGCUCAGAAAAUAGUUAAAAUUUGGUUGAGGAGGUUUAAAAAUAUAAAAAUUAAAAUUUGGUAGUAUUUUAUUAACUGAUGAUAGCCCUGUUGACAAAGAAAAUUCAAUUUGAGAAAAAAAAAGUCUAAAAUCAGAUGUUGAGGGACUCAAUUAAAUUAUAUUGAAAGUUUAAUUGAAUUUAUGGAGGGUUUGAUUGUAAGAAAAAUUGAUUUUGGAGUUAAUUUGGGCUUUAAUUGGAAGAAAUUAAAGUUCUGGGGUCAGAUUAUAUUUUUUUUUAGAGUUGAUUUGGUCAAAUUGGGGGCUUAAUUGCAUAAAUAUUAAAGUUUGAUGGCCAAUCGGGGACUUAAUUGAAGAAAUCUGAGACCAAGGACCAAAAUGCAAAACGCGCGCAAAUUGAAGGAUUGAAUUGAAAUCUAGCGCUUUGGCUCCAAUUUUCAUUUAAAUGAAACAGUGCGUUUUAAGCAAAACGACGUCGUUUCAUGCACUUUCCAAAAAAAAAAAAGAGGACGAAACGGUGCCGUUUUGAGGCGGCACUGUUUCUUCUUCUUCUUCCCCUGGACAUGCAGCAGGGGAAGAGGCGUUUUUGUUUUCUUCUCUUUGUUUCUUCCUCUCCCUCCCCAUGUGCUCUGUUACAACCAAAACCGGUCGCCACUUGCCUCAUGAUGAGAUGCCAAAGCAGUCGUGCCCCGCAAGCGACGCCUCCAUUGGCCACCUCUGUCGGCGCCGUGACAGAGCAGGAGACGUGCGACGCAUGCAUGGGCAACGAUGGGACGGGGCAGGGUCGACCCCGCUCCCCUUGCCCCUAUAAAUAGUGACCCGAAAGGAGAAAAAAAGGAACACGGGAGAAAACAGGGAGGGAAACCGAGAGAGAGAAAUCGAUAGUGUUGAGAGAGAAAUGACUGAAACAGUAGAAACCAAAAAAACCGGGGAUAUCGAUAGGGAGACCGAGAGAGACAGACGGGGAGAAGGAAGAAAAAGGACAAAAGAGGUAAACCGAUGGGGAAGAAGACACUGACUGGUGUCUCUACACAGCGGAGAAGAAGCGCCGCUGCUGGCAUUGGGCUUCACAGUCACCGCCACCGCAACACCACCGAGAACGUUCACCAGCAUCACCGUCAGCUCAGCCAUCCGAGAUCACCACCUCAGGUAAAUUCUCUUCCCCUCACGCCGAUAAUUAUUCAUCUUCUUGCUUGUAGAACGUGCACUGUGCACGUUCUGCAUGCAAGAAGAAAUAAUUAGUCGGUUACCGUGCAUGCGCACAGUAACCGGCUAAUUAAUUAACUAGUUACUGUGCUCAUGCAUAGUAACUAGUCAUUGGUUUCUUCUUCUGCGAGUUGGAACAUCAGCCCAGCCCACGCGACUGGGCUGAGUCCAACCCCCUUUUUUUUAUGCGGGCUGGAACAUCAGCCCAGCCCACGCGGCUGGGCUGAGUCCAGCCCUGUUAACUGCGGCCUGGAACAUCAACCCAGCCCAUGCAGCUGGGCUGAGUCCAGCCUUGUUGCUGGGCCAAUACAGGCCCAACCCAGUUCAUUUCAUUUUUUCUUUUUUCCUUUUUGUUUUGUGUUUUAUAUAUAUAUAUUGUGAUUUUCCCACGGAUUUUUCUACGUCAUUUUAACUAAUAUUGGUCUAUAUUUUUUACUCGGUUUUCAAAAAAAAAAACUUUUGCUUUCAUGCAUACGGCCAAGUCUCUCAAAGCUAAAAAAUCAUAUUGUAUUUUUAUACAACAAAGAAAACUAAAAAAAUAUAUAUUAUUUUAGCAUGCAUUUUAGCUUUAAUAACCAGUUUAUUAAAGUCAUGAUAACUUGGCCAAUAUUUCAAAAAAUCAAAAAAAAUAUUUUGUUUUGUUUUAAUGUCUGGGAUUACGAAUUUAUACGUAAAACGUAUUCCCGAUAUUAAAAAGGUAGUUCUUUUAUAGACAUUAGGCCGGUUAGAUUUUUACCCCAUAAGAUAAGAACCUCCUUACUGAGGAGGGCUUUUCUUGAACCCUAGACAGACCAACAUGAUAAGACCUUAGAUUUUUUAUUAGACAAUAAAACAAUGCAGCUUACCUUAGGUAGGGUGUAUUUGAGGUGCUAAUACCUUCCCUUUGCGCAACCAGUCUCCGUACCCGAUCUCUAAGACCAGUUAGGGUUCCUAGUGAUCAGAAUACUAGGUGGCGACUCUCAUUCCAUUUUUUCACCGCUAAGAGACAAAGAAUUCCUUGUUUUACCAUAUUUUCCAGAAUAGAUAGACAUACCACAUUUGAUGAUGAGGGUGGUGGAUGAUCGCCGCACACGUGCGAUAGAAUGGUGACUCCACUGGGGACCCAUCAAAUCAAUCAACAGAAAAAAAAAUCACCAAGCCGAUGCCGCGCGGGUGACAUGCGACAAGGAUGAUCAUUAUUACUCACGGUCUGGCACUAUUAUUAUUAUUAUUAUUAUUAUUAUUAUUAUAAGAAAUAAAAGCAAUGGUAUUCAAUUGAUUAAAGAUAAACGAAUAGUAGGACCUUUCCUACCAAAAACUGCGGGAUGGAUAAGAUACAUAAGUAGAAGUGAAAUGGAAAAUGGAAGAUUACUGUGGAGAUGACGAAUUGGAACUAUACGUAUAUUCAGAGCCAAGAGGAGAUACAGUGCGCAUCAUUAAAAAAUGUGGGGUUCAUGUGAUCGCAGGGAAGUUAGAUUCAUUUGAAGAGUCGGAAGUGGAAAGAGAUAUAAUGAUGCCUUCACCACCGUUGUAUCAUCUGCUUCCUCAUCUCCAUUGUGGUUCAAUUACAGCGUCUACACCUAAGCAAUGGAGUGACUAUUUAUUUGCGAAGCUGAGUAAAUAUAACCUCAGUUGAACGCUUCAUGGUAAGAACAAAUAUUUCAUUUAGUUAUUUCUAUUUUAUUCUAUUUAAUUUAAGAGAUUAAAUAUUACCUUUAAUUAUUUCAUUAUUAUUAUUUAAUCUAAGAAAUUAAAUAUCAUCUUUAAUAAAAAAAAUUAUUAAAUAUUUAAGGCUUUUUGCUAAGAAUACAUGUUUCCUUCAGUUAUUUCUAUUUUAUUCUAUUUAAUUUAAGAUAUUAAAUAUAAUCUUUAAUUAUUUUAUUUUUCUUAUUUAAUUAAUCUAAAAAAUUAAAUAUGUUCUUUAAUAAUAUUUUUUAAAAAAUAUUUAGAGUCUGAUUGGUUUUAUUUUUUAUUUCUUGAUUUUAUAAUAAUAUUUUUCUUAUUUAAUUUAAAAAAUAAAUAUUAUCUUUAAUAAUUAGAUCUAUCAAAUAUCACGUAAUUAAUUAUAUCAUUAUUUUAUUGGUAGCAACUUAGGAGUCUUUUAAGCCAAAAGAAUAAUAGCUAGGAAGAGCUAAAAUUAGCAAGGAAUAUUUAGAGUCUGUUUGAUUUUAUUGUUUUUCUUUGAUUUCUUAAUAAAAAAAAUCAAAUUCUUGAAAACAAAAAUUGAAAACUUAUACGUUUUGAUUUUGAUUUUAUUUUUGAAAAUGAAAAGCCACCAAUCAAUAGCAUAAUCUAUUAAAAUCACUUUGUUUUAUUUAGAAAAUAUUGAAAACUGAUUUUUUUUACAUUAAAAUAAAAAAUUGAACAAUAUUUUUAUAUUUUAUUUCAAAUUUGAUAUUUUAAAACAAAAAUGAAAACGAUGUGAUAUUAACCUUUUUUUUAUUAUAAAGUAAGUUUCUUAAUUAAAAGUGAAGGUGAUUUGUUUGUAAUAACAAAAUGCAUAUACAAUCAUGCAAAAGUUGUAUUUAAUCAACUCUGCUAUUGAAUUUAAUGGUUUUUUAGGGAACAAAUGAUAUGGAUGAAUGUGAGAGCACAAGAUCAUUUUACAAAGAGAUUGAUUGGUACUUAAAAAUAUAUUUUUAUUAAGGUUUUAUAUCAUCAUAUUGCAUUUAAAGUAUAAUUAAAUUCUCUAAUUUAAGCAUAUUUUAUAAUAACAAGUCUGAUAACAUAAAAUAUAUUUAAUUUAUGGUAAAUGCUCAUUUUGAAUGCAGGCAUAUCUCACAAUUUAAAGGAUUGAUUGAUGUGUUUAACUAUUAAAAGUGAAAAGACAAAAAGAAGGCUAAGCUUAAAGAAGAAAUGUUGGUUCAAUUCAAACUGGAAUAUCAUUAUGUUAUUGAAUCAUAACUAUAGCUAUAGAACAUGGAUUUAGGUUUGGUUUAUAUGGAUGGAAAGCUAAGACAUAGGCCUAAAACUUUCAUGAAGAGUUCAAGAUUCAAAACGGCCCUUUUCAAGUUCAAAUUAUAGCAACAAAAGAGAAGUCGAAAUAUGACUUGUAACCUAGACACUGUUCAGUGUUCAGCCCAUAUCUCGAGUUCUAGAAGUUCAAAUAAUCUCAUUCUUGUUUUGUUGGAAAACUGAGACAAAUGCCCAGAAGUUUCAUGAAGACUAUCUGUUCAAAUUUUGAUGUUAGCAUGUUGUGUUCAGACAAGAAGAUAAUGGUUGUCACCAAGUCAAUAGGUGGCCACCCACUUAAUAAUUAGUCAUUAAAUCAAUAGUUCUGAAUUUUGGACUCUAAAAGAAGGCAUUUGCCAUACAUUUAGACAUCUUGGUGUUCAGAUCAAGAUCUUGCUCUCACUCUCUCUAUUUGUAUUUUGUAAUGUUCAAGUUUUAUUUUAUGUUAUAUUAAUCUCUUAUUUAUGCUUUUCAUUUCUUUUACUAUACUUAGUUAACUUAUAUCAUGUUUAUGUUAUUAUGUUGUUUAUUUAUGUUUUUCUUCUUCAUGAUGUUUAUCUAAGUUAAUUUUGUCAAGGUGAAAAGGGUACACUAAUGGUGUAAGAAUAAGUAUAAUACAAACUCCACAUAGACUUUAAUGUUUAAUACUAACAUGUUUUGUAUUUGUUAUCUUACUCACUCUUUAUACCUUACUUGUUAAAUGGUUAAUCUAAAUUUAUGUUGUACAACCCUUGGCAUAACAAAUACUUGACACUUUCAUAACCUACUGUAUGGUAUAAUCAACACUUGUGCUAUGAAAGGAACUUGAUUUAUUGUUAACAUAAAUUAUCAUCAUGAAUACCUGACCACAUUUACAAGUAUUGGCAUUACUCAAAUAAGAUAAUUAAUAUAAUCAUGUAUGUGGUUUCUAGUUGAGUAAUAAAAAGAGUUUAUACUAUACUUAUUUGAAAUACCUCUAACUUUAACAAUUGUUUUAUCCUUGUUUAAUCCUUACAUCAAUAUCACAUUUCAAAAGUUCUCUUCAACUCCUUUUUAAUUGUUGUUUAUAAUUUUAUAUAAUUCAUCUCCCUGUGUUUCAACCCCGGUCUUGCCGGGUUAUUUAUUACUUUGACACUCCUGCACUUGAUAUAAGACAUCAAUCUCUUGAUCGUGUUAGAGAUGCUUGAAGUUACUCUUUAUUGGUAUGGUAGUUGUUUCUAACGAGUUGAUAAGUAUUUGUUAGCUUGAAGAUUAUUUUCCAAACUUGGAAGUUAUAUUGAAUGCUUUUUGAAAUCUUUUCCAUCCGAUUUGAAAUUGGACAACCUAAUUGUUAUUAUCCAUUAUGUAAUUUAUAUUUUCAAGUUUCAACUUUUGAUGAAUAUUGUAUUGAAUGCUCUUUGAAAUCUUUUCCAUCCGAUUUGAAAUUGAAAAACCUAGUUGUUAUUAUCCAUGACGUAAUUUAUAUUUUCAAGUUACAACUUUUGAUGAAUAUUGUUUCCUUUUUUUCUCACUUCUUGGAAGUAUUCUCAAAAAGAUGAAAAUCCUCGAUCUUAGUUAUAAAUAAAUUGGUUUUCUAGGAAGAGAUUAUUAGGUGGGAUAUAUUAUUUGAGUUGGUUCUUCAUCAUUUAAUGUUAUGAUUUAAGAUAAUUGAUGAAAACUACCAAUACACAAGAAUGUUUAGAAAGCAUCUUUAAUUGGUCUAAUAAGUAAAGUCUUGUUAGUUUUGGCCAUAAGCUAUGUAUUAUUGCUUGUUUUUUACUAUUUUUUUACCUUUUUUGUUUUUUGUAUAUACAACUUUUGUUUUUCUUGCGAGUUUCUCAUUAGCUUUAUGGCACUAACAUCAAUUAAUAAUAAAUCUUGGACUAUUAUUAAAUAAAAAAAAACAUAAACAUUGUUAAAACACCAAACUUGCAUAGUUCAAACCUAGAGAAACCCUAUGCCAAUAAUCUAAUUUAAAAAAAUAAUUAAUUUAUCCUUGUAGUCUUAGAAAAUAGUAUUUAAUCCUUAUGUUUUUACAUUUAUCUUUGAUUUAACCUUUUACAUCUAUUUCAUCUUAUUAUUUUGGUUUACUAAGUAAAGUCUUAGAAACCUAUUUAUGGUCUUAAACAACUUAAAAAGGCUCAAAAACCUAAAAUGAACUCAAACCUGAAAAUCUUCAUGCUGAGAGGUCUGUUUCAUCAAGCAAGGAAAAAGAAAAAAAAAACAUAGGUGAAACUUCCCUCAUCAAAUAAAAUCCAAUGACACUAGGAUUGACUAUUUUGGUGGCUAGAAUAGAAGUCAACGAUAACAUUUUCUUUCCACGUCGGAAUCUAGCAAGUUUCUCUCUUCUCUCACAAAAAAAAACUAAAAAAUAAGGAAAAUAAAGUUUGGUAUUAAAAUCAAAUUUCCGACAACUAAAGAGACCAAUCACCUAUUAACUAAAAACAAUUGGGGACCGAACUAAGUUUUUCAUAUGAAAUAUGAAGUUGACAUCUAUUUUCUCCAUGUUUUUUACUUUGGUUAUCUAUCUUUCAAUCCAACCCUUUCUUCAUAAAAAUAGAAGUAACUUUGUAUUAAUUUGGACUAAAAAAGGUACAAUAGUGCAAAAACAAAUUGAGGAUCAAAUUGAGAAUUAAAAAAUAAUUGAUUAUUUUAAUCUAUAAUGAUAUGUGAGAGAGUGCACAUUAUAAAGUGAAGAGAAAAAACUCCACAUGACUUUGAAACACCUUUGAUGGUUGAUUGAAAUUGGUAAGUGAGUUUCCUCACAUGUUGUUUUUUCGGUUUUGAGUCCAAAUAUGGAGAUUUUAUGAUUUAAGGUAUUUUUCAUGAAUGCAACCCUUCAUGUAUUCAAUAACUUAUUUUCUAGUAUAAACUACGUUUGAAAUAAAAUUGAUAAAAGACAUGUGGUACACAAUUAAUGAUGGCAUGUAUAUAAAAAUAAUUAAAUUGAAAAUUUUCAAUUAUCUUUAAAGAUAUCAUGGUUUUAGUCGGUUAAAUUAUAAAAAAAAUAUUUAAUUUUUUGAUAUAAAUAAUAAUAACAAAUUAGAUAAUAGUAACAAGAAAAUAGGAAUUAGUUUGAAUAAAUGGUACCAGUUCCUAUUAUGAUAUAUCUAGAGAAGAAGUUUGAAGAAUAAAAUGAAGUGAAAUAUUCUUAAUAAAAAAAGAAAAACACAAAAAGAAAUAAAAAAAUAUUCUUAAUAAAUAUAAAAGAUGGGUGAAAUUAGAGAACAAGAAAGAGAUAUAGAAUCUCUUUGUAAGAUUUCUAAAAACUUAAUUACAAUUAUAUUAUAAUUUCUUCCCUAAAAUUAUUUAAAAUAUAGUAUUAGAAUUACAUAAUGCUAGGUUUUAAUAUAUAAUUAAAGAGUUUCUCCUUAACCAAAUAUAAAAAUAUUUUAUAAUUCUUUUGAAUGAAUUAUUAACGGAGGGACUGUUUUGGGUCCCUAUUUAGCUGAUUUUAUUUGAAUAUAUUAUUUGACUAGUCCAUUUAUAGGUUUACUCUACUAUUCUUGCCUUACUGGAACCGGAAAAUUCACUCGAAAUUUCUAGUAGUUUACACAGAAAUUUCCUGUGCUAAACUUCAAAGAAUUUCUUUUCUUUUCAUUUUGUAUUUUCUCAUUUUCUUGGCAUGCGCGCAGCUGCAUCAAGGAAAAAACGUUUCAGAUGCGUGUAAUAAAUCCAAUCGAUGAAUGAGAAAGGGACGCAAAAUAAAGAUAAAAGUGGAAUAUUCUCAUUAAUUGGUCAUCAUUUAAACGUUGGACACAGCCAUCUAUAUGUUGUUUAAAGAAUUUAAAUGGUUAGUCAGAAAGGAUUGCUUUUUAAUUAAAAAUAUAUUAAAAUAAUAUUUUUAAUGCCAAGUAUUUGUUCAACCUCAUUAAUGCUAACGAGUGGACCCAGUUGUUGUGGAAACUUUGCUAGGGAUCUGGAGUGUCAUAAUCCAAAAUUAUUCCUUAAAAUUUAUAUUUUUUCAAAAUAAAAAUCAAAAAAAUAAAAUAAAGGCUGGCAACGUGGAGAAAGCAGGCCGGAAAAUCAAGCUGUAAUUUUUGGAGGAAAUUCAAGGCGUAAUUGUACCCCACUAUGCCCCAAAAUAGAGAGAAAAUAUAAAUUCAAGGUCAAAUUAAAUGAUUAUUUGACAAAUUUGCAUAAACAUUAAGUCCGAUGACAUAAUUAAAUUUUUAAUAGGCCAAUUUGAUUUAAUCACGGGCCAAAUUAAAUUUUAAUUAUGUUUAAGAAUUAAUUUGCGUCCAAUUGAAGGAUUUAAUUAAGUGCAAGGACUUAAUUAUACUUUAAAUGGGUCAAAUUAAUUUUAUUUUGGGCUUAAUUGGUGAAAACUUAAGUUUGGGAGCUUAAUUGAGAAGAUUGGAAUUUUAAGAGACCAAAUUUAAUUCUUACCAAGUUAAUUGAUUGAAAUUAGGGGCCCAAUUGCAAGAACAUUGAAGUUUUGGGGUCAAUUGGGGGUUAAAUUGAAGAAAUUGACAGCUAAGGACCACUCUGCAAAAGGCGAAAACAUUUGGGGACUUAAUUGACAACCACCGGGGCAAAAUUGAAGAAAUUGAAAGUAUAAUGGUCAAUUAGAGGUUAAUUUGACAAAAUUCGAGACCAAGGACCAUAUUGCAAUAGGCGCGUAACUUUGGGGUUUCAAUUGAAGUUUAUCAGGGGCUUAAUUGCAUUAAAUCCAAAGUUAAGGGUUAAUUAGGGGUUCAAUUGAAACCAAUUGAAAGAUGGAGGACUAAGAUGAAAAUAUGUUAAAAUCCCUAAUUCAACUCAAAAUGGCGCCGUUUUAUAUUAAAAAAGAGAGAGAGAGAGGGGACCAGACGACGCGUUGUCGGGUCACUGUUCAUUGUCUUCUUCUUUUACCCGAAAGAAACUGCUUGGGAGCCUUAUUUGCAGGUGCAUUUAAUGCUUGAUUUCUCCAUAAAAUUGAACAAAACUUGCACGAAAAGGAUCCCCUGCAAUUCCUCUACAAACCCAUGUGAACUUUUCAGGAUUAAUGACAGCACAGCUACGCCGGAGAUGGCGUGAAGAGGUCAACUCAGGCAGCCUUUUCCUGCAGAUUUGACAACUCAGGGAGGCUACUUUGAGCCAACAGUUGGGAUCCUUCCCAACAGAAUCAAGAGCUAAAAUUUUACCCCAGUGCAAAAGAGAUUACCCUCUUCGACCGCCUAUAAAUAGAGGCUGAUUUGAUGGCCUGAGGGAGGAAAAAAAAUCGGGUCCAAAAUUUGAAAAAAACAAGCUCCCACUGCCCCCGUUUCUGCAAUUUCUCUCUCUCUCUCCGUCGCUUCAACCACCACCAACCUCAUCACCAGCUUCUCCACCACCAGCUCCAUCACAGUAAGCCACCAACCGACCACCGAGAGCCACCGUGAACCUUUCUCUCUCCUCUGCAAACCGGUUUCUUCUUUCUCCCACAGCGACUCCACCGGCCAAAACUCUCCACCAACGCCGCCAUCAGCCUCUUUUCUUCCACGACCAGACCACCGCCAACUUCACGCCAGGCCAGAGACAGCAGCUUCUUCUCCUCCGCAAGGUCGCCUCCCACUUCACUCCGCCGUCUGCGCAAAGUUGCAUGCAGAACAUGAACUUACUGUUCACGUUCUACAAUUAAUUCAUCCCUCACUUGGGCCGGGCCAUAAAUGUUUGGCUGGGUCUGGCCCGGCCUCAAAAGAAAAGGAGAAAGAAAAUAUGUUGGGCCGAUAUCGGCCCAACCUUUUUGGACCGAGAUCGGCCCAACUGUUUCUGGGUUUCUGCUUGGUCCAGUUACUUGGGCCAUCCCGGCCCACCUGUUUUAAUAAUAUUUAAUUAAUAUAUUAUAUUAUAUUAUAUAUUUCCUUUUAAAAAAAACAAAAAAAUCCAAAAAAAAUUUCAAAAAUCAUUUUUAAAAAAUUACGAUUUUCUCAAAUAUUUUUCUACCACUUUUGUAUAAUAUCGGGUUGUAUAUUUACACUGUAAAAUACAAACCUGGUAUUAAAAUACCCGGUUUUCUCCUAAAUAUUUCAAAAACAAAAUUCAAAACAUUUUCAAAGAGAAAAAAAAUAUUUUGUUGCAUACGGCCAAAUCUUAAAAUUUUUCCAAGCAUAUUUUUCAAUAAAAAAACAAAAAUUGCAUCUUUCUCCAGUUUUGAAAAUAAAAAAAAUGGAUAUCAUAACCAGUUUGUGAAUAUCCAUUAGAAUUUGGCCAACAUGUCAAAACCUUUUUCCAAUCUUUUUAGGGUUCAGAUGCAGACUUUAGUAUUUGUGGAGUGUAAAAUUACACGAUAAAGUACACCCUCAGGUAUUAAAGAUACAAGGUGUAAAUAAAUGCGAUGCUAAAAUUCAGACUUUAGAAUGGUUAGGAUUUAACCUGAUAAAGUAAAGACUUUCUCAUGAAGAGAGAUCUGCCUUAAACCUUAAAAAAGACCAACGAAUAGAAACCCGAUUUAGAAAAAAACAAUCAAACAACAAUGUAGCUUACCUUAGGUAGGGUGCACUGGGGGUGAUGCGUCUUCCCCUUGCACAACCAGUCUCUUACCCAGACUCUCGCAGACCAUAGGUUUCUAGUGAUCAUAAUACUAGGUGGCGACUCCUAAACAUUAAUCAUAAUUUUAUAAUUAAAUCCAAAAAACCUUCCCAACACACAACACCUCACACAGGAGGCACGACAAGAAGCCUUUGCCGUCGCCAGACGACGUCGCGCCCCUUGCGACAUGGAGGAAGAAAAAUGAUUGCAUUGCUAAUAAUUUGCAAGAGAGAAUUCUUUUUCUGAAUAGAAAAAACUAUUAUUUUUAAAAUAAAAACAACUAAAUAGAAAAAUUAUUAUUUUUUAAAUAGAAAAACUAGAAAAGCCUUGUAAUAUUGAAUAAAAAAUAAAAUAGAAAAAUUAUUCUUUUAAAGUAGAAAAAAUUAUGACAAUUUAAUAAUACUGAAUAGAAAUAAAUCAAAUUUUUAAACUAAAUAAAAAUAAUAGAGAAAAAUAUUUAUUAUCCUAAACUUUUUUAUAUUAAAAUCUUAAUUUAUAACAUGAACUGAGUCUACAUGCUAAAAUUAGAAGAACAAAAAAAAAAUGUAACAAAAAAAUUCCAUACAACACAAUUAAUGAUGGGAUCAUAUAUUUUGAGACUAAAAUGAGGUUUUCGAAUUACCUUUAAACAUAACAUAACAUGAUUUUAAUAGAUGUACUGUACAUCAUUUGAAUUUAUUAGAAAAAACAUAUAAUGUAAAGUAUGAACCACUUACCAUUAACUAGAUUUUUCAAUUGGAUUUUUUAUUUAAAUGAAAAGGAAAAUUUAUUUUAUUAUGAAAAAUAUUUUUUAUAUAUAUCUAGUAAUAAUAAAUUAAAGGAUAAUAACAAGAAAAUAACAAUUAGAUCGAAUAAAUGGUACCAAUUUCUAUUCUGAUAUAUCUAGCCAAAGAAUAGAAUGAAUCAAAAUAUUCUUAAUAAAAAAAAUAGAAAACACAGAAAGAAAUAAAAAAAUGUUCUUAAUUAAUAUAAAACUAUUAAUUUACAAAAGAAAUUUUCUGGUACUUUAUACUGUAUAUAAUUUGAAAAAUUGUGACUGACCGACUUACUUGCAAAGUAUUUGCAAGAAAGUUAAAGAAUUAGAGUUUUUUAAUAUUCAAAAUUAUAAUUUUAAAUUCUACGAAAAAAAUCAAUUAUUUUUAAAACUGUUUUCAAAAAUAAAACAUCAACUAUUUAUAUAAUAGCUAAAUAAAACAAUUAAAAUAAAUAAAAAAAUAACUAGUAAAAUCAAGUGAAUAAUCCAAAAAUAACAAGAAAAUAGAGAUAUUUCCUAAAUAUGAUUUCAGUUUGUUGUAUUGAUCAAUUUGCUAACAUAAAUAGCAUAAACGAACUUUAUUCUAAUAGUAUGUUUGAUAUUUAAAAAAAAAAAAAACUUAUAGAUAUUAUAUGGGUUGGCAACCCAUUUUUUAUUAAAUUUUAAAUUUUAUUUGUUUAAAAAUAUUUGUUUAUGUUUUUUAAUUAUUUUAAUAUGAUAAUAUCAAAAAUAAAUAAAUAAAAUUUUUCUAAGUUUUACUACUUCUGACUUGCUUUGACUCGAAAUUAGUGGUGCUUUCUCCUGCGAAUGAAUAGAAAGCAUAUCAUAAAGGUGUGUUUGACAUUGUGUUUUGGAAGUAUUUUUUAAAAAAAUAAAUUUUUUUAUUUUUUUUCUUCAAAUUAUUUUUUUUGUUGAUGUUUUCAUAUUAUUUUGAUAUGCUGAUGUCACAAAUAAUUUUUAAAAAAUAAAAAAAUAUAUUAUUUUGAUGUGUUUUGAAAUGAAAAAACUUUAAAAAGCAACCGCUACCACACUCUCAAACUCCUUUGUUUAUUGAGUCUUACUGUGAAACCUCGUUUUGGGAUGAAUUGAUUGUAAGAAUAAGAAAUUAUGUGCAAAUUAUACAAAAUUUAUUAUUCAUCAUCAAGAUUUAUUAUUUAUUAUCACUAUUGAAUAAUGAUUUAUUUUAUAAUAUAAAUUAUGUUUAAAAUAAAAUUGAUAAAAUUAAAAUACAUGAAACGAGGUCGUAUAUUUUGAAACUAAAUUAAAAUUAUUUUCUUUUUCAAUGAUAUCAUUUGUUAGUUUGCAAGUCCACAUGUCACGAGUCUCCACUGCAUGAAAUUUGCAAAAUCAUAUGGCCCAUUGAUAGAAGGUGUGUUGAAGCAAAAUCUGUUUUAUUGAUUAUCAAUAUUGAAUAAUAGCUUAUUUUCUAGUAGAAACUAUGUUUGAAAUAAAAUUGAUAAAAGACAUGAUAUACAAUUAAUAAUAGGAUCGUAUAUAAAAAUAGGAAAUUUCCUGGUAAUAAAGUCCCAACUUUCGUAGGCGAGCACUAAAGUCCCAAACUUCAAGAAUUUCUCUUCUUUUCCUUUUGUAUCUUCUCAUUUUCUUGGCAUGCGCGCAGCUGCCUCGAGGAAAAAACGUUUCAGAUUCGGAAAAUAAAGAUAAAUGUGGAAAAAAAAAAUCCCAAAUAAAGAUAUCUUUUCGUCCCUUGGUGUCGUGUGAAUACCAUGUGGAUAUCAUUUCAGAAAAUCAAUUCAACCGUUCUCCAAAGAACACUCAUACUCCAAUAUCAGCAACUACCACGAAAGUUACCACUCUAAAUUCCAGCUCAAUAAUUAAGGUUCCAAGAUAAGCCUAAAAAAUAUUUAUUAGGCUUAUCUUAAAGCCUAAUAAAUAUCUAAAAAAAAACAAAAAAACAAAAUUCCACCCUAGGCUGUGAUUAACAGAUUAUCUGAUGGAAACAUGAUGAGCUUUUUUUUAGUGAAUUAAGUUCAAUUAAAAAAAAAUUAAGGUUAAAUUGAUGAUUAAUAAUGAAUUUUGUAUACUUUGCACAGGAUUUUCUUAUUCUCGUCAAUUAAUCUUAAAGCGAGGUUCCAAGAUAAGCCUAAAAAAUAUUUAUUAUUGAUCAACAAUAUUGAAUAAUGGCUUAUUUUCUAGUAUAAAUUAUGUUUGAAAUAAAAUUGAUCAUAAGAGUAGAUGAUAUACAAUUAAUGAUGAAAUCGUAUAUUUUGAGACUAAAUUAAGAUUUUUCAAUUAUCUUUAAAUAUUAUGGUUUUAAUAGGUGGACAAUGCAUUCUUUGAAUUUAUUACAAGUAAUGUGUAAUUUAAAUUAUAAAAAAAUAUUUAUUUUUCUGAUAUACAUGAUAAUAAUAAAUUUGAUGAUAGCAACAAGAAAAUAGAAAUUAGUUUGAAUUAGUACGUUUCUCAUUAACAUUAAUGAUGGAAUCAAAAUCUUUGUUAGCGGUCACCUGUUCGACCUCAGUAAUGUUAACGCGUGGACCCAGCUGUUGUAGAAACUUUGCAAAGGAUCUCGAGGAAGAAAAAUGAUUGCAGUGUAAGACUUAAUUACCGAUUCUAUGAUGGGGAAUAAAUAUGUUUAUAACAGAAUUGUAAGUUAUAAUAUGUAAAAUUUAAUUAACGAUUCUAUUAUACGAAAUAAAUAUGUUUAUAACGUAAUCGUAAGCCUUAAUAAUAAGAAAUCAAUAUCUCCAUCUAUUAAUGUUCCUCAUGUAUUUAUUAUUCUUUUUUAUAUAUAUUUGAUACUUUCAAACUCUACUCACUUUAUAUAGAUUGUGUAAAACUUAAGAGAACUCAGUAAGUGAGUAUAGAGAUCAAAUAACAUUAUUUAUAGCCAAAGCUUCCCUCAAGCUUUAAUGGCUAUAUGUCCCACAUAUUUAUUAUAUCAUGGGUAGUUACAAGUGAAUCACUUUAAGAGCUUAUAAAUGUAAAUGUUACAACUUUAAAAUGAACGAUUUUAAGAGUUUAUAAAUAUAAAUAUUAUAAUUUUUAGAGUGGAUCACUUUUAGUGUGAAGGAGAGUUAGAGAAUCGAUUAUAAUGACUCUGUAAAAAACAGUCAACAUGCAUUGCUAAUAAUUUGCAACGGAGAAUUCUUUAUUGAGAUUUAUUGUUAAACCUCGCUUUGGAAUGAAUUGAUCACGAGAAUAAAAAAUAAUCACUACAUACACCCUUUAACUAUUUUACUUGAAAGUUUCGAUUAUUUCCUAAGCUCCUUUGUUCAUUUUCUUUUUUAUUACCCCUUCAUGCACGACACUUUAUGCCACUUCAUGAUACCCUUGUUUUCAACGUUUUACACUACUUUAAAAGCGUGUUUGGUAGUGUGGUUGCGGGUGCUUUUCAAAUAACUUUUCGUGUCAAAAUACAUGCCAAUGAUAUUUUUUUUAUUUUUUAAAAAUUAUUUUUGACAUCAGCACAUCAAAACGAUCCAAAACAUAUAAACCUUAUUAAAUUUUAAUUUAAAAAAUAUUCAAUUUUUUUGGGAACGCAGCCGCAUCCGCGUUCACAAACGAGUCCUCAAGUCAAUUGUUAGAUACUAAAAACAGCAAGAACUGUACUCAAUCAGCAACCACUGUGAAAUUACCACUCAAAAUCCCAUGAAUAUAUAUAAAAAAGAAUUUUGUCUAGAAAAAUUCUAUCAAAUUCUCUACUUUAUUACUCUUCAAUGUUUUACACUGCUUUAGUUCUAAAAAAACUCCUAGAUGUUAUAAAGCAAGAUAUAUACAACUAUAUAUAUAUAUAUAUAUAUAUAUAUAUAUAUGAAAGUGUAAUAAAUAUUAUAUUUUAAAGUAUUUUUUAAAUAUAUUAAAAUAAUAUUUUUUUAAAAAUAAUUUUGAUAUUAGUAUAUUAGAAUAAUAAAAAAAUAAUUUAAAACAAUAAAAAAUAUUGAAAUUUUUAAAAAAUAUGAUUUGACUGAACUCCAAAACACACGCAUGCUCCCUCAGCAGCCACCACGAAAUUACCACUCUAAAUUCCAGCUCAAUAAUUUAUUCUUUAGCAAUUAUUGCUUGCUCUUUGACAAGUACUGCUUUGCUAAUAAUUUGCAAGAAACUUUCUCAAUUUCCUUCUAUUUUCUUUUUAUCAUGGAAACUUUAAGUCACAUACCACUAAAUUACCGAUAAUUAAAUUUCAAUGUGUAAUUGUGUAGGUUUCAAUUAAAAAUGUUUUAAUUUGAGAAAAUUUGUUAAAAAAAUAGUAUAAAUUAUAUUUUAGAGUUUAUUUUAAUAGUUUAAAUUUUUAGAUGAAUAGUUUUCUAACAAAUAAAGACAUAGUUUUACGAUAAAAUGCAUUUUUUAAAAUGAAAUUAUAUUAAAUUAAGCAUGGUCGAGAUUAUUCAAAUUAUUAAUUAAUUAUAAUUAACUUUAUGUCUUUAGAGGAAACAAAAGGAAAGGACAAAAUGAUUAAUUAAAUUUUUAGAUGAAUUAAUAAAUCUUUACAAAUAAAAGAUAUAGUUUUUCAUUUUUUGAAAUGAAAUUAUAUUAAAUUAAGCAUGCUCGACAUUGUUCAAAUUAUUAAUUAAUUAUAAUUAACUUUAUGUCUUCAGAGUAAACAAAAGGGAAGGACAAAAUUAUCUUCCCCACAACGAUAAACCUAGCCCCCUUUCCAAACCAAUCCUCUAGUAAAUAGAAUGAUGGUCCCAUAAAUUGCUUUAUUCUUUCCAGCCCGCCAAGUAGUUUGGUCUCCCUCACAGGACCUCCUUAGCAUGGGAAUCAUAUGAAUUUCCUUGCUUUUCUUCCUCUACGCGUUACCUUUCACCUUUUAUAAUUAUUAUUAUUGCAUUGCUAAUAAUUUGCAAGAAAGAUUAUGAACAUUUUUUUUAGUGAAAUAAGCUCAUUUCAAAUUAACAAAAUAUAGUUUGUUGAGGCUUGUCUUGAAACCUCACUUUGGAUUAAUUGACAGGAAUAAUAAAAUUUUAUUCAAAUUAUAUAAAAUAUUAGGUGUGGAUGUGCCCUUGCCCAACAAGCUACCAUGACCUUAUCUAGAGUUGGGUGUUAACGAGACAAGCCCUUGUCCAACUCAGAGUUCGGCAUAGAUAUAUCAUGACCCAACAUAAAGUUUGGAUGCGGAAAAAAUAUAAUUUCAUUUUGAAUUAUGAUUUUUGUUGGAUAGUCUUUAAAUAAAUUUUUUUUUUAGAAAAUCAUGACCCAUAUCUGGUUAUCGGAAAAACAAUUAUGGUUGAUUUAGCCUCAUCUUCUCUGCUUGUAAAAUUGGGGCAGAUUAUGGACUUAACCGAGCAAUUACCGCUCAAAAUUCCUAGCAAUUUACAAAGGAAUUUUCCUUGCUUUUUCUCAGUAUAUUAUUAGAAAAACCGUCAUUGACUGAUUUAAUUGUAAAGUCUUUGCAAGAAAGUAAAAAAAUUAGUUUUUUAAAAUAAAAAAUAUAGAGAGAGAAAUAAAAAAUAAAAAAUAAAAAAAGGAGCGAAAGGAAACAACCGCCAUCUUUCUUGUUCCUUUUCCCUUCUUUACACGGCGUCCUCGAUGAAAAUAGCAAACACCCCAUUUGAAUAUAUAAUUAAAGAAAGAAAGAAAGAGAGGAAAAUUCCUUCCUCAAUACUUACCGCUACACGCUUCAGAAAUUCCUUGCUUUUUUUUUUUUUUUUUUCAUCUCUACUUACGUGUUACCUUUUACCUUUUAUAAUUAUGAUUAUUGCAUUGCUAAUAAUUUCCUUGCAUUUCUUUAAUAUAUAAUUAAAGAAAGAAAGAUGUUGAACACUUUUUUAGUGAAUUCAAAAUAACAAAAUAAGGUUGUUGAGGCUUUUCUUGGAACCUAGCUCAGGGAUUAAAUUAUAAAAAAAUAUAUUUAUUUUUCUGAUUAUAUAGCAAUAACAAAUUAAAUAAUAGCAACAAGUAAAUAGGAAUUAGUUUGAAUAAAUGGUACCAGUUCCUAUUAUAAUAUAUCUAGAGAAGAAGUUCGAAGAAUAGAAUGAAGUCAAAUAUCCUUACAUAAUGCUAGGUUUUAAUAUAUAAUUAAAAAGUUUUCCAUGAACCAAAUAAUAAAAAUAUUGUACAACUUUUUUGAAUGAAUUAUUAACAUAGAGGCUUAUUUGAUUUGAAUAUAUUAUUUGAUUAGUCCAUUUAUAGGUUGUCUCUAUUAUUCCUGCCUUGCAUUGCCAGGAAAUUUCACUAGAAAUUUCUAGUAAUUUAAACAGGAAAUUUGCUGGUGAUAAACCUGGAAUAUGAUUUUCAACUUUCGUAGGCGAGCACUGAAGUCCCAAACUUCAAGAAUUUCUUUUCUUUUCCUUUUGUAUCUUCUCAUUUUCUUUCUAGGAAUGUUAUGAGAAGCAGCAGAGUCAAGAGGCCAUUUUUGAUCCUGUGGACCGGAAGUAGUUGCAUAGUUAGUCGUAACCUCUGAUCAAUGGAGUCGUGGGUAAGACUUGGCUAAAUGGCCUAUCUGAUCAGGAAAUUGGCAUUUCGGUUGAUAAUGCAUUUGAGUGGUACCGAUUGGUUGAAGACUUGCAGUUGUCUUUGAAUGGACCGACCUUGAGGGAUUUUAUUGUGGCCUGGAGACCGAGAAGAUCCAUUAGUCUUAUUUGAACCCUUCGGGUGAGACCCACCAUAUGAACUAUUUAAGUUCUGUUUGUGAAGAUAAGAAUAAUUGGCAGAGGCCACAAGCUGCUGAGUUGAAGAUUCCAAACGCCGCAGGUAACUGUCAUGCCCCUCAAGAAUAUCUUGAAGCUCUUCAAAUUAUCCCAAUAGUUCUUAUAUUAAAAUCUCAUUUAUCAUAUGUUACAUCUAUCAAAAAAAAAAAAAUAAUUUGUGACGUGAACUAAAGCUAUAUGUGAAAACUAGAAAUAACAAAUGUAUGAAAAAAAAAUCAGCUGUGAUUAACAGAUUAACGAUGGAAAUUAAGAUGAUGAAUAUUUUUUUGUAAAUUAAUUUCAAUUUAAAAUAACUACAAAGAAGUUAAUUAGGAUUCCUUCCUUGAAAUUAUUAAAAAUAUAGUAUUAGAAUUAUAGAAUGCUAGGUUUUAAUAUAUAAUUUUUAAUAUUAAUUGUUAAAGAGUCUCUCUCGAACCAAAUAAUAAAGAUAUUAUAUAACUCUUUUGUAUGAAUUGUAAAUCUAGGGAUAGUUUUGGGUUUUCCAAUCACAACUUUGGACUAAAAUUAAUAACAAAAUAAAGACCAAAGAUAACGGUAUGUAAAUCUAGGGACCAAAAAUAAUACAACUGCAUUUACUGUAGAUUUCACUUAGAAUUUCUAGUAAAUUACAAAGGAAAUUUCUUGUGCUUUUUAACGUACAUGAAUUGAAAAACUACCAUUGACUGACUUGCAUUGACUGACUUGCUAAGCAUUUGCUGCUCGAAAUUUUCUCCCUAAAAAUUUUCAAGCAAUUUACGGAGCAAAUUUCCUUAUGCUCUCUCUUGUAUAUUAUUAGAAAAAUUGUUUUUAAAAAUCAAUUUUUUUUUAUUUUCCUGAGAUUCUAUUUUUUAGUCGAGUCAAUUUCAAGUUGGGUUCAAUAAUUAUGAUUAAAUUUACUGAAAAAAAAAUAAUUUUAUGUCACUUCAUGAUACCCAUGUUUUCAACGCUUUACACUGCUUUAAUAAAUUGUUACAGUAAUAGCACAGAGAGGAGCGGUUCCAGAAAAAACAAUAAUGGAGAUGAAGCAAAAUCUGUGUUUGAUUUUUUCUUUUUUGUGUUUUCGGUACAUUGGUCAACAAUAGCUUGGAAGAGUUUGGAAUCAGUAACACGUGGACCCAGUUGUUGUGGAAACUUUGCAGAGGAUCUUCACUCUGCAGGAAGAAAAAUGAUUUUAAUAGAUGUACUGUACAUCAUUUGAAUUUAUUAAAAGUAACGUGUAAUGUAAAGUAUGAUUCACUUACCAUUAACUAGUUGGACAAAAAAACUAAACUUUCUCAAUUUCCUUCUAUUUUCUUUUUAUCAUGGAAACUUUAAGUCACAUCUGCGCCUACCACGAAAUUACCGAUAAGUAAAUUUCAAUGCGUAAUUGUGUAGGUUUCAAUUAAAAAUGCUUUAAUUUGAAAAAUUAUGUUAACAAUAAUAUAAAUUAAUUUUUCUUCAAAAUAAAAAGUAAUUGGGUAUUAAUUUAGGCUAUAAAGAUAAAAUAAUAAUAAUAAAAAAGAGUUCGAGGGUAUUCAUUUUAUUAUUUGUUAUGUAACUAUAUAAUCUAAUUUGUUGAUGUGGAAAAUAGCACAAAGUUUUUGACAUGGAUAUUGGUGAGAAGCAAAAGCAGUAUCCACUAUGAGAGCUUUUGUAAACGCGUGGACCCAGUUGUUGUGGAAACUUUGCAAAGGAUCUGCAGGAAGAAAAAUGAAAUUUGCAAAGUAUUUGUGUGUAUUAUAUAAUUGUGUUAAUUUAAGGAUUAUUUUUUAGUUGUAUUAAUUUAGAAAAUAUUUUGUCUCACCGGAAAACUCUAAUUACGUUCGUAUAUUUGUUUUUGGUAACAGAUGCAAUAUGCUUUUUAAUUCAAGAUAUAUUAAAAUAAUAAUUUUUAAAAAAAAAUUAUUUUUUUUAUUUUAGUAUAUUAAAAAUAAAAAAUUUAAAAAUAGUAAUUUAAUAUUUUCUUAAAAAUAUAUUUAAAAAACACUUUUAAUUUUGUUUUUCAACUGUACUAUUCCUUGAAAAAACUCAAACUCUAAAUAAUAUCUUCUACUACAUACUUUCUAAGACUAAAAAUUAAUCUAAAUGUUUUUGAAAAGUAGUUCAACCAAAGUACCAAAUAUGUUUAUAUACUCCAUCUUCAACCACUGUAAAAUUACCACUCUAAAUUACAACUCGGUAUCGAUUACCUUUUAUCUUUGACAAUUAUUGCAUUGCUAAUAAUUUGCAAGAAAAAAUACAUUCUCAAUUUCCUUCUAUUUUUUUUUUAACAUGAAAAACUUUAAGUCACUCAAUCUGCAACCACCAUGAAAUUACCGGUCCGAAUUCCAGCUCAAUAUUUACCGGUACGACACGCUUGAGGAAUUUCCUUGCUUUUCUUCCUCUACGCGUUACCUUUCACCUUUUAUAAUUAUUAUUAUUGCAUUGCUAAUAAUUUGCAAGAAAGAUUAUGAACAUUUUUUUAGUGAAAUAAGCUCAUUUCAAAUUAACAAAAUAUAGUUUGUUGAGGCUCGUCUUGGAACCUCGCUUUGGAUUAAUUGACAGGAAUAGUAAAAUUUUAUUCAAAUUAUAUAAAAUAUUGGGUGCUGAUGUGCCUUUAUCCAACUUAGAAUUGCGACAAGCUACCAUGACCUUAUCUAGAGUUGGGUGUUAAUGAGACGAGUCCUUGCCCAACUCAGAGUUUGGCAUGGAUAUAUCAUGACCCAACAUAAAGUUUGGAUGCAGAAAAAAUAUGACUUUAUUUUGAAUUAUGAUUUUUGUUGGAUGGUCUCUAAAUAAAUUUUUUUUAUAGAAAAUCAUGACCCAUAUCUGGGUAUCGGAAAAACAAUUAUGGUUGAUUUAGCCUCAUCUUCUCUGCUUGUAAAAUUGGGGCAGAUUAUGGACUUAACCGAGCAAUUACCGCUCGAAAUUCCUAGCAAUUUACAAAGGAAUUUUCCUUGUUUUUUCUCAGUUCAUUAUUAGAAAAACUGUCAUUGACUGAUUUAAUUGUAAAGUCUUUGCAAGAAAGCUAAAAAAAUUAGAGUUUUUUAAAAUAAGAAAUAUAGAGAGAAAAAUAAAAAAUAAAAAUAAAAAAAGGAGCAAAAGGAAACAACCCCCAUCUUUCUUGUUCCUUUUCCCUUCUUUACAUGGCGUCCUCGAUGAAAAUAGCAAACACCCCAUUUGAAUAUAUAAUUAAAGAAAGAAAGAAAGAGAGGAAAAUUCCUUCCUCAAUACUUACCAGUACUACACGCUUGAGAAAUUCCUUUCUUGUUACCUUUUACCUUUUAUAAUUAUGAUUAUUGCAUUGCUAAUAAUUUCCUUGCAUUUCUUUAAUAUAUAAUUAAAGAAAGAAAGAUGUUGAACACUUUUUUAGUGAAUUCAAAAUAACAAAAUAAGGUUGUUGAGGCUUUUCUUGGAACCUCGCUCAGGGAUUAAUUAACAAGAAUAAAAAAAUCCCCUGCAAAUUAAACAAAAUUUAUUAUUAAUCAUUGAUAUUUAUUAUUGAUCAUCAAUAUUGAAUAAUGGCUUAUUUUCUAGCAUAAAUAAAAUUGUUAAAAAACAUGAUUACACAAUUAAUGAUGAGAUCGGUUAUAAAAAUGACUAAAUUGAGGUUUUUCAAUUACCUUUAAACGUAUCAUGGUUUUAAUAGGUGGACAGUACAUCCUAUUAUGUAAAUUAUAAAAAAUUAUAUUUAUUUUUCUGAUAUAUAUAGCAAUAACAAAUUAAAUAAUAGCAACAAGUAAAUAGGAAUUAGUUUGAAUAAAUGAUACCAGUUCCUAUUAUUAUAUAUCUGGAGAAGAAGUUCGAACAAUAGAAUGAAGUCAAAUAUCUUUACAUAAUGCAAGGUUUUAAUAUAUAAUUAAAAAGUUUUCCAUGAACCAAAUAAUAAAAAUAUUGUAUAACUUUUUUGAAUGAAUUAUUAACGUAGAGGCUUAUUUGAUUUGAAUAUAUUAUUUGAUUAGUCUAUUUAUAGGUUGACUCUACUAUUCCUGCCUUGCAUUGCCAGGAAAUUUCACUAGAAAUUUCUAGUAAACGAAAUUUGCUGGUGAUAAACCUGGAAUAUGAUUUUCAACUUUCGUAGGCGAGCACUAAAGUCCCAAACUUCAAGAAUUUCUUUUCUUUUCCUUUUGUAUCUUCUCAUUUUCUUGGCAUGCGCGCAGCUGCCUCGAGGAAAAAACGUUUCAGAUGCGGAAAAUAAAGAUGAAAGUGGAAAAUAGAAGCGGGGAAAAAAAUCCCAAAUAUCGACAAACAUCACAAGAGAAGCUUGAUAUCUCUUCGUCCCUUGGUAUCGUGUGAAUGUGGAUAUUAUUUCAGAAUAUCAAUUCAACCGUACUCCAAAGAACACUCAUACUCCAAUAUCAGCAACCACCACGAAAGUUACCACUCUAAAUUCCAGCUCAAUAAUUUAUUCUUUGACAAUUUUACUUCUAAAAAAAAUGAAUUUUUUUUUAUAAUUAUACGCCAUCAGCAACUACCAUUACGACUCCAAAUUCCAGCUCAAUAUCGAUCAACACGUGGCUAAAGAAUUUGUUUCCUUUUUUUUCCUGCACGUGUUACCUUUUUAUCUUUUAUAAUUAUAAGUAUUGCGUUGCUAAUAAUUUGCAAGAAAUAAUAUUCUUUCUCUAAAAAGGGCUUGAGAAAACCCUAAGCAUAGUAUAUAGUCUCUUAUAGGAAUCUCUUUAUUAAAUCAUCAAAAUAUCAAAGUCUGUUUCCAAAGACUAUGACUACAGUUUAUAUAUAGAAACAACCAAAUAUAAAAAUUAUUUUUUAAAAAUAGAAAAAACAGAAGAGCUUGAUAAUAUUUAAUUAAAAAAUAAAAUAGAAAAAUUAUUCCUUUUUAAGUAGGAAAAAAAAAUAUAAAGAUUUAAUAAUACUGAAUAAGAAAAAUUAAAAUAUUCUUUCUCUGAAAAGGGCUUAAGAAAACCCUAAGCAUUGUAGAUAAUCUCUUAUAUGAAUCUCAUCAAAAUAUCAUAGUAUAUUUCCAAAUACUAUUACGUACUACAUUUAUAUAUAUAUAUAUAUAUAUAUAUAUAGAGAGAGAGAGAAAGAGAGAGAGAGAUAGAGAGAGAAACAACUAAGUAGGUAAAGCUUAUGUUUCUUUGUUCUUGUUCCUUUAUAUAUAUACAUUCUCAAUUUCAUAAAAAAAAUUAAUUAGUCCUUGAAAUCUUAAAAAAUAGUAUUUAAUCCUUAUGUUAUUAUAUUCAUCUCUAAUUUAAUUUUUUUCAUCCAUUCAUCUUUUUAUUUAUUUAAUAGCUUAAGUUUUUAGUUAAAAGAUAAAUAGUUUUACUAUUAAAAGCAUUUUUUCGAAAUAAAAAUAAUAUUAAAUUAGGCAUCCUCAACAUUGUUCAAAUUAUUAAUUAAUUAUAAUUAACUUGAGGUUUAGAAGAAACAAAAGGGAAGGACAAAAUUAUCUUCCCCACAACCAUAGACCUAACCCCUUUCCAGACCAGUCCCCUGGUAAAUGGAAUAAUGGUCCCAUAAACAGCUUUUUUUCUUUCCAGCCCGCCAAGCAGACUAAGGCCUGUUUGUUUCUGUGUUUUAAAAGUGUUUUUGAUAAAAUUUAAAAUUUUUUUGUUUUUUUUAUUAACUUCAAAUUAAUAUGUUUUUAGUGUUUUUAAAUCAUUUUGAUGUGCUGAUGUCAAAAAUAAUUUUUAAAAAAUAAAAAAACAUCAUUAGCAUGUAUUUUGACACGAAAAACUAUUUGAAAAGCAACCGCAACCACACUACCAAACACACUCUAAGCAGUUCGGUCUUCCUCGCUGGACCACCUUAGCAUGAGAAUCACACUAGUUGGAAGUAUCUUUAAACCUCAUAAAAAUGAAUAACUGAUAAUAAUAUAAUUGGGAUUUAAAAAAAAUUCAUAAAAAAAUUUCUUAAAAAAAUCCAAAAAAUUAAACCGGACAAAAAUAAACAACCAAUAAUAAUAUAGUUAAAAUGAUAAAAAAGUGUUUAAAAAGCAAUUUGAAACCAAUUAAUCUUAAAAAAAAAAAACCAAAAAGAAACAUGCGAUGAAAACCAAUUCAUGAAAAAGUAAUUGGAUAUUAAUUUAGACUAAAAGGAUGAAAUAAUAAAAACAAAAGGAGAGUUUGAGGGUAUUCAUUGUUCAAAGGAACGCAAAAAUGCAUUCCAAGUAUGAAGUGUUUUAUUGUUAUAAAGUUUUUCAAACUUACAAUAUGGAGAGAGAAAUAAAUAAAAAGAAAAAAUAGCAAAAGGAAACAGCCCCCAUCUUUCUUGUUCCCUUUCCCACGGCCUACUCAAUGAAAAAGCAAACACCCCAUUGGAUUUCCCACGGCCGCCCACGAAAUCCCUUUAUCCUCUGCUGUUAAUUUUUUAAUGACGCAUAUCAGGUGUUUGAUAAAAUUCCUUAGCUGGGAAAGGAAAAAAAACCAUGUUAAGAAUGCUUUAGUCCUUUUCGAGUGGAAAGUGGUGUGAAAGUGAGAAGUACUGUGAGAGCUUUAUACCACUUUCUAUCUUAGACGUAAUGGCUUUGGCAAAAAGAAACCAAUAAAAGUUAGUGUUCGCACUGCUUUAGUCCAAGAGUCUUUCAUGGUUGCAUUGAUUGACUGGAAAAAAUCUCAAAGUUUUUAGAAAGAAACAGCCUUCAUUGCUUUUCGAAACCAAUCUCAGUAAUGUUAACGCGUGGACCCAGUUAUUGUGGAAACUUUGCAAAGGACCUCGAGGAAGAAAAAUGAUUGCAUUGCUAAUAAUUUGCAAGAGAGAAUUCUUUCACUGAAUAGAAAAAAGUAUUAUUUUUAAAAUAACAACAAGUAAAUUUAAAAAUUAGUAUUUUUUAAAUAAAAAACUAAAAAUUCCUGAUAAUAUUGAAUAAAAAAUAAAAUAUAAAAAUUAUUCUUUUUAAGUAUAAAAAAAUAUAAAAGUUUAAUAAUACGGAAUAGAAAUAAAUAAAAAUUCUAAACUAAAUAAAAAUAUUUUCUAUCCCAAAAAUUCUUAUAUCAAAAUCUCAUUUAUCAUAUUUUAUAUCUAUAAAAAACUAAUUUGUCAUGUGGAAUAAGUCUAUAUGCUAAAAUCAGAAAAAAAAUGUUACAAAAACAAAUUCCACAAAAGGCUGUGAUUAAAAAGAUGAUAGAUAUUUUUUAGUAAAUUAAUUUCAAUUCAAAAUAACAAAAUAAGGUUUAUUGAGGCUUACCGUUAAACCUUGCUUUGGGAUGAAUUGAUCACGAGAAUAAGAAAUCAUGUGCAAAUUAUACAAGAUUUAUUAUUAAUCAUCAAGAUUUAUUAUUUAUUAUCAAUAUUGAAUAAUGAUUUAUUUUAUAAUAUAAAUUAUGUUUAAAAUAAAAUUGAUAAAAUUAAAAUACAUGAAACGAGGUUGUAUAUUUUGAAACUAAAUUAAAAUCAUUUUCUUUUUCUAUUAUAUCCUUCAAAAUUAUUUAUUUUAUAAAAAACAAAACUUGUUAGUUUGCAAGUACACAUGUCAUGAGUCUCCACUGCAUCACUUUUGCAAAAUCAUAUGGCCCACUGUAUAUUUUGAAACUUGUUGAAGCAAAAUCUGUUUUAUUGAUCAUCAUCAAUAUUGAAGAAUGAUUUAUUUUCUAGUAUAAACUAUGUUUGAAAUAAAAUUGAUAAAAGACAUGACAUAUACAAUUAAUGAUGGGAUGGUAUCUAAAAAUGAUUAAAUUGGCAUUUUUCAAUUACCUUUAAACAUGCAUAUCAUGAUUUUAAUUGGUGGACAAUACUGUUAAAUAAUAUAUUUAUUUUGUUUUAUUUAUUAAGAUUAAAAUAAUAUUUUUAGCUUAAUCUAUAUAUAAACUCUUUAUAUUUAGAUUAAGCAAAAAUAAUAAUAUAUAUCAGAAUUCUAGUCUCAUUCCUUUUCGUAUUUAUUUUUAUGUUAAUUAAAUUGUUUUAACAAUACAUCAUGUAAAUUAUAUAAAAAUAUAUUUAUUUUUCUGAUAUAUAAAUACCUCUCUGUCCCAUUGCUGCCAUUUCAUAGCUAACUCUUUGUUAUAUUUAACUUCCUCUUCUUUGCUUCUUGCUCAUAACGAUAACUUGAAAGCCUUACGUUCAGAUAGAUAAUCAUUGACUAGCUCAUCCUAUAUCAUUCUAUUCAAUUUAUAUAUGCAGAAAGAAAAACGCAAGCAAUCCAAAGAUGAAGAAAACGCUUCAUCCUCGCGAAAGAGAAGAAAAGCUGACCUCAGUAAGCCUAUAUAAAGAAUACAAUUAACCUCAUUUCAACAUCAUAGUUAACCUCAUUUCAAUAUCAUAGCUUUGGAAUUUCAUAGCUAACUCUUUGUUAUAUUGCUCCAUUGGUAAUUGAUUGUGCCUUGAUUUCUGCAGCUGCCAUGACAGAGCCAGAGUCUUCUCGAUCUAUACCAGAAGGGGCCUAUGAUGUCUUCUUGAGUUUUAGAGGAGAAGAUACUCGCAAGACGUUUACUGAUCAUCUAUAUGCUGCCUUAGAUCAAGCAGGAAUCCACACUUUUCGAGAUGAUGAUGAACUUCCUAGAGGAGAAGAAAUCUCCGAGCAUCUUCUCAAGGCAAUUCGAGAAUCAAAGAUAUCCAUAGUUGUCUUCUCAAAAGGAUAUGCUUCUUCUAGAUGGUGUCUCAAUGAACUUGUAGAGAUUCUUAAGUGCAAAAGGAAGAAAACCGGUCAGAUUGUUCUUCCUAUAUUCUAUGACAUUGAUCCUUCAGAUGUGAGAAAACAGACUGGCAGUUUUGCAGAGGCAUUUGAUAAGCAUGAAGAGCGUUUUGAAGAGAAGUUGGUGAAGGAGUGGAGAAAAGCUCUUGAGGAUGCCGGAAACCUAUCUGGAUGGAGUCUCAAUGAUAUGGCAAAUGGGUAUGCCUUUUUUCCAAAUUUAUGGAGUCAAUAUACUUUACAUUUUUUAAUGUGAAACAAUAAAAUACUUAAUUGACUCGCUAUCAAUGACUUGCUUUUGUCUAUGAGCAGGCAUGAAGCAAAAUUUAUCAAAGAGAUUAUCAAGGAUGUGUUGAAUAAAUUAGAUUCCAAGUACUUCUAUGUUCCUGAGCACCUAGUAGGUAUGGAUCGGCUUUCUCGCAAUAUUUUUGACUUUGUAAGUACUGCAACAGAUGAUGUACGCAUNNNNNNNNNNNNNNNNNNNNNNNNNNNNNNNNNNNNNNNNNNNNNNNNNNNNNNNNNNNNNNNNNNNNNNNNNNNNNNNNNNNNNNNNNNNNNNNNNNNNNNNNNNNNNNNNNNNNNNNNNNNNNNNNNNNNNNNNNNNNNNNNNNNNNNNNNNNNNNNNNNNNNNNNNNNNNNNNNNNNNNNNNNNNNNNNNNNNNNNGAUGAUAGAGGAAAAGUUCUGAUCAAAGAACGACUUCGUCGCAAAAGAGUUCUUGUUGUUGCUGAUGAUGUGGCUUAUCUGGACCAGCUAAAUGCUUUGAUGGGAGAGCGAAGUUGGUUUGGUCCCGGAAGUAGAGUAAUUAUUACAACAAGAGAUUCAAAUCUUCUUCGUGAAGCAGAUCAAACAUAUCGGAUCAAAGAGCGACUUUGUCGCAAAAGAAUCUUGUUGUUGCUGAUGAUGUGGCUCAUCAGGAGCAGCUAAAUGCAUUGAUGGGAGAUCGAAGAUGGUUUGGUCCCGGAAGUAGAGUAAUUAUUACAACAAGAGACUCAGAUCUUCUUCGUGACGCAGAUAAAACAUGUCAGAUCGAAGAAUUGAAACUAGAUGAGUCCCUUCAGCUUUUCAGCAGGCAUGCCUUUAAGGACACCAAGCCAGCAGAAGAUUACAUUGAGCUUUCGAAGAAAGCCGUUGGUUACUGUGGAGGACUUCCUUUAGCUCUCAAGGUUAUAGGAGCUCUUCUGUACGGGAAAGAAAAAGAUAGAUGGGAAAGUGAAAUUGACGACUUGAGCAGAAUUCCAAACCAAGAUAUUCAAAGAAAGCUUCUAAUAAGUUAUGACGCACUUGAUGGUGAACUACAAAGAGCAUUCCUUGAUAUUGCAUGCUUCUUUGUUGGUAUAGAGAAAGAAUACGUCGCACAAGUGCUAGGAGCCCGUUGCCGUCGCAAUCCAGAAGUUGUUUUGGAAACUCUCCGUGAAAGGUCUCUGAUUCAAUUUCAUGAGUGUAUAAUUGAAGAUGAAAGGCAGUUAUCUGGAAGGACGGUAGCCAUGCAUGAUCUAUUACGAGACAUGGGAAGGGAGGUCGUUUGUAAAGAGUCUCCCUUGCAUCCUGAAGCAAGGACCAGAAUUUGGAAUAAAGACGAUGCAUGGAAUGUACUUGAGCAGCACAAGGUAAGUAAGAGCUCAAUGCAUACACGAAAGCAUAGUCAUGCGUAUUUUCUAGUCAAGCUUAUUACAAAUAAUUGAAUGAAAGUUGUAUUGAUUUUUUUUUUAGGGUACGGAUAAAGUUGAGGGUCUUGCACUGGAUGUCAGAGCAUCAGAAACUAAAUCACUUAGCGCAGGAUCAUUUGCAGAAAUGAAAUGUUUAAAUUUACUCAAAAUCAACGGAGCACAUCUCACCGGAUCCUUCAAAUUGCUUUCUAAAGAGUUGAUGUGGAUUUGUUGGCAUGAAUUUCCUUUGAAAUAUUUUCCAUCUUAUUUUACUUUGGACAAUCUAGCUGUUCUUGAUAUGCCGUACAGUAACCUCAAAGAACUAUGGAAGGGAAAAAAGGUGCGAAACAUGCUACAAUCCCUAAAAUUUCUCCAGUAUGUAAUUUAUAUUUACAUGUUAUGACUUUCUAUGAUUAAUUUUCAUUAUUUUUCUCUCUAUUAUAACAGAUUCUCGACAAGCUUAAAAUUCUUAAUCUCAGUCAUUCUCAGCACCUUAUUAAAACACCAGACUUGCACAGUUCAAGUCUAGAGAAACUAAUUCUGGAAGGUUGCUCGAGUUUAGUUGAGGUGCAUCAAUCAAUUGAAAAUUUGACGAGCCUUGUUUUCUUAAAUCUGAAGGGAUGUUGGAGUCUGAAGACUCUCCCUGAAAGCAUUGACAAUGUAAAAUCUCUUGAAACUCUGAAUAUUUCUGGGUGUUCACAAGUUGAGAAAUUGCCGGAACGCAUGGGUGAUAUGGAAUUCUUAACCGAGCUGCUAGCUGAUGGGAUUGAAAAUGAGCAAUUUCUCUCUUCAAUUGGACAAUUAAAGCAUUGCAGAAGGUUAUCAUUGUGUGGAGACAGUUCGACGCCACCAAGUUCUUCUUUGAUUUCAACAGGUGUUUUGAAUUGGAAACGUUGGCUGCCAGCAUCUUUCAUUGAAUGGAUAUCAGUGAAACAUCUUGAGCUUUCUAAUAGUGGUUUGUCUGAUCGCGCAACUAACUGUGUUGAUUUCAGUGGUUUGUCCGCUCUAGAAAAAUUGACUCUAGAUGGAAACAAAUUCUCUAGCCUGCCUUCUGGGAUCGGCUUCCUUUCCGAGCUAAGGGAGUUGUCUGUUAAGGGAUGCAAAUAUCUUGUAUCAAUCCCAGAUCUUCCCUCAAGUUUAAAGAGUGUGUUUGCAUGUGAUUGCAAAUCAUUGAAAAGAGUAAGAAUACCAAGCGAGCCAAAAAAAAGACUAUUUAUAAAGCUAGAUGAAAGUCAUUCGUUAGAAGAGUUUCAGGGCAUUGAAGAUCUAAGUAAUUGUUUCUGGUAUAUUCGUGUUGAUGACCGCAGGCAUUCAACAAGUAAAUUACUGGAGCGUUGUUGAGGUACUAUUUCUUUCCGUCUCUCUUUCGCACAAAAAGAAACACACACAAUUGACACAUACAUUGAUUAAUGUCUAAAAUCUCAGCAUUCCUUGAAAUCAAUAUGUAUAUAGGCAAUAAUCAUUAUUAUUAUUAUUAUAUUUAAAAAAACAAAUAUCAUCUUUAAUAAUAUUUUUUUAUUAAAUAUUUAAAGUCUGAUUGGUUUUAUUUUUUAUUUCUUGAUUUUAUGAUAAUAUAUUUAUACAGGCAAUGUGCAACGGUCGUCACGGGUAUUUUAUUCGCCACACUCCUGGUCAGAUGCCAAAUUGGAUGAGCUACAGGGGAGAAGGACGCUCAUUGUCAUUCCAUAUACCUCCAGUCUUCCAAGGCUUAGUUGUUUGGGUUGAUAAGGAUGAUAAGGAUGCUCACAUUAUUAUUAUUAUAAGAAAUAAUAGAAAUGGUAAUCUCUUGUUUCAAUGUACGAAAUGGUAUUAUCAUCCAAAAACUGGAAGUAUAAGAUACAUAAGAAGAAGUGAAAUGGCAAUGGAAGAUUACUGUGCAGAUGACGAAUUGGAACUAUACAUUUAUUCAAAGCCAUCACCGUUGGCAAUGGCAAUGGCAAUGAAGGAUGCUGUGAUGCCUUCAUUUGAACCGUCUACACCUAAGCAAUGUGGGGUCCAUGUGAUCGUAGGAAAGUCAGAUUCAUUUGAAGAGUUGGCAGUGGGAAGAGAUGCAGUGAUGCUUCCUCAUCCUCGUUGUGGUUCGAUUACAGCGUCUACACCUAAGCAAUGGAUUGACUUUUUAUUUGCGAAGCUGCAAAACCAUAACCUCAAUUUAAGGCUUUUUGGUAAGAAUACAUAUUUCCUUUAGUUAUUUCUAUUUUAAUAUUCUAUUUAAUUUAAGAGAUUAAAUAUCAUCUUUAAUUAUUACAUUUUUCUUAUUUAAUCUAAAAAAAUAAAUAUUAUCUUUAACAAUAUUUUUUAUUAAAUAUUUAGAGUCUGCUUGGUUUUAAUUAUUUCUUUUCUUGAUUUUAUGAUAAUAUUUUUCUUAUUUAAUAUAAAAAAUAAAUAUUAUCUUUAAUAAUUAGAUCUAUCGAAUAUCACUUAAAAAAUAAAUUAUAGCUUUAAUAAUUAUUUUUUGAAAAACAAAAGCCAACAAUCACUAACAUAUUUUAUUAAAAUCACUUUAGUUUAUUUAGAAAAUAUUGAAAAUUGAUUUUUGUUUUUUUACUUCAAAAUAAAAAAAAUUGAAUAAUGUUUUUAUAUUUUAUUUCGAACUCGAUAUUUUAAAACAAAAAUGAAAAAGAUGUGAUAUUAACCUUUUUUAUUAUAAAGUAAGUUUCUUAAUUAAAAGUGAUGGGAAUUUGUUUGUAAAAACAAUCUUGCACAUCUAACUUUCUUUUCAAAUUUGAAAAUUUUAUUAACUUUGAUGGUUUUAUAUGUAUGAAGGAUCUGGAUGGACGUAAUAGCACAAGAUCAUUUGACAUAGAGAUGCUUGAAGUUACUCCAAAUUAGUACGGUACUUUUAUCUAAUGUAUUGAUAUGUAUUUGUUGGCUUGAAGAUCAUUUUCCAAGCUUGGAAUUUUUAUUGAAUGCUCUUUGAAAUCUUUUCCAUUUGCUUUUAUAGUGGACAACCUAGUUGUUAAUUAUUAUCCAUGAUCUAAUUUAUAUUUUCAAGUUAAAAAUUUUGAUGAAUAUUAUUUCAUUUUUUUCCUCACUUCAAAAGAUGAAAAUCCUUGAUGUUAGUUAGUAAUAAAUUGGAGAGAAUAAUAAUAAUUUGUGUGUAUAAGCUGAUUGAAAUGAAGAUUAAAAUAAAGAAGUAAAAAAAAAGAGACUCGUAAAGAUUUUAUGUUAGUACUCAACAUGUCCUUUCUUGUUUUUUUUUUAAUUGGAUUACCUUUGUCUUUGGUUAAACUGCACUUCUUAAAAUAUUUUUGGAUUGUUCUGAUAUCAAAAAUAAUUUUUUUUAAAUAUUAUUUUAAUACAUUUUCAAUUAAAAAAUAUUUUGAAAAACAAUAUCUAACACACUCUCAAACAAGUUAAAACGUUAGUAAUAAAAUAACUUUUACAUAUUUUUCAAGUUUAGUAGAAUAGUAGUGGAAUAAUAUUUUUAAUAUUUAAAAAUUAAAAUUUUUUGUGUAACUGUUUUGUUAAAUUAUAAAGUUAAGGACUCUUUUGUAGUUUACCUUACACUAAAGUUAAUAAAUAAUAACACAAGAAAGGACCAAAGUUAACUACAAUACGAGGAAGUUUCAUACUAAAGUUAAAAUACCUCACACUUUUCAAUGAAACAUUACCUCUCCUGUACAUGAAUAUAAAUAAUUUCGUUGACCGACUCUUAUUUCAUUAAUUAUUGAUUAUUUGGAAGAAGAAAGCGUAUCCCUUCUCACUUUUAGAGCGUAUUUAGGGUAUUUAAGAGCGCAUUAUAAAUCCAGGGACAAUUUUGGGUUUUCUAAUCAGAACUUUGGACUAAAAUUAAUAGCAAAUUAAAUAAGGACCAAAUAUAACAGUGUGUAAAUCUAGAAACCAAAGAUAAUACAGCUGCAUUGACCGGAGAUUUCACUCGAAUUUUGACUAAAAAUUAAAAUUUUAUCAAAUUCUCUACUUUAUUAGUGUUCAUUUUCUUCUUUUUUUUUACCUAUCUUUUCCAACUGUUUAGAAAAUUUUUAUGGAUAAAAUUAGAGGAUAAGAAAGAGAUAUAGAAUCACUUUGUAAGAUUUCUAAAAACUUAAUUAUAUUAUAAUUUCUUCCUUAAAAUUAUUCAAAAUAUAGUAUUAGAAUUACAUAAUGCUAGGUUUUAAUAUAUAAUUAAAGAGUCUCUUCUAAAAGAAAUAAUGAAAAUAUUGUAUAACUCUUUUAGAAUGAAUUGUAAAUCCAGGGACAGUCUUCCUGGUGGUUUUUACUGUAUAUGAAUUGAAGAACUAUCAUUUGCUGAUUUACUUGUAAAGUAUUUGUAAGAAAGCUAAAAAUUAGAGUUUUAAAAUUUCUAAAAUAAAUAAUCUUCUCUAAAAUAAGUUUUUUUUAAUUAUACUUAUAAAAUUAAUUAAAUCUCAGGAUAAUAAGAUAUGUCCGGAUAUUUGGCGACUGANNNNNNNNNNNNNNNNNNNNNNNNNNNNNNNNNNNNNNNNNNNNNNNNNNNNNNNNNNNNNNNNNNNNNNNNNNNNNNNNNNNNNNNNNNNNNNNNNNNNGUAUGUUACAAAUUAAAUAUUAGUAUAUUUUUUUCAAGGUGAUAUCUCUUAUUAAAUCAGAGAUUCUCUCUAUUUUUUACAUGCAAUAUAAUCACGGAAUAAUUAAAUAAUUUGAAAAAUAAAUAAAUUUUUAUUGUGGAAUAAGUAAAUACUAAUAUCUAUAACUAGAAGUAACUAUAAUUAUAAUAUUAAAAAAAAGCAUAAUAAAAUGAAUUUAUUUAUAAAUUAGAUAAGAUUCAAACCAAGGGAAUUAAAGUGUAAAAUAAGGAAAACACCCUUGCCAGUCUAAAAUAAUUGAAGUAAUGAGUAAAUGCAUGAAGCAAGAUAAUUAGUUGAUAUUGUGACUAUUCAAGAUAAUUAUAAUCUAUAGGUAAUUGUAUACUAUAAAUUAAUAUCAACAAAAUAAUUGUAUUUAAUUGUUUGAAGUUAAACAAAAAAACAUACAUUCUCCCUUUCCCUUCUUUACAUGGCUUACUCAAUGAAAAAGCAAGCACUAACGCACCUUCUCCACAAACUACCAUAAAUAUAUAAAUAUAUUAUGAAAACAAGAUAAAAAGAAAUCUUUUGGUACAUAUAUAAAUAUAUUAUGGCUAUGAAAAUAGGUUUGUGGAAAUUUACAUCAUUUGAUCUUGACAGUGUCAGAUUAGACAAUUGAUUGCAUGGAAAUGGUCUUCUUAGUUUGCCGUGUGGAAAAUCAUCUCAUUUACGGGACUGCUGGAGAGAGUGUCUAUUGAUAAUUUUACCUUCUUUUCAAAUCUUUGACACUGCUUGGAUUGACCGGUAAUUUCACUCGAAAAUUUCUAGUAAUUUAUAAAGGAAAUUUCUACUGACUAUUAUUGACUGACUUCUUGCAAAGUAUUUGUAAGAAAGCUAAAGAAUUAAAGUUUUUUAAUUUUUAAAAUUGUAAGAAAAAAAUCAAUUAUUUUUAAAAUUGUUUUCAAAAAUAAAACAUCAACUAUUUAUAUAAUUGCUAAAUCUAUUAAGAUAAAUCCAAAAUAACUAGUAAAAUCAGUGACUUGCAUUGACGAGUGUAAUGAUCUUGACAGCAUCAGAUUAGACAAUUGCAUGGAAAUGGUCUUCUUAGUUUGCCGUGUGGAAAAUCAUGUGAUUUACGGGACUGCUGGAGAGAGUGUCUAUUGAUAAUUUUACCUUCUUUUCAAAUCUUUGACACUGCUUGGAUUGACCGGUAAUUUCGCUCGAAAAUUUCUAGUAAUUUAUAAAGGAAAUUUCUACUGACUAUUAUUGACUGACUUCUUGCAAAGUAUUUGUAAGAAAGCUAAAGAAUUAAAGUUUUUUAAUUUUUAAAAUUGUAAGAAAAAAAUCAAUUAUUUUUAAAAUUGUUUUCAAAAAUAAAACACCAACUAUUUAUAUAAUAGCUAAAUCUAUUAAGAUAAAUCCAAAAUAACUAGUAAAAUCAGUGACUUGCAUUGACGAGUGUAAUGAUCCGGAACCACUCGCAAUAAAUAAAGCCAAAAAAGGCAGACGAGUGUGUCUAUAUAUACAUAUAGGAACCGCUGAUUCGAUUUGAAUAUGUUAUUUGAUUAGUCUAAUUCAUGACUUGCAUUGACUCAAGAUUACCACUCAAGAUUUCGUGGUGCUUUCUCGGCCUGCAAAUGAAUAGAAAGCAUGUCCUUUUAACCUCAUUUCAAUAUCGUUGCUUUACUCUCCAGCUAGCCUGAUACAUAUGAGUCUCGAGACAUACGGCCAUUGAUAGAAAGGUGUGCUGAAGCAAAAUAUUUUUUUAUCUGUAGCGACCUCAAUAAUGUUAAAGCGUGGACCACCAUGAAAUUACCGCUCCAAAUUCCUUGUUCUUUCUAUAUUAUUAGAAAAAUUAUCAUUGACUAAUUUAAUUGGAAAUUAUUUGCGAGAAAGCUAAAAAGAAUUAAAGUUUUUUAAUUUAUAAAAUUAUAAUUUUAAAUUGUAAAAAAAUUCAAUUAUUUUAAAAAAUAAAACAUCAACUAUUUAUAUAAUAGCUAAAUAAAUCUAUUAAAAUAAAUUGAAAAUAACUAGUAAAAUCAAGCAAAUAAUCCAAAAAUAACAAGAAAAUAAAUAUAUUUCCUAGAUCUAAUUUGAUUAUAUUUUUUAUCUUGAUUGACUUACUUGCUAAGUCUUUGAACUUUAAUCUAAGAAUUUGUUUUAUAUUUCUUCAUUUAUUAAUGAAAUAUUACUUCUAUUGUAUAGUUUUUGGUUUCGAGUCGAUCCACCAGAUUAAUAGGUGAACAAUACAUUUUUUGAAUUUAUUAGAAGAAACGUGUAAUGUAAAUUAUAAAAUAAUAUUUAUUUUUCUGAUAUAUAUAAUAAUAAUAAAUUAGAUGACAGUUACAAGAAAAUAAAAAUUAAUUUGAAUAGAUGGUACGAGUUUCUAUUCUGAUAUAUCCAGGGAAGAAGUUCGAAGAAUAGAAUGAAGUUAAAUAUUCUUAAUAAAAAAAGAAAAAAAAAAGAAAAAAAAUAUAUUUUUAAUAAAUAUAAAAGAUGGAUAAAAUUAGAGAACAAGAAAGAGAUAUAUAAUCUCUUUGUAAGAACUUCUAAAAAUUUAAUUACAAUUGAGAAUUUCUUCCUUAAAAAAAUCCAAAAAAAUCCUAUUAUAUAUGAAUCAAGACAACAGUUGAAUAACUAUUACAUAUUUUUCAAGUUUACUUAGAAUAAUUAUUUUAAUAUUUAAAAAUUAAAAAAAUACUGUGUAGUUGUUUUGUAUAAAUUCUAAAGUUGAGAACUCUUUUGUGCUUGGUAAAAUGAAUAACUUUUACAUAUUCUUCAAUGUUUCACACUGCUUUAAUAGAUUGGUACAGUAAAUACCUCACACUACAGUUAAUAAAUAAUAACACAAGAAAGGACCAAAGUAUAUAAAUAAUAGCAUGUUUCACACUGCUUUAAUAGAUUGUUACAGUAAAAGCACAAAGAAGAACGGUUCAAGAUGUGGUAGAAUCACCUUCGAAGUGACUAAAUCUGCUUUAAUAUAUUUGAGAUUCACGCAAUGCCACUCUCAUCGGUAUUCUAAAAGCGAAGAGAAGAGUAGAAGCAAUGUGAUAGCUAUACAGGUGAGACUUAAUAAUUUACAGGUGAUAAUUGUUUUUUAAAAUAUUUUUUUUAUUUGAAAAUGUAUUAAUUUAAUGUAAAAUAAUAAAUAAAAUUUAAUUUUUUUUAAUUGUUUUUUAAAAUAUAAAAACAAAGAGGAUAUAAUCAACCUCUUGAUGUCACUAUUAAUUAUUGAUGUCGAUUGAUGCACAUGCUAACACCAGCGAAGAAUUAAGAGGCCAAUAUGCCAUUUGAUGCGAUAUUGCAAUUCAACAGCCAAGACACCACGGCUGAUAGAUGUAGACAGCGGUAAUGAACAGGAAAAGUUAAAAAAAUUAAAAUAUUUCAUGUCUUCACAGUCGUUUAGAAAAGAAACAAGAUCAAACCUUGGUUUCAUUUUGUCAGUUGACUCCAAGUCAAUGUCUAAAUCUCCUCUAAAUUCCAAACUGGGUCACCCAGCGAAUUAAGGUAUAGAUUUUAUUGGACGACAAUCAUAUUAAUAAAUAUGGGACGACAAAUCACAAACAUAAUCAAUUCAACCGUACUCCAAAGAACACUCAUACUCCAAUAUCAGCAACCACCACGAAGGUUGAAUUACACUACUUGUUAAAUUAAUAAAGUUACUAGUUGCUAUAAAGUAAGAGAUAAGAAAAUAUUGUGUUUUAAAAUAUUUUUGUUUUAAAAUAAUAUUUUUUUAUUUUUAAAAUUUAUUUUUAAUAUUAUUACAUCAAAACUAUAUAAAAAAAAUAUUUCAGAUUAUCAAUUCAACCGUUCUCCAAAGAACACUCAUACUCCAAUACCAGCAACCACUACGAAAGUUACCACUCUAAAUUCCAGCUCAAUAAUUUAUUCUUUGACAAUUAUUGCAUUGCUAAUAAUUUGCAAGGAAACAUACUUUUAACUAUAUUCAAUUCCAGAAUAUUUUUUUUUGAUAAAUAUUUGAGAAAUAUUGAUAAUCUUUUAUCAAGUUUUAUUUUUAUCAUUUUUAUUUGGAAUUAAUUCUAUUAUGUAUUUAAAUGUGUUUAGUUACCUUGUAAACUGUAUGUUAGAGUCCCUCAAAUAUUCUGGCCACAUCAACCACUAUAUUUUAUGCCAAGCAGUAUUUUGUCCUUGAACCCUUUGGCCCUCUAAAUUACCCAAAAAGGACAAUAAUUGAGCACAAGUGGUACAGGUCAGGGUUAAACUCAGCUUGCUAGAGCCAGUUCUCAAUUUUAGGCGCCAGUUCUCAAUUUUAGGCACCAGUUCUCAAUCGAAUUUUAGCAAAAUCUGGGCUAGGAUUUGAAACAAAUGUAGCUAUUUUUUCUCCUUUUAUUAUUAAAAAAUAAUAUUCAUGGAUUAAUUUUCGUAUAAUUUAAGAAAGUAAGUCCUUUAAUCAAAUUUUAGAGUGUUGCAAUUACUACGAAAGGAACGCAAAAAGACAUAAAGUUUUUCGAAGAGAGAAAUAAAAAGGAAAAGGAAAAGGAAACAACCCCCACUCCAUCUUUCCCUUCUUUCCAUGAAAAUCAAUUUUAGGAUUUUGAUUUUCAAUCAGUAUGAGUGAGAAAGAAAGAGAGGACAAGCCGACACUUCAAAGGUCCUCUUUCUCUUUCCUUGCUUUUUUUAACGCGUGGAGCCAGCAGUUGUUGCCACCAAAUUCCUUGCUCAGUAUUUGAAAAUUUUCCUAAUUUUUUUUCCUCUACGUGCUGUUACCUUUUACCUCUUUUAUAAUUAUUAUGAUUAUUGCAUUGCUAAUAAUUUGCAAUAAAGAUGAUGAACAUUUUUUAGUCAAUUCAAAAUAACAAGAUAAGGUUUGUUCAGGCUUUUCUUGGAACCUCGCUCAGGGAUUAGUUAGCGAGAAUAAGAAAAUGCUGUCCAAAUUAUACAAAAUUUAUUAUUAAUCAUCAAUAUUUAUUCUUGAUCAUCAAUAUUGAAUAAAGGCUUAUUUUCUAGUAUAAACUUUGAUGAGAUUGUUUAUAAAAAUAACCAAAUUGAGGUUUUUCAAUUACCUUUAAAUAUAUCAUAGUUUUAAUAGGCACACAGUAUAUUUUUUAAUUUAUUAGAAAAAACAUGUAAUGUAAAUUAUAAAAAAUAUUUAUUUUUCUGAUAUACAUAGUAAUAAUAAAUUAGAUGAUAGUAACUAGAAAAUAGAAAUUAGUUUAAAUAAGUGGUACCAAUUUCUAUUCUAUAUAUCUACGGAAGAAGUUCAAAGAAUAGAAUGAAAUCAAAUAUUCUUAAUAAAAGAGGAAAAAAAACACAAAAAGAAAUAAAAUAUGUUUUUAAUAAAUAUAAAAUAUGGAUAAAAUUAUAGAACAAGAAAGAGAAGUUAGAUACCUCAAAUUUUAGUAAGGAUCCAAUUGGAUUGUUUAAAAGAGGAGAAACUGUCAUUGACUGAUUUAAUUGGAAAGUAUUUACAAGAAAGCUAAAAGAAUUAAAGUUUUUUAAUUUUAAAAUUAUAAUUUAAAAUGGCAAGAAAAAAAUCAAUUAUUUUUAAAAUUGUUUUAAAAAAUAAAACAUCAACAAUUUUAUAAUAGCUAAAUAAAUCUAUUAAAAUAAAUUGAGAAUAACUAGUAAAAUCAAGCAAAUAAUUCAAAACCAACAAGAAAAUAAAUAUAUUUUCUAAAUCGGGUUUGAGUAUGUUUUCUAUCUUGAUUGACUGGCUAACUUGAUAAGUCUUUAUUAAGUGUAAAUCAACUUUAUUCUAAAAGUCUGUUUGAUAUUUUUUUAUUUAUUAAUGAAAUAUUAUUUUUACUAUACAGUUAUUAGAUCCCAGGCUAAUCUACUGGGUCGGUUUAAAUUUAAUAACUAUGGUUCAUAGUCAUAUAGCUAGUAGUUGCACUAAAGCUAAUAAUUUAAAAAAAAUUAAAUAUCAAUAAUUUUUGUUGGCAUCAAAUAAUUAAAAAUGAGAAUUUCAGAGCAGAGGGUUUAAGAAAUAUUAAAAUAGAAGGUUUUGUGUAAUUAUUAGAUAAUUGAAAUCAUCACUAAUCUCCUUUGUUCAUUUUCCUUUUUUAUUACCCUUACCAUGCACAAAACUUCAUGUCACUUAAUGAUACACUUGCUUUCAACGUUUAAACUGUUAAAGAAUAAUAUAAAUUAUAUUAUGAGAUCUUACCUAACAGCUUAAGUUAUUGGGUUGAGAUGGUUCUUUGAUAUGGUAUCAGAGCCUUGAUGAUCAAGCGGUCACGAGUUCGAAUCUCACCAUCUCUAUUUAUUUGAUAAAAAUUAAGCACAAAGUAAUGUGGAUUUGUGCAAGUUUUAAGCCCAAAUGGCUUUCACUUGAGGGAGUGUGUUAAAGAAUAAUAUAAAUCAUAUCCUGGGACCUUACCUAACAGCUUAAGUUAUUGGGUUGGGAUGGUUCUUUGAUAUAAUAGCAACCAUCAUGAAAUUACAACACUAAAUUUAUUCUUUAGCAAUUAUAUAAUGCUCGCUCUUUCACAGUUAUUGCAUUUCUAAUAAUUUGCAAGAAAAUUAACAUUCUUUGUCUCUCAAUCUGCACCUACCAUGAAAUUAACAUCCUUUCUCGACAUUUCCUAGCAAUUUAUGGAGGAAAUUUCCUUGUGCCCUCUCUUAUACAUUAUUACAAAAACUGUCAUUGAUUGAUUGACUUGCAAAAGUAUUUGCAAGAAACCUAAUGAAUUAGAGUUUUUAAAAUUUUUAAAUUAUUAAAAACAUCCAAUUGUUUUUUUUUUAAAUCAAGAAUAAAACAUCAACUAUUUAUAUAAUUACUAAAUAAAUCUAAUAAAAUAAAUUGGAAAUAACUAGUAAAUAAUUCAAAAAUAACUAGAAAAUAAAUAUAUUUUCUAUGAUUUGAGUAUGUUUUUGAUUCACUAAUUUGCUAAGUAUUUGCUAAGCAUAACCGAAAGAAAUUAUUUGCUAAUCACUCACUAAUUCAUCCAUGAUAUGUUCAAAAAAAUGGGUUAAAAAUUGGGUAACAACACCAUAUCUAUUUUAUUGAAAACCCGGGCCUGUAAUUGACCGGAAGAAAACCGAUCAACCCACUAAGUAGAUCUGGAACCUUGAUGACCCAACAAAACCUGGUAGAAAUUCAUUUUUUUUUCAAAUGUAUUUUUUCUUCUAGCUAGAGACCUCUAUUUUUUAUAUAUUUUUCAGUUGGUUACUAACCCAUUUCAAAGUUUACUAUAUAAAUAUUAGAAGAAUGUUUUAUUUUUUUAAUGUGGGAUUUGAAACCUUUUAGUAUAUAUACUCUUUGUUUACUAAAAAAAAAAUUAUGUUUUUUUAAUAUGAAAUAAAAAACCUUUUUGAUUUAAAUACUUCAACUCAAAAAAAUAAGAUAGUAUCUUUUUAAUGUGGAAUAAAAAAAACCAUUUGAAAUAAUCUUUUAAACUUCAUUAUUUAUAACAUGUAUAACUUAUAUCUUUCUUAAUUUUUUCAUAUGAAAUAUUAAAACCUUUAAUAUUUUUUUUUUCUUGGUUGACUUGGAUCAAUCCUUGUAACUCGAGACUCAGCUCCUUGAUUGAGUCGAUCUCGAGUCGGGUUUGAUAAUUAUGAAAAUAUUUAAUGAAAAAAUAUAUUUUUUUUGUAUAAAAAUGAAGGGUAAAAUAUUAAAUUAUGACAUAUAUCAUUAAUUAUUGACAUACUCUUGUAACAAGCAUGAAACUUUAUGUUAUUUCAUGAUACCCAUGUUUUUAACGCUUUACACCGCUUUAAUAAAUUGUUACAGUAAUAGCACAGAGAGAAGAACGGAUCAAGAGAAAAUAAUAAUGUAACCAUCUAGAAAGUGAUGCAAUGAUAAGAAUUUGGAACUAAAGAGUUUGUUUUUUUUUUUUUUUUCAGGUUCGAGUUUUGUGGUUGCUAAUAUAAUAGUUACUGGAGAUUUACAUGAUCGUUAACUUUAGGACUCGUAAGAUUAGUUUCGAGUUUUGUGGUUGCUAAUAUAAUAGUUACUGGAGAUUUACAUGAUCGUUAACUUUAGGACUCGUAAGAUUAGUCAAGAUGCAUGCAAACUGGACUGGAUACCUACAGGAAUCUAAAAAAAAAUAAUAAUGGAGAUGAAGCAAAAUCUCUGUUUGAUUUUUUCUUUUUUGUGUUUUUGGUACAUUGGUCAACAAUAGCUUGGAAGACUUUGGUAGCAGUAAGUAACCUGUUCUUCCUCAAUAAUGUUAACGCGUGGACCCUGUUGUUGUGGAAACUUUGCAGAGGAUCUUAAUAAAAACAAGUAAAUAGAAAAAUAUUAAUUUUUAAAUAUAAAAACUAGAAAACCUGAUAAUAUUGAAUAAAAAAUAAAAUAAAAAUUUAUUCUUUUCAAGUAGAAAAAAAAUAUAAAAGUUUAACAAUAUUGAAUAGAAAUAAAUAAAAUUUUUAAACUAAAUAAAAAUGAUAGAAAAAAAUAUUUAUUAUCUUAAAAAUUCUUAUAUUAAAAUCUUAAUUUAUCACAUGAACUGAGUCUAUAUGCUAAAAUCAGAAGAAAAAAAAAAACAAAUGUAACAAAAAAAAUUCUACACAACACAAUUAAUUAUAGGAUCGUAUAUUUCGAGACUAAAUUGAGGUUUUUGAAUUAUCUUUAAACAGAACAUGAUUUUAAUAGGUGCACUGUAUAUCCUUUGAAUUUAUUAGAAGUAACGUGUAAUGUAAAGUAUGAACCGCGUACCAUUAACUAGCCUUUUCAAUUGGAUUUUUUAUUUAAAUGAAAAGGAAAUUUUGUUUUAUUAUGAAAAUAAUAUUUAUUUUUUGAUAUAUCUAAUAAUAAUAAAAUAGAAAGUAGAUUGAAUAAAUGAUAUCAGUUCCUAUUAUGAUAUAUCUAGUAAAAGAAUAGAAUGAAUUAAAAUAUUCUUAAUAAAUAUAAAAGAUGGGGAAAUUACAUCACACGAAACUACCAAUAAGCAAAUUUUAAUCUGUAAUUAUGUAGGUCUUAAUUACAAGGGUUUUAAUUUAGGAAGUAUAUUAAAAAAUAAUAUAAAUUAUAUUCUAGAAUUUAUUUUAAUAGUUUAAAUUUUGAGAUGAAUUAAUAAGUCUUUACAAAUAAAAGAUAUAGUUUUACAAUAAAAUGCAUUUUUAGAAAUGAAAUUAUAUUAAAUUAAGCGUGCUCGAGAUUGUUCAAAUUAUUAAUUAAUUAUAAUUAACUUUAUGUCUUUAGAGGAAACAAAAGGGAAGGACAAAAUUAUUUUCCCCUCAACGAUAGACCUAGCCCACUUUCCAAACAAAAGGUAAAUAGAAUGAUGGUCUCAUAAAUUGCUUUUUUUCUUUCUAGCUCGUCAAGCAGUUUGGUCUCCCUCACUGGAAAAUCUCCUUUUUCCCUGCCUCUGUGCACGUAGGGGAAGAAGGAGAAUAGUAUCGUUCAAAAUAUCACUGUUUUGAAAUUUUUUUUGAAAAAAAUAAAAUGAAUUUAGGAAUAAUUUAAAAAUAGAUUAUGAUAUUUUCCAUCACUUUUUCUUAUCAUCAACUUCAAUAUGUUGCUUCUUUUUUAAAGGUUUAACACUAGAAAGCCUUUUUUUUGUUUCAUUCUUCAAAUCUUAAUAACAAACGUAUGUAAUAGACAAUUGAUAGUGAAAUGAAAAGGUUAAGGAAGAUGAAAUUGUAAGAAAAGAAAAUAAAUUUAAAAUAUUAUUAUGAAAAAAACAAAAAACAAUAAAAAAUAUGGACCAAAACUUAAAGAUAAAAAAAUUAAAGGUAAAAUUGAAAAAUAAUUCUAGUUUUAUAAAUUAUUAAAAAAAGAUUUCAAAUAUUUAAUGAUGAAAUCGAAAAAUAUUAACUUUAAAAAUUAGCCAGAAAAAUUCAAUAAAUAAUAAAAAAACAAACUCAAGAAAAUCUAAAUCAUUUAUAAAAUUAGUAAAAACUUCCACACUAAGUAAACAAAUAAAAACAAAACAAAUAGAAACAAGGAAGUAAAGUCUGUAAUUAAAUAUAUACGCGGAGACAAAAACAUGGGCAUGUGACAGGAGACAAAAGGGCAAAGGAAGGUCUCUAUCCAACUUCCUUUUCCUUUUUCUUAGAAAAAAAGUGACAAAAUCUGAUAGAACACAGAUUCCAUCUCUUUUUCAUUGGUUUUUUUGUUUUUUUAAUGUUUAUGCAUGUGGCUCAACCUUUCUCAGUAAUUGCAACAUGUUUCUUUGUUGAAUAAACUGCAAUACUGGUCUCCCUCACUGGACCCCUUUAUAAUGAGAAUCACACUAGGAAAUUUAAAAGUAAUUUGAAGUAUUAUUAAAGCCUAUAAAAAUAAAACUGAUAAUAAUAUAGUUGGGAUUUUAAAAAAAAAAUUGAUAAAAAACCAUAUAAAAAGAAAUUUGAAACAAAGUAAUCUUAAAAAACCAAAACAAACAUGCCAUGAAAACAAAUUUAAAAUAAACAAAAUACUUUAAAAAAAAAUAAUUCAACCAUUUCUUCAUAAAAAAAACAGUAAUUGGGUGUUACUUUAUGGUCAAAAAGUACAAUAAUGCAAAAAAAAAAAAAAAAAGAGUUUUAGGAUAUUGAUUUUAUUAUUUGUUAGGUAACUAUGUAAUCUAUACGUUGAUGUGGAAAAUAGGACUAAGUUUUUUUGUCAAAAGAGUAACUGUGUAAUCUAAUAUUCAUCUCUCAAAUCCCUAAUCCAAUUGAUCAUAUAAUUAAAUAAUUGUUUUAAUUAAUAACUAUAAGAAACAAACUCCCUUGUUAGUUCAUUACUUAAAUAAAAACUCAUGAUUGUCUAGCAAAGUAAAUAAAUUACUUAACCGGAUCACCAGAGGAGUUAUUUGCCAAAAUAAAAACUCAUGAUUGAGUUAUAUAACAGUUUAUAAAUCAUGCUAUCAUCUCCAUCACCAUAUAUAAAGCUAGACAAAAUAGGAUAAGACGGGAUUAAAUUUAAUUUUAGGAUAUAUUUGAGAAUAUGAUUGAAUCAUGCUUUUUAAAAUGUUUUUGAAUUAUUUUAAUAUGUUGAUGUCAAAAAUAAAUUUUAAAAAAUAUUAUUUUAAUAUAUUUAUAAUAAAAAAAUAUAUUUUAUAAAGCAAUUUUCACCAUAUUUUCAAAUAAAUUAAAAUUUUUCAAAUAAAUGGAUUGAUAUAUCGAUGACACUCUCUAGUCAGUUUUGAGAAUUUUGAAUCCAAACAAGUGAAUUUAUAUGCAUGCUUGUACAACUUGAUUUUCUCUUUAAUUUAAUCAACAAUAAUUUCUCAUACUCAAUAGAAAUUUGGGUUUAUCAUUAGGGUAAGACAACCUGUAUUUUAAAAUACUAUUGCCAAAAGAUCAUAUUAUUUAUUACCACAAGAAAGGACCAAAGUUAAUAAAUAAUAGCAUGCACGAAACUUCGUGAUACCCAUGUUUUCCACGUUUAAUAGAGUGUUACAGUAAAAGCACAGAGAGAAGAACGGUUCAAGACAGAACAAUAAUGUUAACGCGUGGACCCCAUUUGCUGUUUUUUCCUCUACGUGUUACCUUUUACCUCUUUUACCUCUUUUAUAAUUAUGAUUAUUGCAUUGCUAAUAAUUUCCAAGAAAGAUGAUGAACUUUUUUUAGUGAAUUCAAAAUAAACAAAAUAAGGUUUGUUGAGGCUUUUCUUGGAACCUCGCUCUGGGAUUAAUUAGCGAGAAUAAGAAAAUCCUGUGUAAAUUAUACAAAUUUCCUUGCUUUUUUUUUCCUGCAUGUGUUACAUUUUUAUCUUUUAUAAUUAUAAUUAUUGCAUUGCUAAUAAUUUGCAAGAAAGAAUAUUGUUUCUCUGAAAAGAAGUCUGAAUGUUUUUAGAAAGAAGCAGUCUUCAUUGCUUUUCAAAACCAAUCUCUGGAUCUAUUAACAAAAACUCUAAAUCGCGAGUAAUAGACACAAUUAAUUAUGCAUUGCUGUAAUAAAAUCACGUAUUUAUUUUCAAGUGGGAAAAAAUUAAGCCAUGAGGCCAGGGGUUCUUUGGUCUUUACCUAUUUUCGUUUUGGCCACCGAAUUUUAUUUUUUUUUCAAUAAAAGAGAAGGUUUUGUGUAAUUAUCAGAUAAUUGAAAUCAUCACUAACUCCUUUGUUCAUUUUCAUCUUUUUUUAUUACCCUUAGCAUGAUACACAGAAAAGAAGAACGGUCAAGAGAGAAGAAUAAUGGAGAUUACUGUGGAGAUGACGAAUCAAAAUCUUUGCUUGAUUUUCUGUUGUGUUUUUGGCACAUUGAUCAACAAUAGCUUGGAAGAGUUCGAUAGCAGAGGAAGAAAAAUAAUAGCAGUAACCUUUUCCACCUCAAUAAUGUUAACGCGUGGACCCAGUUGUCGUGGAAACUUUGCAGAGGAAGAAAAAUAAUAGCAGUGACCUUUUCUACCUAAUAAUUUGCAAGAGAGAAUUCUUUCUCUGAAUAUAUAGAAAAAAACUAUUAUUUUUUAAUAAAAACAACUAUAUAGAAAAAUUAUUACUUUUUAGGUAGAAAAACCUCAUGAUAUUGAAUAAAAAAAUGAAAUAGAAAAAUUAUUCUUUUCAAGUAGAAAAAAAUAUAAAAGUUUAGUAAUAUUGAAUAGAAAUAAAUAUUAAAAUUUCUAAACUAAAUAAAAAUAACAGAGAAAAAUAUAUAUUAUCCUAAAAGUUCUUAUAUUAAAAUAUUAAAAAGAACUGAGUUUACAUGCUUUAAACAGAAAAACAAUAAAAAAAACAAAUGUAACAAGAAAAAUUCCACGCAACAUAAUAUAUAUGAUAUAAAUUGAGGUUUUUAAAUUACCUAUAAACAUAUCAUAAUAUAUAUGGUACAUCCUUUGAAUUUAUUAGAAAGAAGCCAUUAACUAGCCUUUUCAAUUGGAUCUUUUAUUUAAAAGAAAAGGAAUAUUUAUUUUAAUAUGAAAAAAAUAUGUAUUUUUUAUAUAUAUCUAGUGAUAAUAAAUUAGAGGAUAGUAACAAGAAAAUAGAAAUUAGAUCAAAUAAAUGAUACCAAUUUUUAUUCUGAUAUAUCUAGCUAAAGAAUAGAAUGAAUUAAAACAUUCUUAAUAAAAAAAAAACAGAAAGAAAUAAAAAAAUAUUCUUAAUAAAUAUAAAAGAUAGGUGAAAUCAGAGAACAAGAAAGAAAUAUAGAAUCUCUUUCUAAGAUUUCUUGUUCCCUUUCCCUUCUUUACACGGCCUCCUCAAUGAAAAAGCAAACACCCCAUUUGAUUUUCAUUCAGUAUGAGAGUGAGAAUGAGAAUGAGAAUGAGAGAGAGGUAAUUUCGACUAUACAUAGAACUCGACAGGACAGAAGACUUAAAGAUAAAAUAGCUUUGAUUUACAACCAUGGCUUCAAGGGCCUGGAAUAGGACCAGGUACAAGUUUGUUUCUAUCUAAGAAAGCAAGAAGCUCCCACUAAUGCAUGCUCUCAACAAACUACCCCCAAUUUCGCCACUACAGCUCAAGUAGCUUUGAGUCAUUCCAACAAGUAGGAAUUGAAUUCAAAGGAAUAAAUCAUUAAAUGCGGAGUUGGUGUUCUCCUGUUUGUGGUUCUGAUAAAUGUAAGAACGGACAGAGAGAAGAAAUAGGAAAAAUCCAUGUAUCUAUUAGUUGGCAGCAGUUAUCAUUCGGCCCUUGCCGCCCACGAAAUCCCUUUAUCCUGCUGUUAAUUUUUUUAAAGACGCGUAUCAGGUGUUUGAUAAAAUUCCUCAACUGGAAAAAAAAACCAUGUUUAGAAUGCUUGAGUCCUUUACAAGUGGAAAGUGGGAACUAUCCACUUUCCCAUUUGAAAUCAUCACUAACUCCUUUGUUCAUUUUCUUCUUUUUUUAUUACCCUUAGCAUGAUACACAGAAAAGAAGAACGCGUGGUUCAAGAGAGAACAAUAAUGGAGGGGAAUCAAAAUCUUUGUUUGAUUUUAUGUUGUGUUUUUGGUACAUUGAUCAACAAUAGCUUGGAAGAGCUUGAUAGCAAUAACCUUUUCGACCUCAAUAAUUAAUGUUAAUGCGUGGAUCCAGUUGUUAUGGAAACUUUGCAAAGGAUCUGCAGGAAGAAAAAUGAAAAGCUUUUCGAACCUACAAUAUAGAGAGAGAAAUAAAUAAAUAAAAAGCUUUUCAAAACCAAUCUCAUGCCAAAUUGGUUUGUCUGUCCAGUACUUGAGCUUGCACACUUCGUUUAUAUUCAAACAAUAUUCUUCCGUUGCUUUUAUUCUUUACAAUAAUGUGAUAGGAAUAACAUUAAUAUUAUUAUAAAGAAAAAACUCCACCCACUUUGAAACACCUUUGAUGUGUUGAUUGAAAUUGACAAGUGAGUUUACUCACAUGUUGUUAUAUUGGUUUUGAGUUCAAAUAUGGAGAUUUUAUGAUUUAUUCACAUGAAUGCAUUCAUUUAUUCACCUAUUAACUAAAUCAUGUAUUCAAUAUGAAUGAUGGGAGAUUUUUAAUGUCUUCUGAAUACAUUCAUUUAUAUAUGAAAAUAAUUUAUGUGUGUGUAUAAGGUUAUUGAAAUGAAGAUUAUUAUCCUCCAGCUCAUCAUCAGAUCACACGAAAGGAACGCAGAAAGACAUUCCCUUUCUUGUCAUAAAGUUUUGAAUAGAAUGCCCAUCAAAAAGUACUUUCGUGCAUUAUUGUCAUAAAGUUUUUCAAACUUCCAAUAUAGAGAGAGAAAUUAAAAAAAAAAAAAAAGCAAAAGGAAACAACCCCCACCUCAUCUUUCUUGUUCCCUUUUCCUUCUUUACAUGGCUUACUCAAUGAAAAAGCAAGCACUAAGGCACCUUCUCCACAAACUACCCCCCAAUUUCGCCACUAUAUAAAUAUUAUGGAAAACAAGAUAAAAAGAAAUCUUUUGGUACAUAUAUAAAUAUAUUAUGGAAAUUAACAUGGUAUCAGAGUAUCUGUGAACUAUUGCUGGGAUUGGGAAGUCAUAAUUUUUGACACGCCUAAUCACAGUCUUUUUUGGAAAAAGAAGAAGAAGCCAGGCUAUGAAAAUAGGUUUCUGGAAAUUUACAUCAUUUGAUUUUGACAAUUGCAUGGAAAUGGUCUUCUUAGUUUGCCGUGUGGAAAAUCAUGUCAUUUACGGGACUGCUGGACAGAGUGUCUAUUGAUAAUUUUACCUUCUUUUAAAAUCUUUGACACUACUUGCAUUGACUGGUAAUUUCGCUCGAAAAUUUCUAGUAAUUUAUAAAGGAAAUUUUUACUGUAUAUGAAUUGAAAAACUAUUAUUGACUGACUUCUUGCAAAGUAUUUGUAAAAAAGCUAAAGAAUUUAAGUCUUUUAAUUUUUAAAAUUAUAAUUUGUUGAGGCUUAUCUUGGAACCUCGCUUUGGGAUUAAUUAGCGAGAAUAAGAAAAUCCUAUGCAAAUUAUACAAAAUUUAUUAUUAAUCAUCUAUAUUUAUUAUUGAUCAUCAAUAUUGAAUAAUGGCUUAUUUUCUAGUAUAAACAAUGUUUGAAAUAAAAUUGAUAAAAGAUAGUAUACAUAAUUAUUAAUGAUGGGAUUGUUUAUAAAAAUGACUAAAUUAAGGUUUUUUAAUUAUCUUUUAACAUUUUAUGAUUUUAAUAGAUGGGCUGUACAUCAUGUAAAUUAUAAAAGAAUAUUUAUUUUUCUGAUAUAAUAAUAAUAAUAAUUAUAAUAACAAUAAUAAUAAUAAAUUAGAUGAUACUAACGAGAAAAUAGGAAUUAGUUUGAAUAAAUGAUACCAGUUCCCAUGAUGAUAUAUCUAAAGUCCUAAACUUCAAGAAUUUCUCUUCUUUAUCUUUUGUAUUUUCUCAUUUUCUUGGCAUGCGCGCAGCUGCUUCAUGGAAAAAACGUUUCAGAUGCGGAAAAUAAAAGCGGAAAAAAAAAUCCCAAAUAUCAGCAAACAUCACAAGAGAAGCUUGAUCUCAACAAGAUGUUGCAGUCCACAGUCUUUCCAUUACAUUAUAAUUACUUCUAAAAAAAAUUAAUUUAAUUUUUAAUUAUAAGCCAUCAGCAACUACCUCAAAAUUACCACUCUGAAUUCCAGCUCAAUAUCGAUUAACAUGUGGCUACAGAAUUUGAAUUAAGUUCAAUUAUACAAAAUCCUGUGCAAAUUAUACAAAAUCCUGUGCAAAUUAUACAAAAUCCUGCUUUAAGUUCUUGGAACCUAGCUCUGAGAUUAAUUAGCGAGGAUAAGAAAAUUCAGUGCAAAUUAUAUAAAAUUUAUUAUUAAUUAUCGAUGUUCAAGAUUUUCUUAAAUGUUAUUUUAUUUUCAUUAUUAUUUAUAAAAAUCCAAAAAAAUUAAGAAAAAGUUUAAAAAUUCAAAAAUAUAUUUUUCUCGAGUCAAUCACAUUUUUCCAUCAAAACCAAGUCCACCGGGUCAAACCAUGUCGACUAGGGUAAAAAAUGAGUUUCGGGUCAAAACCGUCAUUUCCGACCAAAACCGAGCUCACCGGGUCAAUACGGGUCAAACCAUGUCGACCAGGGUAAAAAAUAAGUUUCGGGUCAAAACCGUCAUUUCCGACCAAAACCGAGCUCACCGGGUCAGGACGGGUCAAACCAUGUCGACCAGGGUAAAAAAUGAGUUUCGGGUUGUUUCGGGUCAAAACCGUCAUUUCCGACCAAAACCGAGUCAUUAGGUCAGUACGGGUCAAACCAUGUCGACCAGGGUAAAAAAUGAGUUUCGGGUUGUUUCGGGUCAAAAACUGUUAUUUUCGACCACAACCCGGUUCACCGGGUUGAUACCCAUCAAAUGUUUUUUUUGAUAUUCUAUUUCUUUUUUUGCGGUUGAAACCGGCUUUUUCUAAUACUAAUUUGAAUUUUUAAUUUUACCUAUAUAAAUAUUUAUUAUUAUAUAUAAUAAAACAAAAUCAAUAAUUCAACAAUUUGUCAGCGGAGCAGUUGAUUUUUUUAUUUAAGGUAGAUGGCAGAAGGGAAAGGAAAACAGAAAGAAAGAAAGAAAGAAAGAGAGAAGAGUGUACUAUUCAUAUCUUUUUUAGUUUUUCUUCAUGAGAGUAGGAUAUUGUUUUUUUUUAAAAACAAUAUGGAAAAUAUCAAACAUAUCCCAACCACUGGAUUCAAUAGUGUUAGUUCUGGGCCUUUAAUUUAAUAGGAUACAAUAGGACUUACCACACUAGAUUAAAACCCAAACACAUCUCAGCCCUUGAAAUAAUCUAAGCUUUGAUCCCGUUGCCCCACGUCACCCGGUGUACUGAGAUUUCGGUGCACCGCGUCACACCAGGUCAAACAUCUGCUCAUCCAGACCGUCCGAUCAACCUGCAGAUCGAGCCAAUCACAACCACACGAUCUUUUCAUCAGAGAUCCAACAGAUCACAGGCUUAAGUUGCACCGGUGUAUAGUGCUAGCGCUCACACCGUAGUAUAACCCAAAGCCUCUCUCUCCUAUCGCCGGCGACUCUCUCUCUCCUCCGAUCUCCCAUCUCCGGCUGUAUAAAGCCUCCAAACUACCACAGAAAGGUCGCCAACCUCCUACAAAGCAAAACACCGGCCUUUUUCAGCGUUUUCUCCGCCUUAUCUGGCCGCAAAAAGGCCGCGAUCGUCGCUGGCCAGCGACGCUUCAAGUCGUCGAUUCUCACUCAUCAGCCAUCAACGACCGUCAAGACCACCACCAUCAGAAUCCUCGACAUCAGAUCUACCAGGAUCGACCAUCGGUUGGACAGAAAUCUCACCGGAAAAUCUCGCCGCCGCCAACAGUAACCGCACGUGAGACACGCGCCACCAGUGGCAUUUUCGUAAUUUUUCAAGAAAUCCGAGGGUAUUUAAGUCUUUUACCUGGCACUCAUGUAUUUUUUUUAUCUAACAUUUUUUUAUUUUGUAUAAAAAUUUUCUUGCAUGUAGAAAAAAAAUAAAAAAAAAAUAAAUAUAAAAAACGACGUGGGUCCAACACCCAUCUUAUCAUAUUAUUGGUCGUGGGUGCAAAGCCCAACCUCUCAAGAAUAGUUAUACCUAUUUUUAAUGACAUCAAAAUAUUUGUUUUUAUAAAUAAAUAUUAUUUGUUGACACGUCUCUUUUUAUAGAAAAGGACCGAUGUCAAAAAAAGUUUAAAUACCAAACAAAUAUGGAUUAUGUUUAUAAUUUUGUUUUUUUUGUAAAUCAGACGUAAAUCUCCUUUUUAGGAUUAGACAUCGAUAUUUUAGACGAGUCUUCUAUUUUUAAGGACUGAUGUCAUUUUUAAUGUGUCUCUUAUUUUUAAGGACCGACGUUAACCAUUUUAAAAAAAUAAUAAAAUUACAAAUAAGCUCAAAAUACAAUAUCAUUUGAAACAAAAAAAAAACACAAGUAAAGAUAACUUUUCUUUUGAAAUGAUAAUUUAAGGGUGAUGUCUACCUUCCCUUAAUCAUAACUAACCCAGUACCUAAAUCUCUGGGACCAGUGUCUAAUUUGGGAUUUUUAGUUCCCUCAUAUUACUAGAUGGCGACUCCAAUAAAAUCUUAAUUUCCCCAAUAAAAAAUCUCUUUUUAUUAAAUAAACAAAAAAAGCGGAGCCAACAAAAAAAAUAGAGCCGUCGCCCGACAUUGUGUAUAAGUUUAUAUAAGCUUAUUUGAACUCGUACACGUUAAAGAAUAGUAUUGACCUUGAUAUUAGUUAUAAAUAAAUUGGUUUUUCAGGAAGAUAUUGUUUUAGGUUUAUUUCUUUAUUUAAGCUUGUUGAAUUCUAGGCCUUAUAUGAUAUUAGUUGAUGUGAUUUGGAUUUAUUUUUAAGUUAAUUUGUGUGUGGGUAGUAAUAAGUGUAUAUGAAUAUGAAUUGAAGUAAGUACCUUAACAAAUGUGAUGGGUUGGUGUGAAGCUUUGAUUAAUUGCUAUAUUUUGAUGUCAUGAGCAAAUACCUUAACAAAUUUGAAUAUUUGAAAGAUAAUAAAUAAAUAUUGAAGAAUUGUAUAGAAAGAAUCGUAUCGAAAUUAUGGAAAAUAUGAUUUUGUCCUGAAAUUCUAAAAAACAAUUAUAGUUUGGUCACUGGUUGUAAAUAAUAAAUUUUAAAAUAUUUUUUGAUAAAUAUUGAUGAUUUAUUAUCAAUUUUUAUUGUUAUCAUUUAAAUUUAAAAUUAAAUAUAUUCUGUAUUUAAAUGUGUUUCGUUUCUUUGGAAACUGCAUGUGUUGGGAAAACUAGGGACAACUAACCGGAUCAAUUCAGCGGAAUACAAUUCACAAUUCACAAGUCCCAAUCAUUUUUCCCUCUUUGUGCAGUAAAAACAGAAUCAAACAAUGAACAAAUAUAAUGCAACAAUCACACAAAUCAACGCCAAGAUUUUUACGUGGAAAACCCGAUGCGAGAAAAACCACGGGACCGGAGUCCACCUAAAAACUUCCACUAUCACAAAUAAUGGGUUCACAAUUGUUCUUCCUCAGAUUCAACUAAGGGCUACAACAUAUAUAUAUCAUCAAGAACAACUUAUUCUCGGAUUACAACAAGAUUAAAGAGAGUAAUGUUAGAGAAAAGCUCACAACACUGACAGCCCUGUUUUCUGUCAAAACGACCAGCUUCCACACCACCAAUCUUCAAUCCAACCGUUCAGAAUGAAGAGGAACGUGUCUAGAAGUUUCUGUCAAAAUCUCAGCCCGAUCCAACGGUGAAACAACUGGAAAAUGAAGAAAGAAGACAGACUGCUCUGCUGCCUCCUCUUCUUUCUUUCUCUCGGUUUUCUUCUCCUCUCUUCUCAAAUUUUCUACUACUAUCUACAGUAACCGUUUCAUUUAAUUUAAACCAAAGAGGCAGCCAGCUGCCUCCUUAAUUAAUGUGGUGGUCCCCCAUCACAUGGUGCGGGACCACACAACAGUAUGCUAGAGUCUCUCAAUAUAUUAAAAGGGCUAACUAUAAGGUAAAAUAAUGAUCAGUUUUAGUUAGCUCCUGCGGGACUUUGCAUUCUAUAAUUUAUGCUAUGCAUUCUAUAACCCUUGGCCCUCUAAAUUACCCAAAAAGGACAAUAAUUGAGCUUGGUGAUCUAAGAGCACAAGUGGUACAGUUCUCAAUCGAAUUUUAGCAAAAUCAAGGAUCCAAGAAAUGGCCUCUGUAACAUGGUAGCUAUGAUUUGAAACAAAUGUAGCUAUGUUUUCUCCUUUUAUUAUAAAAAAUUAAUAUUCAUGGAUUAAUUUUCAUAUAAUUUAAGAAAGCAAGUACUUUAAUCAAAUUUUACAUUGACCAUCCUCAAUGUGUUUAAAGUAAAUGUUAAUUACCAAGCUGUUGCAAUUAAACCUGACCGGCCCGGUAGGUUUACUGUUACCUUUUACCUUUUAUAAUUAUGAUUAUUGCCUUGAAUAUAUUAUUUGAUUAGUCCAUUUAUAGGUUGACUCUACUAUUCCUGCCUUGCAUUGACAGUAAAUUUCACUAGAAAUUUCAAGUAAUUUACACAGGAAAUUUCCUGGUGAUAAACCUGGAAUCUGAUUUUCAACUUUCGUAGGCACUAAAGUCCCAAACUUCAAGAAUUUCAGAAUAUCAAUUCAACCGUACUCCAAAGAACACUCAUACUCCAAUAUCAGCAACGACCACGAAAGUUACCACUCUAAAUUCCAGCUCAAUAAUUUGUUCUUUGACAAUUAUUGCAUUGCUAAUAAUUUGCAAGGAAACAUACUUUUAACUACAAGAGUCUGUUUGAUAUUUUUCCAACUUUUACUGUUUCACUUCAAAGUUUCAAUAAUUGUUUUUUCAUUACAUAUUCUUUCCAACGUGUAAUAAUUCGGAACCACUCGCAAUAAAUAAAGCCAGCAAAGGCAGAUGUGUUUGUCUAUAUAUACAUGAACCUGCUGAUUCGAUUUGAACACCCCAUUUCUCCGAUUCAAUAACUUCAGUUGCAAAACUUCUCUCUCCGAUUGCUGCAAUUUCAUAGCUAACUCUUUGUUAUACACAGGUAUAUAUGGCUAACUCUUCUUAGCUUCUUUCUUGUUUUAAUUUCAUGUCUCUACCAUUAACAAUAAUGUGAAAGCUUUGCUUGUUUCAUGUUUAACUUCAGUUGCUAUUGUCCUAUGCUUUCUCAUUAUUAAGCUUAAAUUGCUAAUUGAUUGUUCCUUAAAUUCUGCAGCUGAAAUGAGAGAGUCAGAGUCUUCUCGUUCUAUACCAGAAGGGGCCUAUGAUGUCUUCUUGAGUUUUAGAGGAGAAGAAACUCGCAAGACGUUUACUGGUCAUCUAUAUGCUGCCUUAGAUGAAGCAGGAAUCCACACUUUUCUAGAUGAUGUUGAACUUCCUAGAGGAGAAGAAAUCUCCGAGCAUCUUCUCAAGGCAAUUCGAGAAUCAAAGAUAUCCAUAGUUGUCUUCUCAAAAGGAUAUGCUUCUUCUAGAUGGUGUCUCAAUGAACUUGUAGAGAUUCUAAAGUGCAAAAGGAAGAAAACCGGUCAGAUUGUUCUUCCUAUAUUCUAUGACAUUGAUCCUUCAGAUGUGAGAAAACAGACUGGCAGUUUUGCAGAGGCAUUUGAUAAGCAUGAAGAGCGUUUUGAAGAGGAGUUGGUGAAGGAGUGGAGAAAAGCUCUUGAGGAUGCCGGAAACCUAUCUGGAUGGAGUCUCAAUGAUAUGGCAUAUGGGUAUUCCUUUUCUCUCUAAGAUUCACUUGCAGACGUUUAUGGAGUAAUUUUACAUUACAUUUUUCAAUGUGAAGUUAUAAAAUAUUUCUUUUUAGCAUACUUAAUUGACUUGCUAUCGAUGACUUGCCUUUUUUUCUGUGAGCAGGCAUGAAGCAAAAUUUAUCAGAGGUUCCUGAGCACCUCGUAGGUAUGGAUCGGUGUACUCACAAUAUUUAUGACUUUCUAAGUAAUGCAACAGAUGAUGUACGCAUUGUGGGCAUACAUGGGAUGCCAGGAAUAGGAAAGACAACUAUAGCAAAAGUUGUAUUUAAUCAACUCUGCAAUGGAUUCGAUGGAAGCUGUUUUCUUUCGGAUAUCAAUGAAAGGUCAAAACAAGUUAAUGGUCUGGCUCUUCUACAAAAGCGACUUCUUCACGAUAUUUUAAAACAAGAUGCUGCAAACUUCGAUUGUGUUGAUAGAGGAAAGGUUCUAAUCAAAGAGCGACUUUGUCGCAAAAGAGUUCUUGUUGUUGCUGAUGAUGUUGCUCAUCAGGACCAGCUAAAAGCUCUGAUGGGAGAUCGAAGUUGGUUUGGUCCCGGAAGUAGAGUAAUUAUUACAACAAGAAAUUCAAAUCUUCUUCGUAAAGCGGAUCGAACAUAUCAAAUUGAAGAAUUGACAAGAGAUCAGUCCCUUCAGCUUUUCAGCUGGCAUGCCUUUGAGGACACCAAGCCAGCAGAAGAUUAUAUUGAGCUUUCAAAGAAAGCAGUUGAUUACUGUGGAGGACUUCCUUUAGCUCUUGAUGUUAUGGGUGCUUGUCUGUCCGGGAAAAACAGAGAUGGUUGGAAAUCUGUAAUUGACAAAUUGAAAAGAAUUCCAAACCACGAUAUUCAAAGAAAGCUUAGAAUAAGUUAUGACUUACUGGACGGUGAAGAACUAAAAAAUGCAUUCCUUGAUAUCGCAUGCUUCUUUAUUGAUAGAAAGAAAGAGUACAUCGCAAAACUGCUAGGAGCCCGUUGCGGUUACAAUCCAGAAGUUGAUUUGCAAACUCUCCAUGAAAGGUCUCUGAUUAAAGUAUUGGGAGAGACGGUAACCAUGCAUGAUCUAUUACGAGACAUGGGAAGGGAGGUCGUUCGUGAAUCGCCUCCAAAAGAACCUGGAAAGAGGACCAGAAUUUGGAAUCAAGAGGAUGCAUGGAAUGUCCUUCAGCAGCAGAAGGUAAGAGCUCAAUGCAUACAUGAAAGCAUAGUCAAACUUAUUACAUAUAAUUGAAUGAAAGUUGUAUUGAUUUUAUUUUUUUAGGGUACGGAAGUUGUAGAGGGUCUUAAACUGGAUGUCAGAGCAUCAGAAACUAAAUCACUGAGCACAGGAUCAUUUGCAAAAAUGAAAGGCUUAAAUUUACUCCAAAUCAACGGAGCACAUCUCACCGGAUCCUUCAAAUUGCUUUCUAAAGAGUUGAUGUGGAUUUGUUGGCAUGAAUUUCCUUUGAAAUAUUUUCCAUCUGAUUUUACUUUGGACAAUCUAGCUGUUCUUGAUAUGCAGUACAGUAACCUCAAAGAAUUAUGGAAGGGAAAAAAGGUGAGAAACAUGCUGCAAUCCCCAAAAUUUGUCCAGUAUGUAAUUUAUAUUUACAUGUUAUGACUUUCUAUGAUUAAUUUUCAUUAUUUUUCUCUCUAUUAUAACAGAUUCUCGACAAGCUUAAAAUUCUUAAUCUCAGUCAUUCUCAGCACCUUCUUAAAACACCAAACUUACACAGUUCAAGUCUAGAGAAACUAAUUCUGAAAGGUUGCUCGAGUUUAGUUGAGGUGCAUCAAUCAAUUGAAAAUUUGACGAGCCUUGUUUUCUUGAAUCUGAAGGGAUGUUGGAGUCUGAAGACUCUCCCUGAAAGCAUUGACAAUGUAAAAUAUCUUGAAACUCUGAAUAUAUCUGGGUGUUCACAACUUGAGAAAUUGCCGGAACGCAUGGGUGAUAUGGAAUCCUUAACCGAGCUGCUAGCUGAUGGGAUUGAAAAUGAGAAAUGUCUCUCUUCAAUUGGACAAUUUAAGCAUGUCAGAAGGUUAUCAUUGCGUCGAAAUAGUUCGGCUCCACCAAGUUCUUCUUUGAUUUCAAUAGGUGUUUUGAAUUGGAAACGUUGGCCGCCAGCAUCUUUCAUUGAAUGGAUAUUAGUGAAACAUCUUGAGCUUUCUAAUAGUGGUUUGUCUGAUCGCGCAACUAACUGUGUUGAUUUCAGUGGUUUGUCUGCUCUAGAAAAAUUGGAUCUAGAUGGAAACAAAUUCUCUAGGCUGCCUUCUGGGAUCGGCUUCCUUCUCAAGCUAAGGGAUUUGUCUGUUGAGGGAUGCAAAUAUCUUGUAUCAAUCCCAGAUCUUCCCUCAAGUUUAACGCGUUUGGGUGCAUCUUAUUGCAAAUCAUUGAAAAGAGUAAGAAUACCAAGCGAGCCAAAAAAAGAACUAUAUAUAUUCCUAGAUGAAAGUCAUUCGUUAGAAGAGUUUCAGGACAUUGAAGGUCUAAGUAAUAGUUUCUGGUAUAUUCGUGUUGAUGACCGCAGUCAUUCACCAAGUAAAUUACAGAAGAGCGUUGUUGAGGUACUAUUUCUUUCUGUCUCUCUUUCGCACAAAAAGAAACACACAUAAUUGGCACAUACAUUGAUUAAUGUCUAAGAUCCUAGCAUUUCUUGAAAUCAAUAUGUAUACAGGCAAUAAUCAUUAUUAUUAUUAUUUUAUUUUAAAAAAUAAGUAUCAUCUUUAAUAAUAUUUUUUAUUUUUCUUAUUUAAUCUAAAAAAUUAAAUAUUAUCUUUAAUAAUAUGUUUUUAUUAAAUAUUUAAAGUCUGAUUGGUUUUAUUUUUUAUUUCUUGAUUUUAUGAUAAUAUAUUUAUACAGGCAAUGUGCAACGGUCGUCACGGGUAUUUUAUUCGCCACACUCCUGGUCAGAUGCCAAAUUGGAUGAGCUACAGGGGAGAAGGACGCUCAUUGUCAUUCCAUAUACCUCCAGUCUUCCAAGGCUUAGUUGUUUGGGUUGAUAAGGAUGAUAAGGAUGCUCACAUUAUUAUUAUUAUAAGAAAUAAUAGAAAUGGUAAUCUCUUGUUUCAAUGUACGAAAUGGUAUUAUCAUCCAAAAACUGGAAGUAUAAGAUACAUAAGAAGAAGUGAAAUGGCAAUGGAAGAUUACUGUGCAGAUGACGAAUUGGAACUAUACAUUUAUUCAAAGCCAUCACCGUUGGCAAUGGCAAUGGCAAUGAAGGAUGCUGUGAUGCCUUCAUUUGAACCGUCUACACCUAAGCAAUGUGGGGUCCAUGUGAUCGUAGGAAAGUCAGAUUCAUUUGAAGAGUUGGCAGUGGGAAGAGAUGCAGUGAUGCUUCCUCAUCCUCGUUGUGGUUCGAUUACAGCGUCUACACCUAAGCAAUGGAUUGACUUUUUAUUUGCGAAGCUGCAAAACCAUAACCUCAAUUUAAGGCUUUUUGGUAAGAAUACAUAUUUCCUUUAGUUAUUUCUAUUUUAAUAUUCUAUUUAAUUUAAGAGAUUAAAUAUCAUCUUUAAUUAUUACAUUUUUCUUAUUUAAUCUAAAAAAAUAAAUAUUAUCUUUAACAAUAUUUUUUAUUAAAUAUUUAGAGUCUGCUUGGUUUUAAUUAUUUCUUUUCUUGAUUUUAUGAUAAUAUUUUUCUUAUUUAAUAUAAAAAAUAAAUAUUAUCUUUAAUACUUAGAUCUAUCGAAUAUCACUUAAAAAAUAAAUUGUAACUUUAAUAAUUAUUUUUUGAAAAACAAAAAGCCAACAAUCACUAACUUAUUUAUUAAAAUCACUUUAGUUUAUCUAGAAAAUAUUGAAAUUGAUUUUUUUUUUACAUUAAAGUAAAAAAAAAAUAAUGUUUUUAUAUUUUAUUUCAAACUCGAUAUUUUAAAACAAAAAUGAAAAAGAUGUGAUUUUGACCUUUUUUAUUAUAAAGUAAGUUUUUUAAUUAAAAGUGAUGGGAAUUUGUUUUAUUGCAUGUACAAUCAUGCACAUUUAACUUUCUUUUUAAAUUUGAUGGUUUUUUAGUACGGGAAUGACUUGAAGAUGAUUUUACAUAGAGAUGCUUGAAGUUGCUCCAAAUCAGUACGAUACUUUCAUCUGACAUGUUGAUAUGUAUUUGUUGGCUUGAAGAUCAUUUUCCAUCCGCUGGACAACCUAGUUGUUAAUUAUUUUCCAAGGUACUUCUAUCUGAUGUAUUGAUAUGUAUUUGUUGGCUUGAAGAUCAUUUUCCAAGCUUGGAAGUUUUAUUGAAUGCUCUUUGAAAUCUUUUCCAUCCGCUUUUAUACUGGACAACCUAGUUGUUAAUUAUUAUCCAUGAUGUAAUUUAUAUUUUCAAGUUAUAAAUUUUGAUGAAUAUUGUUUCAGUUUUUUCCUCACUUCAAAAGAUGAAAAUCCUUGAUGUUAGUUAGAAAUAAAUUGGUUUUCUAGGAAGAGAUUAUUGAUUGGAAUAUAGUAUUUGAGUUGGUUCUACAUCAUUUACUGUUAUAAAUAAUUUAAAAUAAUUGAUGAAAAUUACCGAUACAUAGAAAAGUUGUGAGAGCAUCCUUAAUUAGUCUAGUAAGUAAAGUGUUGUUAGUUUUGACUAUAAGAUCUUGCUAUGUAUUAUUGCAUGGUUUUUACUAUUUUUAGGCAUUUUUCUUUUUGUAUAUACAACUUUUGUUUUUCUUGCCGCUUGUCAUUAGCUUUAUGGCACCAACACCAAUUAAUAAUAAAUCUUGAACUAUUAUUAAAUAAAGAAAAAAUAUAAACAUUGUUAAAAUACCAAACUUGAAUUGCUCAAUCCUAAAGAAACCCUAUGACAAUAAUCUAAUUUAGAAAAUAAUUAAUUUAUCCUUGUAGUCUAAGAAAAUAUAAACAUUGUUCUUUCUUAUUUUAUUUUUUUUAAUUGGAUUACCUUUAUCUUAACGAGUGAAAUAAAGAAACACUCCCCCCAUCUUUCUUGUUCCCUUUCCCUUCUUUACAUGGCUUACUCAGUGAAAAAGCAAUUAAACACCCCAUUUGAUUUUCAAUCAGUAUGAGAGUGAGAGAGAGAGAGGCCAAGGUGGUCCUUGAAUAUUUUCUUCUUUUUUGUCUCGCUCACUGGGGCAAACCAUUUUUUUCAACAUUUUGAAUAGCAUGCCAUCAAAAGGAAUUUUGUUCAAUCCCAAUCCCACAUUGUCUGUAGAAGUAUUUACUUUUGACUCCACACUUUGUUAUUUUCCAAUCCCUCCCCAGUUCUGCAACCAUUUCUCUACUUUCUAUGCUCUUGGCUUGCUAAAAACUAAAGAAAACACAUUGCUCUAGUUGCCUCCCUUCACUCUUCAGAUUGCUCAACAAAUCCCUUGAGACCUUCUCCAUAGUUAACACAUCACAUAAUGGGUACUCUAAAAAAUUUAGCCAUAAACAUUGAACACCUUGAGCAAUCAACGUGCCUUCCUUCACAAUAUCCAUCGCCCAUAAAUCUUUCUUUUGGGAUGUCGCGGGAGUUUAAUCUCCGAGUGUUAAAAUUAUGUAUAAAUUUCCAUUCUUUCCUUCCAUCCAUUACUUGUCCUCUAUGAAGAUUCUAUGUAUGAAAUCUCGGAAUCUUUUCGAGUAUAACUUGGGAUCAACAGCUGAGAUAGACGUGGGAUCCACUUGUAAGGACUUGUAUGCAUGCUCUAGCUUUUUGCUGAUAUCAUAAUCUUGGAGGAUGUCAAUGAUACCAAAGUGAAGAACUACAUCUCACAAUCACCAAAAUUCAAAGUAAAGUAACGGAGAAGAAAAUCUGAUAACAAUGAAUGAUCACUCAUUAACCACAGCGAAUCUUACGCUUUGAAAACACUUUUCACCAUCAAUUUUCCUUUUCUCAUUGAUUUUAAAUCUUCCAGGCAGAUAAAAUAGCAUUGGUUUCAUUCUGUUAAAAAUGGACCUAUUCAUCAGCUUAGGCAUCAACAACAUGUUGCAUCCACAAUCUUACUACUACAUUAUAAUUAUAAACAAAACUAAAAAAAUAUAUAUAUGAGGACAGAGUUAACAGACAUGCACUAAGAGUUAACAGACAAUUCUGUUAUAACAAACAAGUGAACAAUCUGUUUUCUCCAACCUUCCAGCAUUAUUCUCCCGAGCAUAUUCUGUCAGCUCAAGAUUAGGCAAUUCUGUUAACCAUGCUGUUAGCUCUGUUCUCUUUUGUUGUAUAUAUACUUGAUUGAUUGAUUGAUUCAAUAACAUUAUCUUUCUCUCUUCUCACCUGCCCCCUUUUUCUUCUCCUUUUACCUCUAGCUUCCAAUGCCUAUCAACACCACCAUCCUUAACACAAAUGAAUCUCACAGCAUGUUGAUUACCAUCAAUGUAGCAGCCCAAACUCCAUUAAAACUUACCUCCACCAGGCACCAACUAUCUAGCCUGGAAACUUCAAUUCCAGACUCUAUUCAUAGGACAUUUGAUUGAGGUCUCCACAAACAUUGAAACACCGCAAUUUUUCAUGAUAAAAUCCAAAGGAUUGGUACUUUGGUGUUUGAGGGGCUGGUAAAUGAAAGAACAGAUCAAGAGAUGACAUCCCUCUAUACCGCUGUUAUUCCUUUCAAGGUGCGUAUCAGGUGUUUGAAAAACUUCCUCAACUUAAAAUAAAAAGGUCUUGUUUACAACGUUUUUUAGUCCUUUACAAAUCUUCCAAUGUGUUGCGUUUACUGAAUAUGAUAGUGGGAACUUAUUUAUCAAGAAUUAACUACUCAGAAGAAAAUGUAAAGACGCAAUAAUGAUUUUUUUAUUUUAGAUUCCAUAGUCUACAAACUUGGAAGCAUACGGACCAGUCAGCUGGUAAAUGAAAGAACAGGGAUCAAGAGAUGAAAUCCCUCUAUACCGCUGUUUGAUACAAAAGUUCAUGGCCAAGUAAAAGAUGUUUAUUUUGGAUGUAAUAAAUAUUCAUAUUGCAACAUAAUAGUCAUCUCUCAAAUCCAUAAUUCAAUUGAUCAUAUAAAUAAUUGUUGAUUACUUAAAUAAACAAUUAUAUAAUUAAAUACUUAAUUAUAAAUUAAAGAGAUGGACAAUUAUAUAUUUCUAAAAUCUUAAUUACAAUUAUAUUAUAAUUUCUUCCCUAAAAUUUUUCAAAAUACAGUAUUAGAAUUACAUAAUAAAAUACAGUAUUAUAAUUUCUCAUCUAAAGGUCCAGCAUACCCUGGGAAUCUGAUCGGGUCAAGCUACGAGCAAUUAGGAGGCAUGACCAUCACCCACAUGUAACUUUGCUAAUAAUAUAUUACGGUUGUCAAAAUUAAUUAUUAUUAGCAAAAACUUAUUUUAUUUGUGAAUCUCUCAACCGUUGGAUUUAGAUAUGAGGAUAAGAGAUUGUGGGCACCUCUCUUUUUUAAAAUAACUAAAAUCUAAAUCAUCGGACGNNNNNNNNNNNNNNNNNNNNNNNNNNNNNNNNNNNNNNNNNNNNNNNNNNNNNNNNNNNNNNNNNNNNNNNNNNNNNNNNNNNNNNNNNNNNNNNNNNNNCCGGGAUUAUUUUAACUCAGUGAUCCUUCCCAGGUAGGCCCAGGUCACAUUGAUUAUGUUAAAAAAAAAAAAAAUCUAAUGUCUUUACCAUUAUAUUAUAAUUAUUUAGGAGGAUAGUUGAACAAUACUUUUUUAAAAAAAAUUAAUUUUUGACGAGUAAAAUAAUGUGGAACCAAUCGCAAUAAAUAAAGCCAAAAAAGGCAGACGAGUGUGUCUAAUUCAUGACUUGCAUUGACUAAAAAUUACCACUAGAAAUUCCUAGUUUUAUCCUAUAUAAAGAAUACAAAAAAGGCAGACGAGUGUGUUUCGUGGUGCUUUCUCGGCCUGCAAAUGAAUAGAAAGCAUAUCCUUUUAUCCUAUAUAAAGAAUAAUACAAUUAACAAAGCAUAUUUCAAUAUCCUUGCUUUACUCUCCAGCUAACCUGAUACAUAUUUCAAUGUCUCAAGACAUACGUAUGCCAUUGAUAGAAAGGUGUGUUCAAGCAAAAUCUUUUUUUAUCUGUAGCGACCUCAAUAAUGUUAACGCCACGAAAUUACCACUCCAAAUUCCUUGUUCUUCCUUUUUAUAUUAUUAGAAAAACUGUGAUUGACUGAUUUAAUUGGAAAUUAUUUGUGAGAAAGCUAAAAAGAAUUGGAGUUCUUCAAUUCCUAAAAUUCUAAUUUUAAAUUGUAAAAAAAAAUUAAUUAUUUUUAAAAUUAUUUUAGAAAAUAAAACAUUAACUAUUUAUAUAAUAGCUAAAUAAAUCUAUUAAAAUAAAUCGAAAAUAACCAGUAAAAUCAAGCAAAUAAUUCAAAUAUAACAAGUAAAUAAUUAUAUUUUUUUGGUCUGAUUUGAGUAUGUUUUCUUGACUUGCUUUAGUGUUCAUUAAACAUAAACAAACUUUGCUCUAAGAGUCUGCUUAUCAAUAAAAUAUUACUUUUACUGUACAUAAUAGAAAUAAUUUGGUUACCCGUCGACACUUACGUCACUUUACUCUUCAAUCGAUGUAAUUUCAUAGCUUUUCUCAGCAGGUGGGAUCCAACUAAUUUCAUAAAUCAUAAUUCUUCCUAAGGCGAUGCCAAAUAGGUGCCAAGAGUAUACCGCAUUAAGCGAAAACAUGCUGUCGCCAUAGUCUUACAGCUAANNNNNNNNNNNNNNNNNNNNNNNNNNNNNNNNNNNNNNNNNNNNNNNNNNNNNNNNNNNNNNNNNNNNNNNNNNNNNNNNNNNNNNNNNNNNNNNNNNNNCCAUUAAUAUUUGAUUGUUAUAAUUUAAUUUUUUUUUAAAAGCAAUUAAUCUUCAUUCUCUUUAUUUUUUUUCAAUCCAUUUAGUAAUUUGAUUUUUUUUUUUAAUUUUACCCUUCAAUUUAAAAUUUUAGUUUGUCCUCUCAAUUUUUUUUCAAAUGAUGUUCUUUUUUCUUAAUUGUUGUUUUUUUAUCCUUUAAUUUUUUUUAAUUUUAUUAUUCAACAUUUCAUUAAUUGAGAUUUGGUCUCAUUAAGCCCUACCCAAGAGUCAAUCUGGGAUAAUUAUUAAGUCACAAGUCGAGUAAGUUGACUCGAGUUAACCUAAGUUAACCAAAUCGUUUUAUUUUAUAAAAAGCCAAAAUGAUACCAUUUUUUUUAAAAAAAAUAAUAAACAAGUUUUGACCAUGUUUCGGCUAGGUUUUCUCAGGGUUAACUGAAAUAUUGGUCAACCCAGGUUUUGAUCGUAUUAUACUGGAGUAAUUCUCCGUCAAUUUUUUUUGAAACUCGAGCCAGUUUCAGCUAAAGGUCACUUAGAACACAGGUCAACCCAUAAGUUAAACCAAAUUUUUAAAUAAUAACUUUACAAAUAUAGUUCUUUCAAUUUAAUUACUAUCUCAGAUUAAGAUUUGAAAAAUUAACAUGGAUUUCUUUCGUUAUUCAUUUUAAAAAAGAACUCGUUAGUUUGCAAGUCCACGUGUCAAAUUUGGAAAAUCAUAUGGCCCAUUGAUAGAAAGGGGUGUUGAAGCAAAAUCUUUAUUAGCAAAGCCUGUUCGACCUCAAUAAUGUUAACGCGUGGACCCAGUUGUCGCAACCACCGCGAAAUUACCGCUCCAAAUUCCUUGUUCUUUCUCCGUAUAUUAUUUUUGAAAAACUGCCAUGUAUUUAAUUGUAAAGUAUUUGCAAAAAAGCUAAAAGAAUUAUAGUUUUUUAAUUUUUAAAAUUAUAAUUUUAAAUUGAAAAAAAAUAAUUAUUUUUAAAAUUGUUUUAAAAAUAUAACAUCAACUAUUUAUAUAAUAGCUAAAUAAAUAUAUUACAAUAAAUCAAGAAUAACAAGUAAAAUCAAGCAAAUAAUCCAUAAAUAACAAGAAAAUAAGUAUAUUUUCUAGAUCUGAUUUGAGUAUAUUUUUUAUCUUGAUUGACUGACUUGCUAAGUUUUUGCUAAGUAUAAACUAAUUUUACUCUAAGAAUUUAUUUGAUAUUUCUUCACUUAUUAAUGAAAUAUUAUUUCUACUGUAGAAAAUAGAAAUAAUUUGGUUGACCAUCGACACUUAUGUGAUUGAUUAUUGAUUAUUUUACUCUAAGAUGAAUAUUUUUUUGUUUGCAUCAAAUAAUUAAAAUUGAGAAUUUCAAAGCAGAGGGUUUAAGGAAUAUUAAAAGAGAAGGUUUUACGUAAUUAUUAUAUAAUUGAAAUUGUCACUAAUCUCCUUUGUUCAUUUUCUUUUUCUAUUACCCCUUCCAAUCAGCAUGCAAGAAACUUUCAACGUUUUACACUGCUUGUUCACUUAAUAAAACUAUUACUUGCUAUAAAGCAAGAAAUAAUAUUCUUUCUCUGAAAAGGGCUUGAGAAAACCCUAAGCAUGGUAGAUAAUCUCUUAUAGGAAUCUCUUUAUUAAAUAAUCAAAUAUCAAAGUCUAUUUCCAAAGACUAUUACUACAGUUUAUAUAUAUAUAUAUAUAUAUAUAUAUAUAUAUAUAUAUAUAUAGAAACAACUAAAUAGAGAAAUUAUUAUUUUUUAAAUAGAAAAGGUUGAAAAGCUUGAUAAUAUCGAGUAAGAAAUAAAAUAUAAAAAUAAUUCUUUUUUAAAUAAACAAAUAUAAAAGUUUAAUAGUACUGAAUAGAAAAAAAAAUAGAAUUUCUAAACUAAAUAAAAGUAACUGAAAAAAGUAUUUAUUAUUCCAAAAAAUUAGAGUUUUUUAAUUUAUAAAAUUAUAAUUUUAAAUUGUAAAAAUAAUUCAAUUAUUUUUAAAAUUAUUUUAAAUAAUAAAACAUCAACUAUUUAUAUAAUAGCUAAAUAAAUCUAUUAAAAUAAAUUGAGAAUAACUAGUAAAAUCAAGCAAAUAAUCCAAAAAUAACAAGCAAAUAACUUGUCAAGUCUUUAUUCAGCACAAACGAACUUUAUUCUAAAAGUAUAUUUGAUAUUUCUUCACUUAUCUAUGAAAUAUUACCUCUACUGUACAGAAUAGAAAUAAUUUGAUUGACCGUCGAUACUUAUGUUAUUGAUUAUUGAUUAUUUGGAAGAAGAAAUUGUAUUCAUUCUUCUUAUUUAUUUUUAUUAUUAACGUGGAUGUUCAGGCCAGCUUGCGCACACCUCGACUAAUCCCACGAGUCCUGAAGUUAACGAUCAUGUAAGCCUCCAGUGACCAUCAUAUUAGCAACUAUAGAGCUCGAACCUGAGAUUAUAGAGGGAACAAACCUCUUAAUCUCAAACUCUUAUCACUAGAUCACCUACUUUACUAUUCAGCUCGUUGUAAUUUCAUAGCUUCUCCCAGGUGGACGCAACUAAUUUCAUAAAUUAUAAGUCUUCGCUAAGCAUAAAUGAACUUUAUUCUGAGAGUCUGAUUGAUAUUUUUUCAUUUAUUAAUGAAAUAUUACUUCUAUUGUAUAGUUAUUGGGUACCGAGUCGAUCCACCUGGUCAAUAGAUGAACGGUACAUUCUUUGAAUUUAUUAGAAGAAAUAUGUAGUGUAAAUUAUAAAAAAAAUAUUUAUUUUUUGAUAUAUAAUAAUAAUAAUAAUAAUAAUAAUAAUAAAUUAGAUGAUAGUAACAAGAAAAUAGAAAUUAAUUUGAAUAAAUGGUAAGAGUUCCUAUUCUAAUAUAUCCAGGGAAGAAGUUCGAAGAAUAGAAUGAAGUUAAAUAUUCUUAAUAAAAGAAAGAAAUGAAAUAUAUUUUUAAUAAAUAUAAAAGAUGGAUAAAAUUAGAGAACAAGAAAGAGAUAUAUAAUCUUUUUGUAAGAACUUCUAAAAAUUUAAUUACAAUUCAGAAUUUCUUCCUUAAAAAUAUCCAAAAAAUCCUAUUAUAUAUGAAUCAAGACAACAGUAGAAUAACUUUUACAUAUUUUUCAAGUUUACUUAGAAUAGCAGUGGAAUAAUUCUUUUAAUAUUUAAAAAUUAAAAAAAAAACUGUGUAGUUGUUUUGUAUAAAUUCUAAAGUUGAGAACUCUUUUGUGCUUGGUAAAAUAUGAUUUUCAACUUUCGUAGGCGAGCACUAAAGUCCCAAGCUUCAAGAAUUUCUCUUCUUUUCCUUUUGUAUUUUCUCAUUUUCUUGGCAUGCGCGCAGCUGCUUCAUGGAAAAAACGUUUCAGAUGCGGAAAAUAAAGAUAAAUGUGGAAAAUAGAAGCGGAAAAAAAAUCCCAAAUAUCGACAAACAUCACAAGAGAAGCUUGAUAUCAACCACAUGUUGCAGUCCACAGUCUUUCCAUUACAUUAUAAUUACUUCUAAAAAAAAAUUUAAUUUUUUUUAAUUAUACGCCAUCAGCAACUACCUCAAAAUUACCACUCUAAAUUCCAGCUCAAUAUCGAUUAACAUGUGGCUAAAGAAUUUGAUUGCUGCUCAAUAUUUACCAAUACGCGCUUGAGAAAUUUCCUGCACGUGUUACAUUUUUAUCUUUUAUAAUUAUAAUUAUUGCAUUGCUAAUAAUUUGCAAGAAAGAAUAUUGUUUCUCUUAAAAGGGCUUGAGAAAACCCUAAGCAUUGUAGAUAAUCUCUUAUAGGAAUCUCUUUAUUAAAUCAUCAAAAUAUCAGAGUAUAUUUCCAAAUACUAUUACUAUAGUUUUUAUAUAUAUAUAUAAAAAUAGAAACAACUAAGUAGAGAAAUUAUUAUUUUUUAAAUAAAAAAACUAGAAAAGCCUAUAAUAUUAUUGAAUAAAAAAUAAAAUAGAAAUUUAAUCAAUUAAAAGUUUAAAAAAAAAUACUGUUUAACUGUUUUGUAUAAAUUCUAAAGUUAAAGAGUCUUUUGUGCUUGGUAAAAUACGUCACACUAAAAUUAAUAAAUAAUAACACAAGAAAGGACCAAAGUUAAUAAAUAAUAGCAUGCACGAAACUUCACGAUACCCAUGUUUUCCACGUUUUACACUGUUUUAAUAGAUUGUUACAGCAAGAGCACAGAGAGAGGAACGGUUCAAGACAAAACAACGAAGGAGGGGCAGAUGCUCAAGUUGUUGCAACCACCAUGAAAGGAACACAUUAAUGUUAACGCGUGGACCCAGUUGCUGCACCAGCACGAAAGUACUACUCCAAAUUCCAGCUCAAAUUGAAUAAUGAUUUAUUUUCUAGCAUAAAUUAUGUUUGAAAUAAAAUUGAUAAAAGACAUAAUUACACAAUUAUUGAUGGGAUCGUAUAUAAAAAUAAUUAAAUUGUGAUUUUUUAAUUAUUUUUAAACAUAUCAUGGUUUGAGGUACAUCAUGUAAAUUAUAAAAAAAAUAUUUAUUUUUCUGAUAUAUAUAUAGUAAUAACAAAUGGUUAGAAUGCUUUAGUCCUUUUCGAGUGGAAAGUGGUGUGAAAGUGGGAACUACUGUGAGAGCUUUAUGCCACUUUCUAAAUCGCGAGUAAAGUCUGAAUGUUUUUAGAAAGAAGCAGCCUUCAUUGCUUUUCAAAACCAAUCUCUGUAUCUAUUAACAAAAACUCUAAAUCGCGAGUAAAGUCUAAAUGUUUUUUAAAAAGAAGCAGUCUUCAUUGCUUUAAUAAAUUGUUACAAUAAAGCACUGAGAGAAGAAUGGUUAUACCGUUGAGCCGGGUCGAGUUUUAAAAUUAUAAUUUAUAUAUAAAAACAACUAAAUAGAAAAAUUAUUAUUUUUUAAAUGAAAAAACCAGAAGAGCUUAAUAAUAUUUAAUAAAAAAAUAAAAAUGAAAAAAUAUUCCUUUUUAAGUACAAACUAAUUUAAUAAUACUGUAUAAAAAAAUUAAAAUUUCUAACCUAAAUUAAAAAAAAUAAAAAUAACUGAGAAAAUAUUUAUAAAGAUAACGGUAUGUAAAUCUAGGAACUAAAAAUAAUACAACUACAUUGAUUGGAGAUUUCACUCAGAAUUUCUAGUAAAUUAUAAAGGAAAUUUCCUAGUGCUUUUCAUGUACAUGAAUUUAAAAAUUAUCGUCGCGGAACUUACUUGCAUUGACUGACUUGCUAAAUAUUUGUGCUCGAAAUUUCCAAGCAAUUUAUGGAGGAAAUUUCCUUGUGCUCUCUCUUGUACAUUAUUAGAAAAGCUGUCAUUGAUUGAUUGACUUGCAAAAGUAUUUGCAAGAAAGCUAACGAAUUAGAGUUUUUUAAAAUUUUAAAUUAUUAAAAAAAUCCAUUUUUUUUUUAAAUCAAGAAUAAAACAUCAAGUAUUAUAUAAUUGCUAAAUAAAUCUAAUAAAAUAAAUCGGAAAUAACUAGUAAAUAAUCCAAAAAUAACUAGAAAAUAACCUUUUCCACCUCAAUAAUGUUAACGCGUGGACCCAGUUGUUGUGGAAACUAUGCAGAGGAAGAAAAAUGAUAGAAAAAUUUGCAAGAGAGAAUUCUUUCUCUGAAUAGAAAAAAACUAUUAUUUUUUAAAUAAAAACAACUAUAUAGAAAAAUUAUUACUUUUUAGGUAGAAAAACCUCAUGAUAUUGAAUAAAAAAAUAAAAUAGAAAAAUUAUUCUUUUCAAGUAGAAAAAAAUAUAAAAGUUUAAUAAUAUUGAAUAGAAAUCAAUAAAAUUUCAAAACUAAAUAAAAAUAAUAGAGAAAAAUAUUUAUUAUCCUAAAAAUUCUUAUAUUAAAAUAUUUAAAAGAACUGAGUUUACAUGCUUUAAACAGAAAAACAACAAAAAAAAAAAACAAAUGUAACAAGAAAAAUUCCACACAACGUAAUAUGAUAUAAAUUGAGGUUUUUAAAUUACCUAUAAACAUAUCAUAAUAUAUAUGGUACAUCCUUUGAAUUUAUUAGAAAGAAGCCAUUAACUAGCCUUUUCAAUUGGAUCUUUUAUUUAAAUGAAAAGGAAUAUUUAUUUUAAUAUGAAAAAAAUAUUUAUUUUUUUGAUAUUUCUGGUAAUAAUAAAUUAGAGGAUAGUAACAAGAAAAUAGGAAUUAGAUCGAAUAAAUGGUACCAAUUUGUAUUCUGAUAUAUCUAGCCAAAGAAUAGAAUGAAUUAAAACAUUCUUAAUAAAAAAAACAGAAAACACAGAAAUAAAUAAAAAGAUAUUCUUAAUAAAUAUAAAAAAUAGGUAAAAUCAGAGAACAAGAAAGAGAUAUAGAAUCUCUUUCUAAGAUUUCUAAAAACUUAAUUACAAUUACAUUAUAAUUUCUUCCUUAAAAUUAUUCAAAAUAUAGUAUUAGAAUUGCAUAAUGCUAGGUUUUAGUAUAUAGUUGUUUAUAUUGUUAAAGAGUCUCUCCUAAAACAAAUAAUAAAAAUAUUGUACAACUCUUUUGAAUGAAUUGUUAAUGCACGGACUGUUUUGGGUCCUGACUUGGUUGAUUUAACUUGAAUGUAUUAUUUGAUUGGUCCAAAUAAAAGUCGACUCGAAAUUUCUAUUAAUUUACAAAAGAAAUUUCCUAGUACUUUAUGCUGUAUAUAAUUUGAAAAAUUAUGACUGACCGACUUACUUGCAAAGUAUUGGCAAGAAAGUUAAAGAAUUAGAGUUUUUAAAUAUUUAAAAUUAUAAUUUUAAAUUCUAAGAAAAAAAUCAAUUAUUUUUAAAAUUGUUUUAAAAAAUAAAAGCAUCAACUAGCUAAAUGAAUCUAUUAAAAUAAAUAAAAAAAUAAUUAGUAAAAUCAAGUGAAUAAUCCAAAAAUAACAAGAAAAUAGAGAUAUUUCCUAAAUAUGAUUCCAGUUUGUAUUUGCUAACAUAAAUAGCAUACACGAACUUUAUUAUAAUAGUAUAUUUGAUAUUUAAAAAAAAAACUUAUAUAUAUUAUAUGGGUUGGAAACCCAUUUUUUAUUAAAUUUUAAAUUUUAUAUGUUUAAAAAUAUUUUUUUAUAUUUUUUAAUUAUUUUAAUAUGAUAAUAUCAAAAAUAAAUAAAUAAAAUUUUUCUAACUCUUACUACUUCUGACUUGCUAUGACUCGAAAUUCGUGGUGCUCUCUCCUGCAAAUGAAUACAAAGCAUAUCCUUUCUCUUUCUCCUAUAUGAAGAAUACAAUUAGAAAUUUCCUUGGUUUACUCUUCAGAUUACUUUUCCAUGCACGAAACUUUAUGCCAAUUAGCAACCACUGUGAAAUUACAACUCAAAAUCCCAUGAAUAUAUAAAAAAAAAUUAGAAUUUGACUAGAAAAAUUCUAUCAAAUUCUCUACUUUGUUAGUGUUCAUUUUCCUUCUUUUUUUACCAUAUCUUCAGUUGGGACAAAAUUAUCUUCCCCAAACGAUAGACCUUUAUUUUCCUUCUUUUUUAGUUUAUUAGUAAUUACAUUAAAGAAAAAUAUUAAUUAGUAAUUUUACAUUUUUUUUCUAUAUUAUAAUUAUCAAAUAACCCUUAAAAAAUUUUAUUUUAACCUUUUUUUUCUCUCUUUUUUUUUCAAUUUAUUUGUUAAUUUAAUUUUUUUUUUAAUUUUACCUUCCGGUUCAAAAUUUUAGUUUAUUCUCUCAAUUUAUUUUUCAAAUGAUGUUCUUAUUCUCUUAAUUGCUAUUUUUUAUCCUUCAAUCUUUUUAUUUUAUCAUUCAACAAUUCAUUAAUUGGGAUCUGGUCUCAUUGGUUUUUCCUAUUGUUUCUAAACUCUACCCAAUAGUCAAUCCAGUAUAAUUAUCAAGUUACGAGUUGAGUGGAUUGACUCGAGUUAAUCUAAGGCAACCAAAUCUUUUUGUUUUAUAAAAAGCCAAAAUGAUGCCAAUUUUUUAUUUUUAAAAAAUAAAAAACGAGUUUUGAUCUUGUUUCGGCUAGAUUUUCUCAUGAUUAACUAAAACAUUGAUCAACCUAGAUUUUUUAUUGUAUUACAUUAGAUCAAUUCUACCUCAAUUGUUUUUGAAACUCGGGCCGUUUUAAACUAAAGAUCACCUGGGACACAGUUUCUUGGCGCUUUGUACUGUAUAUAAUUUGAAAAACUGUGAUUGACCGACUUACUUGCAAAGUAUUUGCAAGAAAGCUAAAGAAUUAGACUUUUUCAAUAUUUUAAAUUGUAAGAAAAAAUCAAUUGUUUUUUUUAAAUUAAAAAAUAAAACAUCAACUAUUUAUAUAAUAGCUAAAUGAAUCUAUUAAAAUAAAUAAAAAAUAACUAGUAAAAUUAAGUAAAUAAUCCAAAAAUAACAAAAAUAAAUAAAAAUGUAUUUUUUAAAAACUUUUAUCUUAUAUGGGUUGGGGUUGCUAUGCAACUUAACCGGGAUCACCAUGAUUGUCGAGUAGAGUAAAUAAAUUACUUAACCGGGAUCACCAGAGGAGUUAUUUGCCAAGAUUAAGUUAUAUAACAGUUUAUAAAUCAUGCUAUCAUCUUCAUCACCAUAUAUAAAGUUUUAUAAUAAAAAAAUAUUUAAAAAAACAAUUUUCAUUACAUUUUCAAAUUAGUUAAAGUUUUUCAAAUGAAUGGAUUGAUGUCGAUGACACUCUCUAGUCAGUUUUGAGAAUUUUAAAUCCAAACAAGUGAAUUUAUAUUGUAUAUGGAUCAAGCAAGCAUGCUUGUACAAUAAUUUCUUAUACUCAAUAGAAAUUUGGGUUUAUCAUUACAAACCGUAUUUUAAAAUACUAUUGCCAAAAGAUCAUAUUAUUUAUUAAAACAAGAAAGGACCAAAGUUAAUAAAUAGUAGCAUGCUCGAAACUUCGUGAUACCAAAGUUAAUAAAUAAUAAAGUUAAUAAAUAGUAGCAUGCUUUAAAAGAGUGUUACAGUAAAAGCACAGAAAGAAGAACGGUUCAAGACAGAACUAUAAUGUUAACGCGUGGGACCCAUUUGUUGCAACCAGCACGAAACUCCAGCUCAAUAUUUACCAGCACUACACGCUUGAGUAAUUUCCUUGCGUUUUUUUUCCUCUACCGCUCUACGUGUUACCUUUUACCUCUUUUAUAAUUAUGAUUUAUUAACGAGAAUAAAACAAUUCUGUGUAAAUUAUACAAAUUUCCAUUGUUGCUUUUUUUCUUGCACGUGUUAGAUUUUUAUUUUUUAUAAUUAUAAUUAUUGCAUUGCUAAUAAUUUGCAAGAAAGAAUAUUCUUUCUCUGCUUAAGAAAACCCUAAGCAUUGUAGAUAAUCUCUUAUAGGAAUCUCUUUAUUAAAUCAUCAAAAUAUCAGAGUCUAUUUCCAAAUACUAUUACGACAGUCUAUAUAAAGAAUACAAUUAACCUCAUUUCAAUAUCAUAGCUUUGGAAUUUCAUAGCUAACUCUUUGUUAUAUUGCUCCAUUGGUAAUUGAUUGUGCCUUGAUUUCUGCAGCUGCCAUGACAGAGCCAGAGUCUUCUCGAUCUAGACCAGAAGGCGCCUAUGAUGUCUUCUUGAGUUUUAGAGGAGAAGACACUCGCCAGACAUUUACAGAUCAUCUAUAUACUGCCUUGGUCCAGGCAGGAAUCCACACUUUUCGAGAUGAUGAUGAACUUCCGAGAGGAGAAGAAAUCUCCGAUCAUCUCCUCAGGGCAAUUCACGAAUCAAAGAUAUCCUUAGUUGUCUUCUCAAAAGGAUAUGCUUCUUCUAGAUGGUGUCUCAAUGAACUUGUAGAGAUUCUUCAGUGCAAAAAUAGGAAAACCAAUCAGAUUGUUCUUCCUAUAUUCUAUGACAUUGAUCCUUCAGAUGUGAGAAAACAGAAUGGCAGUUUUGCAGAAGCAUUUGUUAAACAUGAAGAGCGUUUUGAAGAGAAGUUGGUGAAGGAGUGGAGAAAAGCUCUUGAGGAGGCUGGAAAUCUAUCUGGAUGGAAUCUCAAUGAUAUGGCAAAUGGGUAUGUCUUUUUUCCAAAUUUAUGGAGUCAAUAUACUUUACAUUUUUCAAUGUGAAACAAUAAAAUGCUUAAUUGACUCGCUAUCAAUGACCUGCUUUUGUCUAUGAGCAGGCAUGAAGCAAAAUUUACCAAAGAGAUUAUCAAGGAUGUGUUGAAGAAAUUAGAACCCAAGUACUUAUAUGUUCCUGAGCACCUAGUAGGUAUGGAUCGGCUUGCUCGCAGUAUUUUUGACUUUCUAAGUACUGCAACAGAUGAUGUACGCAUUGUGGGCAUACAUGGGAUGCCAGGAAUAGGAAAGACAACUAUAGCAAAAGUUGUAUUUAAUCAACUCUGCUAUAGAUUCGAGGGAAGCUGCUUUCUUUCGAAUAUCAAUGAAACAUCAAAACAAUUCAAUGGUCUGGCUCUUUUACAAAAGCAACUUCUUCAUGAUAUUUUAAAACAAGAUGUUGCUAACAUCAAUUGUGUCGAUAGAGGAAAGGUUCUGAUCAAAGAGCGACUUUGUCGCAAAAGAGUUCUUGUUGUUGCUGAUGAUGUUGCUCGUCAGGACCAGCUAAAUGCUUUGAUGGGAGAGCGAAGUUGGUUUGGUCCCGGAAGUAGAGUGAUUAUUACAACAAGAGAUUCUAGUGUUCUACUUAAAGCAGAUCAAACAUAUCAGAUCGAAGAAUUGAAACCAUAUGAGUCCCUUCAGCUUUUCCGAUGGCAUGCCUUGAGGGACACAAAGCCAACAGAAGAUUAUAUUGAGCUUUCGAAGGAUGCAGUUGAUUACUGUGGAGGACUUCCUUUAGCUCUUGAGGUUAUGGGUGCUUGUCUGUCCGGGAAAAACAGAGAUGGUUGGAAAUGUGUAAUUGAAAAAUUGAGAAGAAUUCCACACCACGAUAUUCAAGGAAAGCUUAGAAUAAGUUUUGACGCACUGGACGGUGAAGAACUACAAAAUGCAUUCCUUGACAUCGCUUGCUUCUUUAUUGAUAGAAAGAAAGAGUACGUCGCAAAAGUGCUAGGAGCCCGUUGCGGUUACAAUCCAGAAGUUGAUUUGCAAACUCUCCAUGAAAGGUCUCUAAUUAAAGUUAAUGCCAUUGGGGAGAUAACCAUGCAUGAUCUAUUACGAGACAUGGGAAGGGAGGUCGUUCGUGAAUCGUCUCCAAAAGAACCUGGAAAGAGGACCAGAAUUUGGAAUCAAGAGGAUGCAUGGAAUGUACUUGAGCAGCAGAAGGUAAGAGCUCAAUGCAUACACGAAAGCAUGGUCAAUGUUGUAUUUUCUAGUCAAACUUAUUACAUAUAAUUGUAUGAAAGUUGUAUUGUUUUUUUUUUAGGGUACCGAUGUUGUAGAGGGUGUUGCACUGGAUGUCAGAGCAUCAGAAGCUAAAUCACUGAGCACAGGAUCAUUUGCAAAAAUGAAAUGCUUAAAUUUACUCCAAAUCAACGGAGCACAUCUCACCGGAUCCUUCAAACUGCUUUCUAAAGAGUUGAUGUGGAUUUGUUGGCUUCAAUGUCCUUUGAAAUAUUUUCCAUCUGAUUUUACCUUGGACAAUCUAGCUGUUCUUGAUAUGCAGUACAGUAACCUUAAAGAACUAUGGAAGGGAAAAAAGGUGAGAAACAUGCUGCAAUCCCCAAAAUUUCUCCAGUAUGUAAUUUAUAUUUACAUGUUACGACUU
Molecule: long non-coding RNA, 170540 nt
Filed under: Populus trichocarpa (black cottonwood)
Lineage: Eukaryota; Viridiplantae; Streptophyta; Magnoliopsida; Malpighiales; Salicaceae
Description: long non-coding RNA (PTRI_LNC004299)
Rfam family: MIR478 microRNA precursor family (bases 147047-147136)
Source: RNAcentral